AUGCAGCUUGGAAGACUCUUAAGUUCCUUGCAAUUUUUUAGGUUGAAAUGACUCAACCCCGUGAGAUUAUUAAUUGACUCGGGCAAUUCUUUAAUUUUUGACCCGGAUAAAUUAAGCUCUUCUAACUCCUCCAUACCUUCUGAAAUCUCUGGAAACAUCUCAAGACUGGAGCAAUCAGAAAGAUCAAAGGUUUUGAGAGAUCUCAUACGAAUUUUGCUAGGUAGAAUCUUAAGUUCCUUGCAAUCUUUUAGGUUGAAAUGACUCAACCCCGAGAGAUUAUUAAUUAACAGGGGCAGUUCUUUAAUUUUUGACCCGGAUAAAUUAAGCUCUUCUAACUCCUCCAUACCUUCUGAAAUCUCUGGAAACAUCUCAAGACUGGAGCAGUCAGAAAGAUCAAAGGUUUUGAGAGAUCUCAUACGAAUUUUGCUAGGUAGAAUCUUAAGUUCCUUGCAAUCUUUUAGGUUGAAAUGACUCAACCCUGAGAGAUUAUUAAUUGACAGGGGCAGUUCUUUAAUUUUUAACCCGGAUAAAUUAAGCUCUUUUAACUCCUCCAUACCUUCUGAAAUCUCUGGAAACAUCUCAAGACUGGAGCAGUAAGAAAGAUUAAAGGUUUUGAGAGAUCUCAUAGGAAUUUUGCUAGGUAGAAUCUUAAGUUCCCUGCAAUUUGAUAGGUUCAAAUGACUCAACCCCGUGAGAUUAUUAAUUGACGGGGGCAGUUCUUUAAUUCUUGAUCCGGAUAAAUCAAGCUCUUCAAACCCCUCAAUCACUUCUGAAAUCUCUGGAAACAUCUCAAGGUUCGAGCAACCAGAAAGAUUAAAGGUCUUGAGAGAUCUCAUACGAAUUUUGGUAGGUAGAAUCAUAAGUUCAUUGCACCCAUGCAGAUCCAAUAAAACAAGGUUUGAAAGAGUCGAAAUAGAUGGGUGAACCUCAACUAAGCUUAUACAACUUCGAACAAUUAGCCUCUCAAGAUUUGGCACAUUUGUGAAGUCAGGGGUUUCCUUAAGGGAUUGACAAUUACUUAAAUUGAUGAAUUUCAACUUUUCCUGUGUCUGUUAAAACAUUCAGGAAAACAUGCAUUACUUAAUAAGACAUCUCACUCAAAGCCCAAACAUUUAAAAGAAACAAAUACAUGUAAAUGAUUGUACGUACCUGGGUUCCUUCCCAAAGUCGGUCAAUGAGACUAUAUUGCAUGUCAAGUUCAACAAGAUUUUCGAAUUGAAAGUUGGAUGGCAAAGACUUGAGAGGGAAACCAAGCCAGGAGAGAUAUCUCAAGUUAAGCAACUUUAAGGACCCAAACAGGUGGUGUUUGCAGCACUCAUCUUUAAAAACGAAGUGCCUAUAAAUGAUCUUGAGAAGUCUUCGUUGAGUCCUUCUAACAACAGCUUCAGCAUUUAUGUGCCUAUGAUUGAUCUUGAGAAGUCUUAGUUGAGUCAUUCUAACAAAAGCUUCAGCAUUUAAGCAUGGCCAGCUUGAGUACGAGAAAUCCACAAUUAUGCUUUCAACUGUUUUUGUAGCCUGUGCAAAUCAAAGUAAAGGAAAAUACAGAGAACCUUAGUUUUGAUUAUGAAAUUAAUGAUUGUUUCUUAAGGAGCCGUCUGAUAAUCAUUUCAUUUUCUGUUUAAUUGUUUUCAAUUUUCAUUAUUAAAACAAUGAAAACUAAAAAUUGAAAACAAAAAUGGUUAUCAAACAGGCCUAAGAAAUUGAUUUUGAUCAAAAGUUGAACCUUUCUACUAACAAUUGCAUAAGAAAAAGAUUUCUCACCGUAUUUUCAGUUAGCACCUCACAAACAUCUUCAUAACUCCACAACCUACUUCGUCUCCCAGGAUCUUUGCUAGAUUCUUGGCGGACAAUUUCCCGACCCAUUUCCUCUAAUGAAUCAUGCAUCUCCAAUACCCCCAACGUUGAGACAGUUAUGAGAGCUCGAUCAAUUAGAACUUUUAUUCCUGUAUGAGGAUGGAAACCACAACUGUCCAGAAUUUCAGUUGCCUGGUCUUCCUUCAUCCCUCUAAAGAAACAUGCAAUAUCUAGAAAGAUGUCCUUCUGUGUGUCAUCUAGUCCAUCGAAGCUUGUUUUAAGCACAUCAUGAACUCCCCUUUGUGGGAUUUUCCUUAUUUUUUCUAACUCACCUUCCCACACGCGUAUAGUUUUUUUAUGCAAAAAAGCUCCCAAGACUUUGAGGGCUAAAGGCAGACCUUGAGCAUAUUCUACAACACGAUUCGAGAGAUCAUAAUAAUCUCUGUUGGGUUGGUCAUUUUUGAAGGCGUACUGCCAAAAGAGUUCCAGAGCUCCAUAAUAACUCAAAGUCCGGGGAUUAUAUAUCACAUCAGUUAUGCUUAGUAACUGCGAAUCUCUACUUGUUAUAAUAAUCCUACUUCCAACACCAAAGGAACGUUUCUUUCCAAGUAAAGCUUCAAUUUGUUCUGAUUCGUCCACAUCAUCAACAACAAUAAGAACUUUUCUCCGACCAAGUCUUUUUAACAUCUUCUUAAAACCAUAUUUUGAUAUGUCAGAACUCCCCACCUUGUUGUUCGAUAUACUCGAUAGAAGUUGUGUCUGCAUAUGUGGUUUGCCAUGCUUCAUGAAACCCUCCUUGACGUUUUCAAGAAAGCAAGAAGCUUCAAAUCGACAUGCGAUUUCAUCAUAAACUGCUCUAGCGAUGGUUGUUUUGCCUAAACCACCCAUACCCCAUAUUCCAACAACGCGAACAUUAUUCGCUUCACCUCCGGGAGGAUAUAAUAAUAAAUGCAUUUCAUGCAUGUGAGAAUCCAUGUCAACCAAGCCAUUAUCUUUGCUUGAUGUUGAUGAGAUGUCGAUCAAUUUCCUAUAAACAUAUUCUACAAUUUCCUCAAUAAGCUCUGCAUCAUUCCUGUCAAAUUAAAAAAAACAAUAUAAUAACACCACCAAAUAAUAAUUAAUGGGUUUUUUCAUCUGUUAGUUAAAAAAAAAAACAGAAAUUAAAACUAAAAACUAGAUAUUUAUAAAAUUACCGCAAAACGUUACAAAAAUCCCAAAAAUUAAUAGGAAACUAAAACAAAUUAGAAUUUACUCAUAUUUUCGCGAAUCCCAGCCGGAUAAACUGGUGGCAGUUGUAAGAGCGGAUCUCCAGCUCUGAACCUCUUCCAUUUCAGCGUUAGAAUCACGAUCGUGCUGAGCAAAAGCUUCCUCGAAUUUUCUCUUGAGUUUACGAACGUCAGACGGAUCAACUUCAUAGAAAAUGGGGAGUACAAUCUGGUUAUUGGUAUCCUUGCAUUUCAAGAUUUGCACGAGUUCUUUCAAGCACCAAGUGGAAGAAGCAUAGUCUUGAGAGAAAACUACAAUCGAAAGCCUUGACUCUCGAAUCGCUGUCAGGAGCUCAGAAAGGUGGUCGCCUUUUCUGAGCUUCUCGGCAUCAAUGAAGGCGUUGAUUGGUUUCUUAACCAGAGCGUUGUAGAGAUGGCUGACGAAGCCCCUGCGAGUGUCUUCCCCUCUGAAAUUGAUGAACACAUCGUAUUUGCAACCAAGGCCAGAAGAAGAUGAAGAAGAAGAAGCAGCCAUUAUUAAUCGAUCGCACCUGGUCAGCGACGAUCGAGCAGCUAAGACUAAGAGAAUUGUAAGUACAGAGAUACUCAAUAGAUCUACAAAUUGGAUCACCGGAAAUUAGUCUGAUCGAUACCAAGUCAAUGAGUCAAUGCAAAAGGGAAAAAGGGGAAAGUGAAAUUAUGCUUUAUGUUUUUUCACAUCUUCUUCGGGGAAAUUUCGGUGUGAAAGGAAUCUUAUCCUUUUGAUUUUUUAACCGAAGCAAAUGCGAAGAAAAGGGUCAAAGUGGAAAAUUGAAUAUACACUUGCCUAUCCAACAACCUCUUAAUUUAAUAUAUUUAAUUGAGAAAAGUAGUUUAGAGGAAUGAUGGUAUCUCCUUUUCUUCUCACUCAAUCUUCCGGCAUGCGAUUUAAUCAUUAUUAAAGCCAAGCUUAAUAAUAGGUCGUAUUAUUUAGGUCGUAUUGGAUUAUAAGUUUUUGUUGUGAACUUGUGAUACGAUAGUUGAAAAAUUAAAAAAAUUAUAAUUUAAAUGUACGCGGUGAAAUCUGUUAGAAUUUAGAUUCAAAAUUGAAAAUUUUAUUAACUUCGUUAAUUAUUAGCACACGAAGCUCACAAAUGAAAUAAAAUAAUAAAAUGUAAUCUUCACGUGCUAACAAUUAAUGGAGAGUUUCAUUUUAACCUAAAAUGUGUGGCUUACGUACUAAUAAUUAACGGAAUGUUGAUAAAAUUUUCAAUUUUAAGCAUAAAUCUUAAUAAACUUCAUCACAUGAGCUUAAAUCCUAAUUCAACUAUCUUCUCACUACCUUACCUUACCACUAAAAAAAUUAUUAAUCAAAUUAAGCUUAUUACUUACUUACAAAUACGUAACUAAAUCACUGAAAGCUAUCUCCGUUUCUUUGCUGGGUGGACAGCUGUCUCUUUGUCUUCUUUUGGCAGAUAGCUACUAGACUCCUAGGCCUCGUUUGUUUGACGUCCUUAGCUAGGACUGGACUAGCUAGGACUAAUAACCCUUGUUUGGUGCAAGCCGAGAUUGAGUUUAGUGGGAUUAAGUAGGACUCGUGCCGACUAAAUCCUUCGUUAGCUGGGCUUAGCGAGAGCCCCCGAAAAGGAGGGGAUUGCUAGUCCCGUUUCCUCGUCUUCCCUCUCACGCCGCGUCCUCGUGCUCGUCCUGCACGACUGCACCAUCUCUGACGACGACUCGUCUUCCUCCACCCACCCCCUUGCCGUCUGCAACUCCAAUCCCCACCCAUGGAAGAACAAGUGAAUUAAAGCAGCUAAUUUGCAAGAACAAGUGUAAUCAGAGCAAAAAAGUCAAUAAAAAUUCGAACGGAAGAGAGUAGAGAGAUGAGUGGAGCCUACCUCCUCCUCGUCUCGUAACACACGGACUGGAUCCAUCUUUGCUCCUUCCAAUCUCAGAAUUUUUUGUUUUUCACUUUGACGGACGACAAAUUCAAACACAAGCCAAGAUCAUAUUCAGUCAUGCAUUUCCUCAGAAGGCGGCACACUGCGAGAUGAACUUGAUUGGUGUUUUGUUUUUGGGAUUUGACCAAAAUCGUAAAGGCAGAUUUUCUUCAUCUGAGAACUGGAGAAAAAUUGGGAAAGUUUUGUUUGUUGGGAAGGGAAAGGAACGGUAGAGAUAAGGGAGAAAGAAUUAAAAUGAACAAAAGAAAAAUAUCUGAAUUUUAAAAAUAAUUUAGUCCGGUACUGCACCAAACGCUUCACUAAGUUAGUCAUGCUUAGUCUAGUCCAAGCCAGUCCAGCUUAGUCCCUGAACCUAGUCCAGUCCGAGAUAGUCCGGUGCAACAAACGCACCCCUAGUGGCCGGCCUAUUUUCCACAGCUGGUAUAGGACUCAGUUGCUAUACAAGAAGUGUUAUGUUGUAAUUCACUAUUGAUGGAAAUCCAACAGAAUCUUCUUCGACUUGUUGUGAGGAUUUGGGAUAUUUAUGAAUCGUAUCCAUUUAUCGUAUAUUGUGGGAUCAGUUUUUAUUAAAUAGUAUUUGUGUUUAAUUUUAAAUAAAAAAAUUUAAAAUAAAAUUUUACCGCACGAUAUACUAUGAACGAAUACAAUUCAUAGAUCUCCAAGAUCCUCACAAGGAGAAUCCAAAAAGGAUCCGGAUUCAAUGGAAAUAUUCGUAAAUGAUCCGGAUUCAAUGGAAAUAAGCUAAUUUUGAAUCAAAUAACAUUACUUUAUUUUGUAAGUAAAUUAAUUUUAAAUCAAACAACAUUAAUUUAUUAUGUAGCUAAUUAAUUUUGUAUGUGUCAUCAUAUAUAUUAGGCGCAUUUUAUUAUAGGUGAUUUUGUGGUAUUCAUCUUCAUUUAUAAGUAAAAAGUCUUAGGUUCGAUUCUCACAAAAGUGAAUUUGAACCAUAUUAUUGCUAGUCCAUUAUGAGGCCUAACCCACCCUCCUCCCCCUUAGUGUAGAUAGAUCGUUUGUUCAAAAAAAUAUAUAAUCAAAAUAGAACGUGAAGCGAAACAAUAGAUCAACAAUAUUUAUGUUAAUUAUAAAUAGGUCAACUAUGUAUGUGAUACUUAAAUUCAUUUAAAAUAAAAUAAAAUUACAAAAUCUGCCACUACAGUUGGCACGCACUUCAAUUAACAUUUUCUUUCUCAUAAUUUUUAUAUUUGGAAUGAGUCAUACGAAUCAAAUACUGCAAUGUAUUGUCUGUUUUCUGAUUCUAUUUUUUUACAUUUGGAUUCAGACACUGUGUUGUAGUGUCCAUUUAUUGGUUUCGUUUUUUCCAUCAGUCACACGCCUCCUACAUGUUCCUUUGUACAUUUGGAUUUAGACAAUGCAAUGCAGUGUCUGUUUCUUGGUUUUGGUUUUCCCUUUUGGAUUCAAACGCUGCAUUGCAAUGUAUGUUUCCUAGUCCUAUUUUUUUCAUCAUCCACACGUCUUCUACACUUCACACUUUCACGCGACUCCUGAUUUUUACAUUCAGAUUCAGACAUUGUAAUGCAGUGCUCAUUUCCUACCUCUGAUUUUUACAUUUAAAUCUAGGGUUAAACUCUGUUUACUACCCUCAUGUUUCGUGGUUUUCAACAUAUAGUACAUCAAGUUUUUUUCAUCCCAGUCAUACCUAAAGUGUUAAUUUUGGGACAGUCUCGUAUAUCUGUUAGUCAAACUGUUAGUUCUCCCGUUAAGUGAUGACAUAGCGCCCAUGUGGACAAUGACUAGGCCCCAAGUGUCAUUAAAAAAUAUUAAAAUAAUUAAUUAAAUAAAAGUUAUAAAAAAAAUCAUCCCUUCUCUCCCUUCUCCCCUCGCUGUCACACCCCGAUCCAGACAUACGUCCAAAGAUCGACACGUGACGUCACUAAAUGCCCGUAACUCAACGUACCCUGCCUUUUGGAUAUGUACAAAAUAUAAUUCCAGAUCCAGAUGCAUAAUAAUUUUGUGUAUACUUUAUGGCUGCAUCUAACCUCUUCGUUAGACUGCCUACGUACCCUCAAUAGGGAUCAAGUCAUUCGUAGUUCAACUUUUCACUACACUCGAAUAUUUAUCACAUAAAUUGCCAUAUUUCAACAUAAUGCACAAUUCAGAGCAUGCAACAUCUCAAGGAACAAUCGACGAGGUGCAAUAAUAAUCUAUAGCCAUAUUGGUCAGCGGUAUAUCAUAAUCAUAACAAUUACAUCCAACAAUCACACCAAAUAAUAACACAUACAACACACUGACAUGCAAGGCUAGAACGACGCAGUUCGGCUGAAGCCUACAUCUCUGAAGCUGAAAUCAAAUCCAAUGAACCAAGUCACCAAAGGGAUUCUGGACCACUCAACGGAAUCAAACUCAAGAUACGAUUCCGGACCAUCACUCAACGGAAUCGUGGAGUAGUAAGGAUUCCAAACCAUCACUCAACGGAACCGGGGAGUACCAUGCAUAUAGAACCACCCAAUGUAAUACAAGCUGGAUACGAUUCAGGAUCAUCACUUAACGGAACCGGGGAGUACCAUGCAUAUAGAACCACCCAUGGAAUACAAGCUGGACACGAUUCUGAACCAUCACUCAACGGAAUCACAGAAUAGAAGGGAUUUCGAACCAUCACUCAACGGAAUCCGAGUCAGGGUACGAUUCCGGACCAUCACUCAACAGAAUCGCAGAAUCGAAGGGAUUCCGGACCAUCACUCAACGAAAUCCGAAUCAGGAUACGAUUUCGGACCAUCACUCAAUGAAAUAGAGUGGAAGAUCAAGGGAUACAACAACGGCUUGCAGAAACAAUACAAGAACCAAGUACUUAAUUUAGAAUGGCUGAAUGAAAAUAGAUCAAUCCAAUCAUACAUUACAAACCCCAUGACAGUAGGUUAACGGUCCACUACUAGCCCUCACAUUUCAUCACAUCAAUCCAAUCAUACAUUACAAACCAUAUUUCCAAAACACAAGUAAAAUCAUACUUAAUGAAAAUAGAUCGAUGGCCAGAAAUAAAAAUAACACUUCAAUAGAAUUCACAUUCAAUAAACAUAGGUCUAUGGUGUGUGUGUGUGUGUGUGUGUUGUGUUUCACAUUUCAAUAGAAUUUCAUUUAUAACCUAUAUCUUAUUCACAUAUGAUAUUAAUAUAAGAAAUCAAGGUAAUAGCUAUAUCACAUAUAUUCAAGUCACUCUCAAACCAAUGUGGUCCCACUAGGUUUCACUUAGUUCCCCGUAGUACUAAUUUUAGUAUUUAGAACGUUUCGAGACAUGUUGACCAAAAGCCAAUUCUUGGUCGACAGUAGGAUCCACAACGCUACAAAAUUUGAUCCAGAAGAUCCGAACAUCAUAAUCAAGAUCCGUAACUUCCUAGGGUCCACAUUAUUCUCAAAGAACAACGUACUAAAAUCUCAUCGCAAUCCAACGGUCAGAUCUCCGCCCAUUGCUAGAAUUAGGUGGCGGUUAACAAUUAAUUUUACUAACUUAGAAAUCUAAUUCAUGAAGAUCCGUACAUCAGAUUCCCGAUCUGUAAGUUCUUAUGAUCCCAAAAUAUUACGUACUAUAACAUAUUAAAGUUUGGUGACGAUUCAACAGUCGGAUCGUCGAUUUCUAUUUUGACUUAUUCACGUAUCAAAAUGAAACUAAGUCCAAACAAUCAAAUUACGUCAUACGGAUAUCAAACAUGAACCCAGGGCAUCUAAUAGUGCUUAAAAAGACAUCAUUGGCCCACAGGCCACGCGCCGCCGUGGGUGGCGGUCGGCCACCCCAACUAAUCGAAAAAUUCAACUAUUUUAAAAAUUCUCAAAAAAUUACAAAAUUGAAGAUCUCAAAGAGUAGAAUAAACUUUAUAUCUAUGGCCAAGUCCAAUUUGGCCUAGAAAGUCCCCAAUGUUGUGAAAACCGUACGGAAACCUUAGAAUGGGUGUGUUCGAUUUAACCUCCAAACUUGCUCUGACGCCUCCACCACUGCUUGGGAUUUGUUCAUGGGUUAUAGGGGAGUGCUUUGGUGGUAGUAGUUGAAGAGAAACAUUUCACAAUUGAUGGAUUUUGAGCAAUGGUUCCCGCGUCACCCAUGGUGCUUGUUCCCCAAAUUCCAAGACUAAUUCCACUCCAAUUUUGGGUGGAAUAGGUAGAAGGAAUGAUGAGAGAUGACUUGAAGGGGGAUGACACUGGGCUGGAUCUAUCAGCAGCGAAUUCCCCAUACAAAUAGAGGCGCCUAUCAAAAAGAUACUCCGAAGACUUCGAGAUUGAGGUAUCAUUAGCCGAAGAAGGCCUUGGCCAAUCCACGUGGCCUGCUUGACGAACGUCAGCGACAGAGACAUCAGGUGGUGGGGGACCUUCAUCUCGCCGGAAAUUGGCCGGGAGACCAUGAAUCCCGCCGAUUUGUGUCUCACGGGUCAAAAGACCCGUUUUCCACCCCCCACCUUUUUUUUCUUUUUUCCUUUGUCUCGCCACUCCUGUGGCUUUCUUUCAUUUUCAUUUUUUUUAGCAACAACUUCAAACGUCCGUAACUAUACCGUUAUAAUCCGGACUCGCAAACGGCUUUCGCCUAUGCAUUCGUGAUCUCGAUAUCUAUUCAACAAUAUAAAUUGUGACCUCGAAUGGUCUACGGAUUUUAAAUAAUUAAUUUCCCGAAAAAUAAUAUAAAAUCUCUAUAAUACCAAUAUGUAGAUUAUAAUAAUGAAAUCCAAGAAUGAGAUUUCACACUCGUCCCCAACCCAGAAGAAGAAGAAGAAAAAAAAAAAAAACCGAAUCUGCAACCCAGAAGAAGAUGAAGAAGACAUGUUUUGAAAAGUAAACUUUAAUGCAGGAAAUCAAUACUACAAAGGAAGUAGCUGAGCUAUAAAUACAGAGGAAUGUUUGAACUACAAAGGGAGUAUGUGAAGAGUAGGAUGCAAAGCUUUUUAGAAGUCUUUUUUAAUAUGUUGAGUUAAGUGUCUUUUUUUUUCAACCUUUUUGCUGCCUUUUAUAGAACCGCCAUUUUCUUCUAGAGUAAGCCUUUCCUCCUCGAUUCAUUCUCUCUGGUGCAAGCAGCUGAUAUGAUUUGUUGUCAAAGGAUGAGUUCCCACUUGUAUACUUGAGCUUUUGAUCCCCUUGAAACGUAUCAUCGUUGGCGCAUUCAUCAUAGAAGCUCCAGCUUCAUACUAUCAUAAACACCGUACAUUUGAUAUUUAUUACAAAAUUUUCCUUUCUUCUUUUGCUUUUUCUAAUAAAAAAAUUAAGGUUGAACACAACAGGCUUUGUGGUUCAAAAAUCUAAUGGAAUAUUUGAUAGAAGGGUUGGAUUGUUAGCUUUGGGCUAAUGGAGAGUUGACAAAAAUAUUAAUUUUUGGCUUGAAUCCUAACAAACUUCACCACAAGGAUUUAAAUCCGAUUUUUUUUUUUCACCAUAGGGGUAAUCUUCUUAUUAUCCUAUCACCACGGGGACCAUUGAUCCAAUUUAGCCACUAAAUCAUAUUGCAUCAACUGAACAAAUAUAUUUUUUGUAUUGACGAAGAUAGAUAUAACCGUUAAUCGAUGGAAAAUUCGUUAUUCGGUGGGUAUAAUUAUGGAUAAUUACUGAUGAUUAAUUUACGUUUAUGGAGUGGUUAUUUUCAUGGUUAUUGGGAUGGAUAUAUCAUUUCCGUCCCAAACCAAACCGUUGUCAUCCCUAUAUUUGUUUAUGAGAAAAGUUAAUGAGACUUUCUCAAAAUGAGACUCUCCAUAAACGAUCUAUGCUAACUCAUGUUUUUUGUACAAUACUUUAUAAUGUUGGCAUGAAAAUUAUGCCAAAAACAUUUGAUGGUGGAGAAUCCAUAAAUAGUACUACUUAUGAAAGAGUCUCCUUAACAUUUUUCAUUUGUAUAUAGGCUAAAUAGCCAAAAUGGUCCUUGAGAUUUGCAUAACUCAUCACUUUGGUCCCUAACAUUUCAAAUCGAUAAAAUUGGUCCCUGAGAUUGUCCACCAUCCAUCAUUUUGGUCAUUCCAUUAAAAACUCCGUUAAGUGUCUCGGAACUCUUGGCCGGAAGUUUGGACAAUUUUCAAAGCUUCGUAACUCAAUCGUUUCUUAACCAAAUUCGACCCAUAAUAUAUGAAAAUGAAGAUAGAAAAGUGUAGAAUAAGAUUAUACUUAUUUAUAAGCCCAAUGGCUACCAGAGAUAGCCGGAAAAUAGUCUCAAAUUUGACUGGUCUGAAGGAAAACUGGAAAACUCGCCGGAAACUAGGUAAACUUUAAACGUUCAUAACUUUUUCAAUACGCAACGAAAUCAAGUGAUUUAAAAAAAAAAUCAUACUUCUCAACGAGAAGAAGAGAAUGAUAUCUUUUUCGAUGGCUAAUGCACCGUGGUUUGGCUGGAAAAUGGCUCAAAAGUGGCUGUCUUAGUCUCAAGUUAGCCACUUUCGAGCCAUUUUUCGGCCAAACCACGGCGAUUUAGCUGUCUACAAAGGUACCAUUCUCUUCAUCUCAUCAAGAAGUAUGAUUUUCGUUUUUGAAUCACUUGAUUUCGUUGAGUAUUGAAGAAGUUAUGAACGUUUAAAGUUGACCUAGUUUCCUGCGAUUUUUCCAGUUUUCCCUCGGACCAGUCAACUUUGAGGCUAUUUUCUGGCCAUCUCCAGCAUCUAUUGGGCUUCCAAAUAGGUAUAAUCUUAUUCUACACUUUCCUAUCUUCAUUUUGAUAUAUAUGGGUCGAAUUUGGUUAAGAAACAAUUGAGUUACGAAGGUUUGAAAAUUUCUCAAACUUCAGGCCAAGAGUUCCAGGACACUUGUCAGAGUUUUUAACGGAAUGAUCAAAAUGAUGGAUGAUGGACAAUCUUAGGGACCACUUUUAUCGAUUUGGGAUGUUAGGGACCAAAGUGAUAAGUUAUGCAAAUCUUAGAGACCAUUUUGGCUAUUUAGCCUUUGUAUAUAUGAUGGGUAAUAUUAGGGAGAGUAAAUUUAGAUACAAAACUAGCAAAUUAAAUGACAAUAAAAUGAGCAUGUUUAUCAGCGCUUAAGUAAUAAAUUAAUCAUCAACUUUCACGUUCCUGUUGUAAACAUUCCUAGUUUAAGUAUGAUUGUGUAAAUCCUAGAUAAGAUUUGAUUCUAGUUAUCCUUUCCUAUUACAACUUGUAUUACUUGGAGGAGAAGAAAUAUCUUCUCUACCUUUACUACUAUAAAUAAAGGCACAAUGUAGGAGGGAUAACAACACAUACAUUCCCCUACAAUUCUACAAACACACAUCUCUCUCAUCUCUCUCUCUGCCGCCGGCUCUAGUCUCUCUGUCAGAUAAAAUAGAUCACAACACAUUAUCAGCACGCUCCUACCGCUGCACUUAGGAAUCUGACGUUGGAGAUUUUUUUUUCUGCAUCAAACCAGUUCAUCCAUAUCAUCACGCAAUCAGGUUCUUUCCAAACAACGGUUUUUAACUCGAUAUUUUGCAAGCCCUGAUAGCAUGAACAUUCACCAUGAUGCAUGACCCAACUUUAUGUUUUACGUAUUUUAGAUUCUACAUAAAUUGUGUAUGCUUCAUAACCAAAAUUGCUACAAUUAUGUGAAUUUGAUAUUUGCCAUGAAUUGAAUCUUACAUAUGUACAUGCAUUGAAACUAUUAUUUGCAUAUGGAUCAACGUAAAUAUGUGAUUCAUUAAAUUUAUGCAUAUAAUAUAAUUGAAUUGAAAAAAAAAUAUUUUUUUUGCGAUUUGGGAAUUAGGGUUCUUCGAACCCGUGCACUUGCACCAUGCAAGCUGCAAGCCACCAGGCCAGCAGCUUGCGAUGGCCCAGCUUGGUUUCCUCACCAGGCCUGCAGCCUGCAUCAAGUCCCCACGAGGGCUCCAACCCAGAAACCCGACGUCGUUUAUGGCGUCUCUCCCAUUGUAGGAUGGCUUGCAGCCCAUCCUCACACCUCGGGUUAACUUGUCUAACAGCCUGAAGCUCGUCCUUGACAUCGAUUGACCGAGAUUCAAUUGAAUCUCAUCGGUUUUUAAAAAAAAAACCCAAUUCGAAAUUUCUAGGGUUUGAUUGCAACAAUUGAGAUUUUAAUUUCUCCAUGUUGUAAUCAUAGUCGAAAACACCCCAGAAGGGUACCUCCGAGUCUUCCCGUCCAAGUUUUGGCCACCUGCAGUGGUGGCGCCGAUCAUCUUCUCCGAUGGAAUCACCUAACCUCGCUAGGAUUUCUUGGAUCCAGCCCGAUCCCAAAUUUUUUGGGCCUGGCUUCGACUCAGGCUGAAAAAUAAUAAAUUUUUUUCUUUUGGGCUCGCCAUUGCAAGCCCAGUUCGACCCCCUCAUUUUUUCAGCCUAGCGUUACAUCACACCAGCCCAAAUGGGCUCUGGUGUUCUCCCAUGCCCCAUACUGCAGCAGAACCCAGCCCGUGUGGCUGUUGUGCUUUCCCUGCAUCGUGAUACACACGAUUGAGGCAUUCUUUGGGCCUUUGCCACCUGGGCUUACCUGAAGCAGCCCGUGAGUGAAAAAAAAAAAAAAAAAGAGAAAUUUUUUUUAGGGCUGCACACAGCAGCCCAUUCCCCUCUUCUCACCCCGUGGGCAUGCAACCUACACCCGAGGGUCCUCGGCCUAUAUUUUUAGACCCCGAGAUUUUAUUAUUUAAUACUUUUAAAUAAUAUGGGUUUUUAUAUUUUCACCCACACUUUAAUUUGGCCCCGAAGACCAAAAAUAAAUUAAUUCACUUAUCAUUAUACAAUAUUUCUGCAUAUAUUCUUUGCAUAUUUGUUUGCAUAUAUAUUUGUGUUUGCCUGCAGGAAUAUAUGAACCUAAAGUUCAUAAUUACUUUGAAACCCGAAGUUUCUUCUAAACAUGCCUUGUUUGAAAACCUGAAGUUUUCACUUAAACAUAUCACCCAUGAAACCCGAAGUUUUUCAUGCGAAAUUAUUAGUUUUUGGAUAUUAAGUUUUUAAUCCUUGAAUAAAUGAAAUUAUUUUGAAUUGAUACUUGUUUUUAUAAACUUUUAUGCAUGUGACCGAUUCAAAUUAAUUUUUCAUUCUAGGUAUGACUAGUGGGAAAGUUAGUUGUCUGGCAGAUAGUGCAACCACGCAUACUGUUUUGCGUGAACGCAUCUAUUUCACUAACUUCGUACCUAAGAAUGCACCUCUGACAACCCUCUCAGGCCCAUCCAACCUGAUCGAAGGAUACGGUAAGGCACGUAUAAUGUUGUCCAAUGGUACAAUCUUGACCAUUGCUGAGGCACUCUAUUCUCCACGUUCCGGAAGAACGUUACUAAGUUUCAAGGACAUUAGAGAUAACAAUUACCACGCUGAAACCCACGUAGAAAACGGAGUUGAAUUUAUGUGCGUAACUUCCUACGAAUAUGGCCAGAAGCGUAUUCUAGAGAAGAUGGAGCGUAACCCGAGUGGUCUGUAUACUACGACCAUACGCCCCAUAGAAUGCCACUAUGUGGCCGGCCCUACCACAGGGACUGCGCACGAAAUUACACUUUGGCAUGAUCGUUUGGGACAUCCUGGACGAAUAGCGAUGCGCCGUAUCCUCAAAACUUCACACGGGCAUCCACUAACCCGAAGCUUAGGUUCGAUCCAUGAAAUUGCAUGUCAAACAUGUUCUAUAGGAAAGCUUAUUACUAAGCCUUCUUAUGACAAGAUUCGUUCGAAUCCUCCCAUUUUUCUACAACGGAUUCAGGGGGACAUUUGUGGACCGAUUCAACCUCCUUGCGGACCAUUUAGAUAUUUUAUGGUUUUGGUUGACGCUUCUACACGUUGGUCACACGUGUGCUUGUUGUCCACAAGGAACGCUGCAUUCUCCAAACUGUUGGCUCAGGUUAUCAAGCUCAGGGCUCACCACUCUGAUUAUCCGAUCAAAUCUAUUCGAUUGGAUAAUGCUGGAGAAUUCAUAUCUAAAACUUUUGAUGACUAUUGCUUGUCGGUUGGGGUUAACGUUGAACAUCCUGUACCCCAUGUUCACACCCAGAACGGCCUGGCAGAGGCUUUCAUUAAGCGUUUACAAAUGAUUGCUCGAUCGUUGGUCAUACAUACCAAGCUCCCGAUCGCUGCUUGGGGCCAUGCAAUAUUGCACGCAGCAAAGUUGGUCCGCCUGAGGCCUGCUGUGACACAACCAUUUAGUGCCCUUCAGUUGGUCACCGGAUGCGAACCCGACAUAUCGCAUCUGCGCGUUUUUGGUUGUGCGGUCUAUGUGCCGAUCUCGCCGCCCUUACGUACAAAAAUGGGGCCUCAGCGAAGGAUGGGAAUCUAUGUCGGAUAUGAUUCUCCUUCGAUUAUUCGUUACUUAGAACCUUUGACAGGCGAUCUGUUUACCGCUCGUUUCGCGGAUUGUCACUUCUAUGAGACAGUCUUCCCGUCGUUAGGGGGAGAUAAAAACGUCAACGUUCCUAAUGAACGACGUGAAUUAUCAUGGACGACUCCCACUUUGUCUCAUUUAGAUCCCCGCACCGCUCAGUCUGAAGCUGAAGUGCAGCGCAUAUUAGAUCUCCAGAGCAUAGCUCAGAGCAUGCCAGAUGCUUUCACCGAUCUAGCGCGCGUGACAAGAUCACAUAUUCCAGCUGCGAAUACGCCUGCAAAGAUAGAUGUACCAAAUGUACGACGGACUACUCUCCUGGAAGCCCGGGACGCAAAUUCUGGUGAUCCACGUACAUUAACGGCUAGCCAAUCAUCUGCCCCUACACAAAAGCGUGGCAGACCCCUUGGUUCAAAUGAUUCACACCCCCGGAAGAGGAAAACCACGGCACAAGGUCCUGAAGAGCCUACCGUGAAUCCGACUAUCGCUUACUCAUUUUACCCAACUCAUGAGGAAAUUCUAGAUUAUGGAAGCGUCCUUGAAGAGACGAAUCCUCCUCCCGAGAAUCGUGAGAUUUCGGUCUAUUAUGCUAGUUUAGAUGAUGUGUGGCGUAGAAAUGAGAUGAUUGUCGACGAUGCAUUAGCAUUUGCAGUAGCUACUGAGAUCAUGUUGAGCGAUGACAUUGAACCGCGUUCCGUUGAUGAAUGUCGACGUAGAGCUGAUUGGUCAAACUGGAAACAAGCAAUCCAAGUCGAACUUGAUUCACUUGCGAAACGUAAGGUGUUUGGACCUGUAGUUCCUACUCCUCCACAUGUGAAGCUCGUUGGCUACAAAUGGGUUUUCGUUCGGAAGCGUAAUGAGAAGAACGAAAUUAUGCGUUACAAAGCUCGUCUUGUAGCACAAGGUUUCUCACAACGUCCCGGGAUUGACUAUGACGAAACUUACUCACCCGUUAUUGAUGUGAUUACUUUUCGAUACCUUAUCAGUUUGGUAGUUUCCGAAAAACUAGAUAUGCAGCUAAUGGACGUAGUAACCGCGUAUCUCUAUGGGGAUCUUAAUAUGGAAAUUUAUAUGAAAGUUCCCGAAGGACUUACAUUGACUGGUUCAAAUAUUUCCAAACCCCGGAACACGCUCUCAAUUCGGCUGAGGCGUUCACUAUACGGUUUGAAAUAAUCCGGAAGAAUGUGGUAUAACCGUUUGAGUGAGUAUUUGACUAGUCAGGGAUAUGUGAACAAUGAACUAUGCCCUUGUGAGUUCAUUAAGAAGUCACAUUCCGGAUUUAUGAUUGUUGCAGUAUAUGUCGAUGACAUGAAUCUCAUCGGAACUCCUGAAGAGCUCGCGAGAACUGCUUCGCACCUGAAGUCGGAAUUUGAGAUGAAAGAUCUAGGAAAGACUUGAUACUGUCUCGGUCUCGAGAUAGAGCAUUGUUCGGAUGGAAUCUUAGUACAUCAAUCGAACUACACCCAGAAGAUGUUACGCCGUUUUAAUGAGGAUAAAGCGAAGUCUUCGAGUACUCCUAUGGUCGUUGAUGCGUAAAAUAAGUUAACACACAAAAUUAAACCCUCUUUUUGACAAUUGUAGUAUAGAUGUAAGUAGGGUAUCGUUCUAGGCCGGGGAUUAGGAGGGAUUGCUAAUCUAUUAAAUUAACUUAAAAAUAUUAAAUAAGACUCAAGGACACAAAACUAGGCUAAAAACUCUAAUAACUCGAAACACACUUAAAAUGACUCAAAAUAAUGAAAACAAUUAAAUUAAAUACUAGGAACUGAAAUGGACGGAAAUUAAAUUAAAAGACUAACAAUAAAGAAAACUAAAUAAAUAAUAUAAUUUAAUAAUGGAUGGGUGUUUGGUUUUGAUGAAAAGUAAAUUAAACUUAAUUAAAUUACAGAAUUGACAAAAACAUGAAAUUAAGGUGAAAUGAUAAAUGACGGACUAGCUAGAGGGUUCUUCUCCACACAUGACACAUAUGCAACCUAAAUUGAUUUUCAGUUGUUCUUUCAAUAAAUUGUGAAUCUCAAUACUCCAGAUUAACCGUGAAUAGCACUUUUUUAAUCUUCAAGUUUUCCUUAAGUUAUUGAAUUGGACGGAAAAAACGCAUACAACAAUUCAAAACAUUCUUCAAAAGUCCCCUACGUGAAAAGCACAAUAGCGAUACAAUCAAAGAUCAUUAAACUUUGUGAAAACUAUAAGCAUUGACGAGGCAUUCGUAACUAUGAAAAGCAUGAUACUCUUGCCAAGAAUUUACUUAACGUGAUUGUGACUAGCAACCUUUACUACUUGUGAAAAUAAGUUCAUAACGAUUAGGUGAAAUUCACUUAUAUUCUAGCAUCAAAUUCAUGCAUGUAAAUUAAGCGUACACUCUCAACCAACAUACACAAAUCAGUUUUUAUACGAACGGAUAAGUAAAUUGAAAUCACAACUUAUGAAAUCACAACCGAAGGUAAUCAAUUCAUAUUACAAAUAUAUUCAUGGUUUCGAAUUAACCUCUAGCCAAAAUAAAAUUAAUUACACAUUAUUAAAAUAAAAAUAAAAUAGGAGUUUGGAAAGAUUAAACCGAAAGAAAGGAUCUGCUGCUUGGACUCUGAACUGCAUUUUCAUGCUGACCUCCUGUCCUCCUCGCCACUGACUUCCCUUCUCUCCGCAGCUUCACGCUGCCCAAAGGGCAGCCCUCUGCCUUCCACCAAUUCCCCCCCUCCUUCUCUCUUCUGCCAAUCCCAUCUAUAUCCUCAUGCUCCUGACCUCCUCCUUAUUUCUUUUUUUUCUAUUUUAUUUUUUUUUGUUGCUGUCCACCACAUUCUCUGCGCCUACUGCGCUCCCAGCUGUCUCUCCUGCUUUCCACUGACUUUUCCCGCUCCCACUUCUCUCUAUCCUCUUUCUGCUGCCGCAAGGCAGCUGUCUGCUUGCUGCUUCUCUCUCCCUUUUUCUGCUUGUUUAUAUUUUUUUUUUUCUUCUUUUCCUUUUCCUUCUUUUCCUUUUCCUUUCUUUUUCUUUUCUUUCUUUUUCUUUUCUUCUUUGCCGUUCCUUUCUUCUUCUACAAAACAUGAAUCAUGAUGAUGUUUCAAACAUCAUCAUGACUUGUUAUUAUUAUUAUAUAUUUAUUUAUUUUUAAUUUUAUUUAAAAGCUGAUCUACACAGACAGUUUUGACGAAUUUAUUACAUAAAAUUUCACUUGUUCUAUUUUUAUUUUCUUUGCAUAACAAAUCCUAUAAACACAAAAAUAACGUAAAUAGCUCAAAAAUAUAAGGAACUAACUAAGAAAAGACGAGUGAAUUCGAAGUAAAAAUAUAUAUAAAUAUCAUCCGAUCAAAUACCCCCACACUUAACUUUUGCUAGUCCUCGAGCAAAACAAAGAAAACUAGAACAAGAAGUAACAAGAAAAACAUUAGCUUCCCCCUAUGUGACCCUCAUAGAAUUUCAUUCGAGAAAACAAAUCAUCAAGAACCAUAGCUAGCAUCAAGGAAAUAAUCCAAGUUCAUCUUCCUUAUUCAAAUAUUAGCAGUAAUCUUUAAAUCAUCCUUGAAGUGUAGUGUGUGAGAUAGCCAUGCUAAUGCAAUUUCAAGUUUUUAUUUUUAAAAUCAUCAUAUGCAAACUAGCGACCUUCUCACGGGAUAUGCACUCAAUCACACAUGUGUUUAGUUUUAAUGUGUUUCGCUCAAAGAAUCAAAUGUGAAAUUUCUACCAUAAGCUUGCAUAAAGAUCACUUCUCCACAGUCAUAAUUGCAAAACUUAAAUCAAGAGGACUUUUAUUGGAUGUAAUGAGGCUUAGGGAUAGGGUUAUUGAAAUGAAAGAAUAGGAAAACACAAGUUCCAAGCUAUAUUGCAAGCAAUUCUUUUGUUUAGAUUUAUAAGAACUCAAUUUUUUCAGCGAUUCUUCUAGCACCUCCAACCAUACCCUUAAACUGAAACUUUAAAAACUUUUUAUUUUCUUUGUAUACAAUCUUUCUUUUUCUUUUCUUUUUUUCUUCUUUUUUUUUAUUUUUUUUUAUUUUUAUUUUUUUUAUACAAACAUGAAAUACCCCCACACUUAUUCUUUUGCCAAACACCUUCAAAGUACUUCACAAACAUUUCUCAUAAGACAAUCUCACAUUGCUCACUUGGAAAGGGUAAGGAAAAAAUGUUUCAGGCAUAAGGGUAGACAUAUCUGGUGAUAAGAAAUAAAAGGCUCAACAUACACGGCUCAAAUUGGCAAUCUAAUGAUAUCAUUUUCUUUGGGAAACAUAGUUAUUUGGGCCAUAGUGGUAAACCUAAUGCCUCUAUCAUUUCCAAGUUCAUGCAAUCAAUGACAAACAUUUCGAAAGAUCGUUACGCAAGUUCUAGAGAUGUAUCUCACAUAAGUUCAUCACACAUGAAAGAAUAGGAGUGUAUGAAAAAUGCACACUUUCAAUAGGCUCAAAAACUCACAUAGGAUGUAUAUGGUCACUAAAUUCACAUAUGAAGCUUUAAGUCAUACUUUAGUUUCACAUUAACAAGGCUAUGUGCAUUUGGUUUUUCAAAGAUGGUCAAACAUGUACAAAACUAACAAGAGAAUUAGGAAUUUCACCAAAACACAUGUUAACUAAGUUCUUGAUGAUCAUGGUUCAAAUUUUUGAUCCAAUUAUAUCAUUGGGUCGGGAAACUAACAAAAAUCUGAUUCAGAACAAUAAGGGAAACAAGACAAUAUUUUUUGGAUUUUUAAAUUUUUCGAUUUUUUUUUUUUUUUUUUUUUUUUUUUUUAAGAAAACAAAAACUAACAACACAGAAACAAAUGAAAUUCUAGAGAUUUCUACCCCCACACUUAAACUUGACAUUGUCCCCAAUGUCAGAAAACACUAUAACGCAAAUAAAAAUAAAAUAAAUAAAUAAAUAAUAAGAAACAAAAUAAAAACAAUGGGACUGAAAACUUCCCUAAUUUGCAGUAAAAUCAAGCGAUGACCCCCAAGCUAAAAUUCUGCAAUCAACUUCAAGGGUGGAAAUAACCAAAAGUUUCCUGCAAAGAAAAGAAAUAAUACAGUUAAGUACGCAAGAAAAUUAAUUAAAAAAAAAAAAAUUGCAAACGAAAAAUUGAAAAUUACGAUAAAAAGAUAAUGAAUAAAACUAAUAAGUAAUCAUUGGUCGUGCUUGUUGACUUUCCACAGCUUUCCUCUUGAACAGGGUGACACUUAGCUUUUUUACUAUUUGAUGAUAUUGUACGGCGGAGCUUUGCUCUUUGGGAAUGUUGCAGUUCCUUAUUUGUUCUCCAAGCAGAUGUGGCAGCUUCUCUAGUUCCUCAGUUCGGACUCCUUCCGCUGGGAUGAUUGUGCAAGCUGCAUUCUUCUCUGCUUGUUUCUUCUGCACAACGGGCAGGCACGAGGGAAAGGUGUUGGUCCUUAUUUCUUUCUUCAAUCUUUCCAAGUGCCCACCUCUUGCUUUCUUUCUCCUUGUCCCUAGCUGAAUUGUCUCCACAUGCUUCGAGGUAUCAUUUUCACUUUCCUUACUGUCCCCCAGGCAGAUGUGGUAGACGAAGAGAAAGCAUAAAAUGAUGAAGAUGAGUACUCGAGAGCAAGGCUAGGUAAGCAAUCAGGAAAGGGUUCCAGGCAGUUGGCUCCAGAUUGGAAGAUUGAUACCAAAUGCUGGCUGAUUGCUCUCUUUCUCCUUGUCGGAAAACAAAGACAAGGAGAAGGACAUGGAGAAAGCAUGAUAUGAGAUACUCUUGCUUUCAACCUUUAUGAUAUGAAAUACUUUUGCUUUGAAUGGGUUGUUCGCAGGAGUAUCCCAAGGAAUGAGGAACACAGAGUGACUCGAGAGGAUUCUUUGGGAAUGCAUUUUCGGAGAUGAAGAGGUGUUGAGAGGGUGUGCUGAGAGAGUGUGCUUUUGCUGUGGAAGGCGAAGGUAGAAACUUAUAGGACUUGUCUUCACAACCGGAACUGUUCUCUCACUUAGUGUCGGCAGCCGGUGGAUGGGUGAAGAAUACAAAUUACGCGCUUUCUGACAAAGCUGCCCGUAAUUUCCGCAAAGCUGCCAGUUGCAUGUGACAAGUGCUGACUAGGCUGAGAGAGACAGAUGGUUGGAAUCGGCACUUCGACAGACUGCCCGUGAUUUUCGCAGAGCUGAGUUUGCGUGUGACGGGUGACAACACGUCUGGACGAAUUGAUCUUGCGAAAUCCGGGGUUCGGCUCGUGGUUUCUGAGCAAGCCCAACUUUUAAGAAAUGAACGCCUCUUUUGAGAAAAGAAUCCGGCUUUUGAGAACGGAAACUCCUCUUUUGAGAAAAGAAUCCGGCUUUUGAGAAAGGAGCCCCGACUCUUCGAUUUGCGAGAUGACGCUUCUCUGAGGAGCGCCUCUUUGAUUUCUUCUUUUUAUAGAGGCGUUAAUUUUGUUCCACAACACACUUGAGUACCCUCCUGUAAACACUCCCAUCUUGCACUUGUUUAAUCUUGAUCAGUCCAACUCUCUUCUUUCUUUACCACCUCUGAAAAAUGUCUGGCCCUUCUGAUCGUCGUUUUGACUUGAACAUUGGUGAAGAGGCAGCUCCGCCUUCACCAGACAACAUAUGGCGGCCAUCCUUCAUAUCCCCUACCGGUCCCCUUACCGUGGGGGAUUCGAUGAUGAAAAAUGACAUGACCGCUGCGGUGGUGGCCCGAAACCUUGUCACUCCCAGAGAUAACAGACUGCUCGCAAGGCGGUCUGAUGAAUUGGCGGUCAAGGAGUCUCUGGCUCUCAGUGUGCAGUGUGCGGGUUCCGUAUCCAACAUGGCCCAACGCCUAUAUGCCCGAACCCGUCACGUUGAAUCCUUGGUGGCUGAAAUACAGAGUCUCAAGUAAGAGAUUAAAGGGCUCAAGCAUGAGAAUAAGGAAUUGCACAAGCUCGCACACAGCUAUGCCACCAGCAUGAAGAGGAAGAUUGACCAGAUGCAGGACACCGAUGGUCAAAUUUUACUUGAUCAUCGGAGGUUUGUGGGUUUGUUCCAACAACAUCUGCCUUCGUCUUCUGGAGCGGCACCGCGUAGUGAAGCUCCAACUGAUCAACCUAUGCCGCCUCCUCCUUCUGUGGCCCCGCCGACUGCUGAAGCCCCGCCCGACCAAUGAAUACUAUUAGUUUACAUCAUUGUAAAAUAUUUGUACUUUUUUUUUUUUAUUUUUUUAUUUUUUUAUAAAUGUAAAUUAAUGUAAAGAGACUUUGGUUAACCUUCCCACACUUAAACUAAAUAACACAAACUCACAGAAAUCAAACAAAUAACACAACUAACUAAACAAGACAAAAUGAAAGCAUUAAAGAUAAGGGUGUAAAAAUGCAAAUCUGAUUGGGUUAGCGAUUCCAAAGUCUCCCUUCGUUGAAUGCUUGGGUUGCCUCCCAAGAAGCGCUUGAUUUAACGUCUUUAGCCGGACGCAUCUUUCCUUUAAAUUUCCCUCGGCUCCAUUUGAACCUAAAAUCAAAGAAAGAAAAAUAAAUCAAAUAUCAAAAGUAAAAUACACAAACACCAAUAUAAACAUAAACAAAAACAAAAAUAAAAGGAUUAGCAAAGUUGCUAAUCCCCGGCAACGGCGCCAAAAUUUGAUGCGUAAAAUAAGUUAACACACAAAAUUAAACCCUCUUUUUGACAAUUGUAGUAUAGAUGUAAGUAGGGUAUCGUUCUAGGCCGGGGAUUAGGAGGGAUUGCUAAUCUAUUAAAUUAACUUAAAAAUAUUAAAUAAGACUCAAGGACACAAAACUAGGCUAAAAACUCUAAUAACUCGAAACACACUUAAAAUGACUCAAAAUAAUGAAAACAAUUAAAUUAAACACUAGGAACUGAAAUGGACGGAAAUUAAAUUAAAAGACUAACAAUAAAGAAAACUAAAUAAAUAAUAUAAUUUAAUAAUGGAUGGGUGUUUGGUUUUGAUGAAAAGUAAAUUAAACUUAAUUAAAUUACAGAAUUGACAAAAACAUGAAAUUAAGGUGAAAUGAUAAAUGACGGACUAGCUAGAGGGUUCUUCUCCACACAUGACACAUAUGCAACCUAAAUUGAUUUUCAGUUGUUCUUUCAAUAAAUUGUGAAUCUCAAUACUCCAGAUUAACCGUGAAUAGCACUUUUUUAAUCUUCAAGUUUUCCUUAAGUUAUUGAAUUGGACGGAAAAACGCAUACAACAAUUCAAAACAUUCUUCAAAAGUCCCCUACGUGAAAAAGCACAAUAGCGAUACAAUCAAAGAUCAUUAAACUUUGUGAAAACUAUAAGCAUUGACGAGGCAUUCGUAACUAUGAAAAAGCAUGAUACUCUUGCCAAGAAUUUACUUAACGUGAUUGUGACUAGCAACCUUUACUACUUGUGAAAAUAAGUUCAUAACGAUUAGGUGAAAUUCACUUAUAUUCUAGCAUCAAAUUCAUGCAUGUAAAUUAAGCGUGCACUCUCAACCAACAUACACAAAUCAGUUUUUAUACGAACGGAUAAGUAAAUUGAAAUCACAACUUAUGAAAUCACAACCGAAGGUAAUCAAUUCAUAUUACAAAUAUAUUCAUGGUUUCGAAUUAACCUCUAGCCAAAAUAAAAUUAAUUACACAUUAUUAAAAUAAAAAUAAAAUAUGAGUUUGGAAAGAUUAAACCGAAAGAAAGGAUCUGCUGCUUGGACUCUGAACUGCAUUUUCAUGCUGACCUCCUGUCCUCCUCGCCACUGACUUCCCUUCUCUCCGCAGCUUCACGCUGCCCAAAGGGCAGCCCUCUGCCUUCCACCAAUUCCCCCCCUCCUUCUCUCUUCUGCCAAUCCCAUCUAUAUCCUCAUGCUCCUGACCUCCUCCUUAUUUCUUUUUUUUCUAUUUUAUUUUUUUCUGUUGCUGUCCACCACAUUCUCUGCGCCUACUGCGCUCCCAGCUGUCUCUCCUGCUUUCCACUGACUUUUCCCGCUCCCACUUCUCUCUAUCCUCUUUCUGCUGCCGCAAGGCAGCUGUCUGCUUGCUGCUUCUCUCUCCCUUUUUCUGCUUGUUUAUAUUUUUUUUUCUUUUUCCUUUUCCUUCUUUUCCUUUUCCUUUUCUUUUUCUUUUCUUUCUUUUUCUUUUCUUCUUUGCCGUUCCUUUCUUCUUCUACAAAACAUGAAUCAUGAUGAUGUUUCAAACAUCAUCAUGACUUGUUAUUAUUAUUAUAUAUAUAUUUAUUUUUAAUUUUAUUUAAAAGCUGAUCUACACAGACAGUUUUGACGAAUUUAUUACAUAAAAUUUCACUUGUUCUAUUUUUAUUUUCUUUGCAUAACAAAUCCUAUAAACACAAAAAUAACGUAAAUAGCUCAAAAAUAUAAGGAACUAACUAAGAAAAGACGAGUGAAUUCGAAGUAAAAAUAUAUAUAAAUAUCAUCCGAUCAGUCGUUCGUACGCUAGAUGCAAAACGAGAUCCCUUCCGUCCGAAUGAGGAUGAUGAAGAGAUUUUGGAGCCUGAAGUUCCUUAUCUAAGUGCGAUAGGCGCUUUAUUGUACUUAGCUCAAUGCACUAGACCCAGCAUCUCAUUUGCUGUUAAUCUUUUGGCAAGAUACAGCAAUGCACCAACACGCAGACAUUGGACUGGCGUGAAAGACAUCUUCCAUUACCUUAAGGGUACUAUGGAUUUGGGCUUAUUUUAUCCCUACGAAUCCUCGAGUGAUGCCGCACCCUAUGCUCAUCGGGUUGAUUCUCGCCUUGUUGGUUAUGCCGACGCUGGAUACUUAUCUGAUCCGCACAAGGCGCGUUCUCAAACGGGUUAUGUCUUUACCGUUGGAGGCACCGCAAUAUCUUGGAGGUCAACUAAACAGACCUUAGUUGCCACUUCGUCUAACCAUGCUGAAAUUCUCGCCUUACAUGAAGCAACUCGGGAAUGCUUUUGGUUGAGAGCAGUAAUGGGCCAUAUUCGAAGCUCCUGUGAUCUUCAUCCUGCCGUUAAUGCCCCGACGACGAUUUUUGAAGACAACGCAGCUUGCAUCGAACAACUCAAGAAGGGUUACAUCAAAGGAGACAACACCAAGCAUAUUGCGCCGAAGUUCUUCUUUACACAUCAACAACAAGAACAUCAGAAGAUUGAAGUCACGCAAAUCCGAUCACAAGACAAUAUGGCCGACCUCUUCACCAAAUCACUACCGAAGGCGACGUUUCAGAAGCUUGUUCAUGGAAUUGGUAUGCGUAAACUUUCUGAGUUGUAACUUUGCUAUUUCUCUUUGGAAUUAUGUCAAACUCAGGAGGAGUAUCCUCUGGAUACUUGCUUGAUCUUAAUGUAAUUUUUUUCCCUAUGAUUAGGAGCAUUUUUCCCACUGGGUUUUUGCUACCUAACUAGGUUUUAACGAGGCACCCACCUUGGGCUGGUCAUAUCCCUGAUGACGUCCUGUAGAUGUUUCUUUUGACUUUGCAUUUCUCACACAUUUUCCUUAGACUAUGGAUUUUGUCCCUACUCGGGUUUUUGCCAUAGCCUUAGGGUUUUUUAGUGGGACUUACUACUUAUGCAAGUUCCUACCUUAUUGAGAAUAAGCGUUGUUCCUUGGAAUCAAUGCCGACGAGUCAACUUCCUCAACUUCUGCAUGAUACUGAAUCUACCUUGAGUAUUUACACACUCAAGGGGGAAUGUUGUAAACAUUCCUAGUUUAAGUAUGAUUGUGUAAAUCCUAGAUAAGAUUUGAUUCUAGUUAUCCUUUCUUAUUACAACUUGUAUUACUUGGAGGAGAAGAAAUAUCUUCUCUACCUUUACUACUAUAAAUAAAGGCACAAUGUAGGAGGGAUAACAACAUAUACAUUCCCCUACAAUUCUACAAACACACAUCUCUCUCCUCUCUCUCUGCCGCCGGCCCUAGUCUCUCUGUCAGAUAAAAUAGACCACAACAGUUCCUUAGUUUUCAAAAUUUUAUUUUCAUAUUUAGUCUCCUAACAUUGUCCAUGAAAUCACUUUAAUUUUGAGAUUAGAAGUGUCAACGACUCAGCAAGAUUAUUUCGCCAUCGCAAUUCCAGCAGAUUGAUUGGCAAUUAACAUGAAUUGAUUGAGUAGUAUACUAUAUUUUAUAACACAAAUCAAAAGAAAUUAACGAGAAGAAGCAACCCACUAGCAACAGUGCCGAUAAAAGCAAACCAAACGAAAAGGUGUGUGAACAUCCGAGCCAAAGUUACACUCACCUUUCAGGAGAAGCGAUAAGGCGGUGAAGAUAAGUGAAAGCCGAUCCGAACUGCAAAGUCAAUGAUGGAUGAAGCCGAUCCGAAUUGAGGAACUUGGAGGGAAACAUGGAUAAAGGUGGAAGAAAAUAGGGGGAAAAGAUGGAAAAGGUGGAAGGAAGAUAGAUGGAAGGAAACACGGAGAAAAAGUAGUCUUUAAAUUUGUCCCGCCAACAACUUUUUUUUCUAUUUUUUUUAACAAAAACGAUAAUAUCUACCAUAAGAGAGGGGUGUGCCAAAAUGACAAAAAUAUCCUUCAUUUAAUAAACAAUGGGCUAAAAUAAUUUGAUAAAAAAUAAGAGUAUUUUUGUCAUUUUUUCCUUAUUUAAUAGUGAUUUUUCACGGAAAAAUCAAAAUGAUCGAUGGUAAACAAACUCAGGGACUAGUUCUUAGAUUCUAAAUCUCAAGGACCAAAAUGAGGACUUAAAACCAAUCCUAGAGACUAUUUUGACUAAAAAGCCAUUAUUUUACCAAUGACACCAAUUUUAUUAAUCUAGAAAGAGGUGAUUCUAAAUCUCAAAGACUAAAAUGAGGACUUAAAUCAAUCUCAGAGACUAUUUUGACUAAAAGAACCAUUAUUUUACUAAUGACACCAAUUUUAUUAAUCUAGAAAGAGGUGACUCACCAAUUUGAUCUAUCAAACCUAAAAUGAAAAACAACGUAGUUUGGUCAUAGCACAAAAGAACUUGUGGGGUAAACCAAAUAGGUGGAGCAGUGUGUUCGUCUCUUAACACUUAAUUUCAAAUUCCUAUACCUAUAUAUUUGAGUAGUGGAAGUAAACAUUGUAAACCAGAGUGGUCUAACACCUCUUGAUCUGCUAAUCUUCCCGAGUGAAGCCGGCUAUAGGGAAAUUGAAGAGAUCCUUCGUGGUGCCGGAGCUUCGAGAGCACAGGACAUACACCAUACUCCCUCUCAUUGUCCCAUGGAAACAAAUUGUUGAACUAUAAGUAUUUGAGCUGAAAUGUUUUAGAAUAAGUUUUGUUUAAAUUGGUGAAUCCACUUGUGCAGAAUGAGGCAAAGUGUAAAUGUCUAGUUUUGUAAAAAGGCCAUGAGUGCCAUGUGUUGGUAGAUCCAUGAAAUUAGAGAGAUGUGUGUCUAGGAUGAAAUGUAGUAGUUUAUGUGGUCCCAAGUUAAGGACCUUCAGUUAAUGUAAAGCACGUGAGUGCUCAUUUCUGAAAAAAAAAGAAGCAAUUUUCCUCUGUAAAGUUUCUGCAGAGAAAAGAACAAGAAACCGUUCGCUUUCUCCAACCUUUGUUCAUCGUGUGUUUUCUGUACAGCUCCAUCUUCAUCAAAACUCUCAUUGAAAUCAAGUUACACUAACAUGGCCUCAGAGCCAGGUUGGGUCUAACAAUCUGGGCGUAAAUCUGUGAAGCUAUUUUUGAGCUCAAUCGAAGCUCUCUUGAAGCUCCGUGAACGUUGUCGAUUCAGAUCAAAACAUGUCUGGAUCUGGAGGCUCGGAAGUGAGGACUCCAAUUUUCUCCGGUGAGAACUACGAGUUCUGGAGAAUUAAAAUGGCAACGAUAUUCAAAUCCCUUGGGUUAUGGAACCUGGUAGAGAAGGGGAUUGAAACCUCCAAUCCGAAGAAGAAGGAAGCUGGAGAAGCAUCGAAGGAUGAUGAAGAAAUGGUAGCUGUUCUGAUGAAAGACACAAAGGCUUUGGGAAUCAUUCAGAAUGCAGUCUCGGAUCAGAUCUUCCCACGAAUCGCCAAUGCCGAGUCAGCUAAGAUGGCAUGGGAUUUGUUGUACGGGGAGUAUCAUGGUGGUGAUCAGGUACGAUAUGUGAAAUUGCAGAAUCUUAGGAGAGAGUUUGAAUAUGCUAGGAUGAGAGAUGAUGAGUCUUUAUCUAGCUAUCUUACACGGCUGAAUGAGCUAAUUAAUCAAAUGAGAACAUUUGGUGAAUCUCUGUCGAAUGAGAGACUGGUGCAAAAGGUUUUGAUUAGUCUUAGUAAACCUUAUGAUUAUAUCUGUUUGGUUAUAGAAAACACAAAGUGUCUAGAGACUGUAGAGUUGCAGGAAGUAGUUGCAAUCUUAAAAAGUCAAGAACAACGGUUUGAUCUGCAUACUGUUGAUACUACUGGGAAAGCAUUCUCAUCUUUCUCAAUGAGUUCAAAAGAGCAGGAUAGGGGUGAAGGUCAAUCUGGUUCAUCUCGGUUCCAGAAAAAUUGGAAUAACAAGGGCAAGAAAUGGGGUUCAAAACCUAAGUUUCAGCAUAAAUUUCCUGCUAAUCCUGCACAUAAUGCACAGUCAAUGAGGCAGAUAGGUACAAAACCACAGUGCAGGGUAUGUUCUAAGUUUCACUUUGGAGAGUGUAGGUAUAAAGGGAAACCUAAAUGCUAUAACUGUGAAAAGUUUGGUCACUGGGCUAGAGAGUGCACAGUAGGUAAAUUAGUGCAAAAGGCAAAUAGUGCUAAUCAGGUAGAGGUGACAGGGAACCUGUUUUAUGCAAAUAGCACAAUCACUGAAUCAAAAGUGAAUGGAGAAUGGUAUGUAGACAGUGGUUGUAGCAACCAUAUGACAGGGGAUUCUAAGUUGUUGAUAGACAUGAAGACAAAUGUGGUUGGCAAGGUUCAAAUGCCCACAGGGGAACUCAUGAAUGUGGCAGGUUUUGGUACACUUGUGAUAGACACUAGCAAAGGCAGAAAAUAUGUCAAAGAAGUAAUGUACCUACCUGGGUUGAAGGAAAAUCUGUUAAGUGUGGGGCAGAUGGAUGAACACGGUUACUACCUGUUAUUUGGGGGAAAGAUGUGUAGUAUCUUUGAUGGACCUUCAUUGGAUUGUCUUGUACUCAAAGUUGAAAUGAAAAAGAACAGAUGUUAUCCUUUGACACUGAUACAAAAUGAUCAGGUUGUACUGAGAGCAGGUAUUUCUAAGUCUACUUGGAUAUGGCACAAGAGACUAGGCCAUCUGCAUUUUAGAGGUCUUCAACAGCUUAAGAACAAAGAAAUGGUGCAUGGUCUCCCAGUUUUAGAAGAAAUGGAUGAAGUUUGUAAAGGUUGUCAGUUUGGGAAACAGCAUAGAGAGUGGUUUCCAAAGAAUCAAGCGUGGAGAGCAAGUAAACCUCUAGAACUGGUGCAUGUAGAUCUGUGUGGUCCUAUGCAGAAUGAUUCUCUUGCGGGCAACAAAUAUUUCAUGCUUCUUGUAGAUGACUGUACAAGAAUAAUGUGGGUUUAUUUUCUGAAAUACAAGUCAGAUGCAUUGAUCUGUUUUAGAAAAUUCAAGUCCAUGGUGGAAUUACAAAGUGGUUUUAAGAUAAAAUGUUUGAGGAGUGACAGAGGGGGUGAAUUCACAUCUUGUGAAUUCAACAAACUGUGUGAAGAUGCAGGGAUUCAAAGACAGUUAUCUAUGGCCUAUACUCCACAACAGAAUGGAGUGGUAGAGAGGAAGAACCGAGCUGUGGUUGAGAUGGCAAAAGCUAUGCUUCAUGACAAAGGACUACCAUACUACUUAUGGGCAGAAUCUGUACUCACAGCUGUCUAUAUAUUGAACAGGUGUCCUACAAGAGCUCUUGGAGAAGUAACUCCAUUUGAAGCAUUCAGUGGUCGAAAACCUGGAAUUGCACAUCUUAGAAUCUUUGGUUGUCUGUGUUAUGUACACACACCAAAUGAGUUGAGACAGAAACUAGAUGCAAAGAGUGUCAAGGGCAUAUUUGUAGGUUAUGCAACCUGUGAAAAGGGGUACAGAGUGUAUGAUCCUCUUAGUAAAAAGCUUAUACUCUCAAGGGAUGUUGUGUUUGAUGAAAAUGCAGCCUGGGAAUGGAAGACAGCUCCUGAGAACUAUGUAACUGUGUUUAAUCCUAUUGAGUUAUCUGUGCUGCCUAAAUGUAUCUCAUCAGAGACAACUCCAGAGGAAAAUGAUUAUGUUUUGUCACCAAAUCUGGCAUUUUCUCAUGAAUCUGUAAGUGAUGUGGACAGCAGCAUGAAAAUGACUCAAGCCUUUGAUCACACUCCAUUGAAAUGGAGGAAUCUAGAUGAUGUCUUGGCACAAUGCAAUCUUUGUAUUAUGGAACCUGAAAAAUUUGAAGAGGCAGCCAAAGAUGAAGCAUGGAUGAAGGCUAUGAAAGAUGAACUGUCAAUGAUUGAGAAGAAUGCAACAUGGGAUCUGGUGAACAGACCAAGUGAUAAACCCAUAAUUGGGGUUAAGUGGGUGUUCAAGACCAAGCUUAAUCUCGAUGGGACAGUGCAAAAGCAUAAGGCAAGAUUGGUAGCCAAAGGAUAUGCUCAGAAACCAGGUGUGGAUUACAAUGAAACGUUUGCACCUGUAGCUAGACUGGAUACAAUUCGGACUCUAAUUGCUUUGGCAGCUCAGAAAAGUUGGAAAUUAUACCAACUAGAUGUGAAAUCUGCUUUUCUGAAUGGAGUACUCGAAGAAGAAGUUUAUGUAGAACAACCAGAUGGUUUUGUGAUCAAGGGGAGUGAAGACAAGGUGUACAAGCUUUAUAAAGCUUUGUAUGGUCUAAAACAGGCACCAAGAGCCUGGUAUAGUGAAAUUGAUACCUAUUUUGCUCACUAUGGGUUUGUGAAAAGUCAGAGUGAAGCUACUCUUUACAUCAAAGUAAGGGGAGGAGAAAUUCUGAUUGUUUCAAUCUAUGUGGAUGAUAUAGUGUAUACUGGGAAUAGCACUGAGAUGUUGAAGGAGUUCAAGGAAGACAUGAUGACAAAAUAUGAGAUGACAGAUUUGGGGCUCCUUCACCAUUUUCUUGGUAUGGGAGUGAUUCAAACUCACACAAGCAUAUUUAUCCAUCAAAGGAAGUAUGCUGGUUCUUUGUUAGAUAAGUUUGGUUUGAAUGAGUGUAAAUAUGUGUUUACACCACUGGUUUCAUCAGAGAAGCUAUGCAAAGAUGAUGGCAGUGGUUCAGCAAGUGAGGAACAGUAUCGAAGAAUUGUUGGAAGUUUGUUGUAUCUCACAGCAACUCGACCAGAUAUAAUGUAUGCUGCAAGCCUUCUAGCUCGAUUCAUGCACUGUCCUACAAAUAAACAUCUUGGAACAACCAAAAGAGUGCUUAGGUACAUCAAGGGAACUUUAGAUUAUGGUUUAGAGUAUGUAAAGGGAAAGAAUGCAAUGCUAAUCGGAUUCUGUGAUAGUGAUUGGGGAGGAUCUGUUGAUGAUAGCAAGAGUACUUCUGGUUAUGCAUUUUCCUUUGGCAGUGGAGUGUUCUCAUGGGCCUCAGUGAAGCAGAAUUGUGUAGCACUCUCUACAGCAGAAGCAGAGUACAUCAGUGCCUCUGAAGCAACUGCUCAAGCCAUUUGGCUUAGAUUUGUUCUUGAAGAUUUUGGUGAGAUGAAAACUGAAGCAACUCCAGUACACUGUGAUAAUACAUCAGCAAUUGCAAUUACUAAAAAUCCUGUUUUCCAUCAGAAAACCAAGCACAUUGACAGAAGGUAUCAUUUUAUCAAGAAUGCACUCCAGGAAGGGAUAAUCGAUUUGGUGUACUGUCCAACAAAUGAGCAGGUGGCAGACAUAUUUACUAAGGCUUUGUCUAAGGAUCGAUUCAACUAUCUUCGAGAUAUGCUUGGUGUGAAAUCAGCUCAAAACUUAAAGGGGAGUGUUGAACUAUAAGUAUUUGAGCUGAAAUGUUUUAGAAUAAGUUUUGUUUAAAUUGGUGAAUCCACUUGUGCAGAAUGAGGCAAAGUGUAAAUGUCUAGUUUUGUAAAAAGGCCAUGAGUGCCAUGUGUUGGUAGAUCCAUGAAAUUAGAGAGAUGUGUGUCUAGGAUGAAAUGUAGUAGUUUAUGUGGUCCCAAGUUAAGGACCUUCAGUUAAUGUAAAGCACGUGAGUGCUCAUUUCUGAAAAAAAAAGAAGCAAUUUUCCUCUGUAAAGUUUCUGCAGAGAAAAGAACAAGAAACCGUUCGCUUUCUCCAACCUUUGUUCAUCGUGUGUUUUCUGUACAGCUCCAUCUUCAUCAAAACUCUCAUUGAAAUCAAGUUACACUAACACAAAUACCCUUCAGCUGCAGCAGCCAAACGACCCGAUGGAAUACUUCAAGUUCAAAAAGGGCAGAGACUCUCCCAGCGAUGCACGCACGGCGCUGCUAGUUAUUGCUGUACUAGUGGCCACCACCACCUUUCAAGCCGGACUCAGCCCUCCGAUGGGCAUUUGGCAGGACAGCCCUGGAUCAAACAUGAAUGGGACUGGCAGUGGGAGCAAUGAACCAGCGCACACAGCAGGGCAGUCCAUCAUGAGUUCUUACAAGAUAUUAGGAUUUUUCUUCUUUUACACUUCCAACUCGAUUAGACUUUCGUUUUCGCUUUACAUGAUCCAUGUCCUCACCACCAAUUUCCCUCUGCAGUUGGAGCUUAACAUUUGUAUGUUCACGAUGUUCUUGACGUACUGUUCUGCAAUUUCCGAAAUUGGACCGGAGAUCAUGUCCCACCCUGUGUUCGCUUUAACUAUGCCAGCGUUGGUAGCGUUGGUAAGGGUGUGGUAAGCGUAAUGCACCCGCUUAGAUGACCUGCAGUAAAUUGGACUCGAAGGCUCAUUUUAAAAUAGUUGUACAUUACACGUCUGUUUCCAGGAUCAUCGUUGGCGCAUUCAUCAUAGAAGCUCCAGCUUCGUAUCAAAGUCAGUCGUGACUAUCAUAAAUACCGUACAUUUGCUAUGUAUUACUAAAUCUUUGGUGUGGACUUCUUAUAUGAUAUAGCGUUAAGAAUUCAGUACGAAAACAGUAAAACAGAAUUAUUUGCACUAAUUCUUCCUCUUGAUUUAUGAUGGUGUUAGUUCUAUAAGUCGACAUCUUUGCCAGCCGCAAUUGAUACUGCCGUUUGAUACUGCAAAUGAAAGCCCGGUGGAUGCGCAAAAUUUCAAGCCAAUCUUACAGAUUGUAUGAAGAAAGGAACAAUGUAGUUGGUAGCACAGAAGUUUAUAAUCUUCUAGUUGGAGUAAUCUAAUUAAGGCUAUAAUAUUCAUACAGAAGGUUUUACAAAAUGAUCAUCUUUCGACAUGUAUAACAAUGGCGAUCUUUAAUCACAAUGACUUGUACAGCUCGAUCAAAUGAGAAGCAUGGAGGCACCACGUAGGAGCCACGGUGCAGCCCAAACUUUGCAGAUAAGAAAUCUGGUAAUUCACAGCAUAAGAAUCGAAUUACCGGGUCUCCUGACCAUCCUACGUACCAAUGUGCGCACAAGGAAAUGAGUAAGGUAAUCAAAUGCUGAGUCCUGCGUACCUGUUUCGGUGUUGGUUCGGAUGAACCCAUUUAGUUCUCAAUCCGUAACUUCUGGAAAUGCUCCUGAAAGCAUAAAUUUAAGCACAUCAUGAAAUCCCCCUUGCGGGAUUUUCCUUAUUUUUUCUAACUCAUCUUCCCACUCGCGUAUAGUUUUGUUACCAAGAAAAGCUCCCAGGACUUUGAGUGCUAAAGGCAGGCCUUGAGCAUAUUUUACAACACGAUUCGAUAGAUCAUCAUAAUCUCUGGUGGGUUGGUUUUUUCCGAAAGCGUGCUGCCUAAAGAGUUUCAGAGCUCCAGAAUCACUCAAAGUCUUGGGAUUAUAUAUCACAUCAGCUACGCUUAGUAAUUGCGAAUCUCUAGUUGUUAUAAUAAUUCUGCUUCCACCACCAAAGAAAUGUGGCUCUCCAAGUAGAGCUUCAAUUUGUUCUAAUUUGUCCACAUCAUCAACAACAAUAAGAACUUUUCUCUGGCCAAGGCUUUUUAACAUCACCUGAAAACCUUUACUCGAUAUGUCAGAGCUCCCCACCUUGUUGUCCGAGAUACUAGAUAGAAGUUGUGUCUGCAUAAGUAGUUCGCCGUGCUUCAUGAAACCCUCCUUGACAUUUUUAAGAAAGCAACAAGCUUCAAAUCGACAAGCGAUUUUAUCAUAAACAGCAUUAGCGAUGGUAGUUUUACCUAAACCACCCAUACCCCAUAUUCCAACAACUCGAACAUUAUUCGUUUCACCUCCGGGAGGAUAUAAUAAUAAAUGCAUUUCAUGCAUGCGAGAAUCCAUGUCAACCAAGCCAUUAUCUUUGCUUGAUGUUGAUGAGAUGUCGAUCAAUUUCCUAUAAACAUAUUCUACAAUUUCCUCAGUAAGCACCACAUCAUUCCUGUCAAAUUAAAAAAUACAAUAUAAUAACACCACCAAAUAAUAAUUAAUGGGUUUUUUCAUCUGUUAGUUAAAAAAAAAAACAGAAAUUAAAACUAAAAACUAGAUAUUUAUAAAAUUACCGCAAAACGUUACAAAAAUCCCAAAAAUUAAUAGGAAACUAAAACAAAUUAGAAUUUACUCAUAGUUUCGCGAAUCCCAGCCGGAUAAACUGGUGGCAGUUGUAAGAGCGGAUCUCCAGCUCUGAACCUCUUCCAUUUCGGCGUUAGAAUCGCGAUCGUGCUGAGCAAAAGCUUCCGCGAAACUUUUCUUGAGUUUACGAACAUCAGACGGAUCAACUUCAUAGAAAAUGGGGAGUACAAUCUGGUUAUUGGUAUCCUUGCAUUUCAAGAUUUGCACGAGUUCUUUCAAGCACCAAGUGGAAGAAGCAUAGUCUUGAGAGAAAACUACAAUCGAAAGCCUUGACUCUCGAAUCGCUGUCAGGAGCUCAGAAAGGUGGUCGCCUUUUCUGAGCUUCUCGGCAUCAAUGAAGGCGUUGAUUGGUUUCUUAGCCAGAGCGUUGUAGAGAUGGCUGACGAAGCCCCUGCGAGUGUCUUCCCCUCUGAAAUUGAUGAACACAUCGUAUUUGCAACCAAGGCCAGAAGAAGAUGAAGAAGAAGAAGCAGCCAUUAUUAAUCGAUCGCACCUGGUCAGCGAUGAUCGAGCAGCUAAGACUAAGAGAAUUGUAAGUACAGAGAUACUCAAUAGAUCUACAAAUUGGAUCACCAGAAAUUAGUCUGAUCGAUACCAAGUCAAUGAGUCAAUGCAAAAGGGAAAAAGGGGAAAGGGAAAUUAUGCUUUAUGUUUUUUCACAUCUUCUUCGGGGAAAUUUCGGUGUGAAAGGAAUCUUAUCCUUUUGAUUUUUUAACCGAAGCAAAUGCGAAGAAAAGGGUCAAGGUGGAAAAUUGAAUAGGACAAGGAUUGUCAGCCCUUCCACAUCUGGUGCUCUUCCGUGCCCUUUUGUUUAUGUUGUCACGGUUAAACCACAUUAACAUUUUAUAUUACUAUUUAUUUUUGUCUUAUUAUCUCUAUAAAAAAACAAUAUAAAAUGUUGACGUGACUUAACCGUGACCACACAAAACAGAAGGGCACGAAAGAACACCGAAAAUAGGAGAGCUGACAAUCCUUGUCCAAACUUAACCGUAAGACUUUUUGUAGUGAGCUACACCGGAUGACUUGAUAUAUUAUGACGAAAUAAACUAUUUAAAUAUACGGCUUACAUUGCGCAGUGCGCAUACUGGAUAAACAAUUAGCGCACCUGAUUGUAGGGAAUGGUGAUGCUCAUCGCUUAAUUUCGUUAUUGGAUUAGUUUAAGUUUUGAGGUUUGUGAAAUGGACAGAUAUAAAUUUUAAAAUUUAAACUCAGUCAAUAAUAAUAAAUAUGGUAGUGAGAAAAAAUGCACCAGUGACUUGUGGUUUAGAGACACACUCUCAAACUUAAAUAACAAUUUUCAUGCUUUCCAACAACACAAAAAUUUUAUAACUAAAAAUCAAUCAAAACAUAAUAAUUGAAUGAACGAAGAAAGCGUAUUAAAAUAAGGUUUUCUGACAUAUUUUGAGUGACACUUGCCACAAUAACGAAGAAAGCGUGGUAUUGUUGCACCUGCCAUAAAGUCAAGCUUGACAUUCUACAGUUGGAAGGCUAGCUGGCUGACUAGAAAUGGCCAGCCCGUUGGCUUGAUUUGGGGGUUUUGGCCAGAUGGGGCCCACAAGCCCUUUGGCCUAGCCUUCGAUUGAAGAUGGUUUUCGUGUCAUUCCGAGCUAUUUUUAGCCCUAUGACCUUUUGGCUGGGUCAGUUAGAGAUGGCUUUAGGUGCGGUGAUCGUAAUACCCUGAAAAUUUAAAUAUAUGAAUAUGUUGGGAAAAAUUGAAAAAAAAUCGAUUUAUGGUUAUGGAAAAUUUAAUUGAGAACUUUUAAAGUUUUUCCGGAAAUUAUUAUAAAUUACGUAUUUGUAUUCUUAAGAUUUUAUAUGAAUUUUCAAGAAUUUAUAAUAAUUUAAUUUAGUUUAGUUUUAAAUUAAACUAGUUACAAAGUUGGAAGUUUGGAAAUUAUUUAUUUAAAAUAUGUAGACCAUUCGAGGUCACAAUUUAUAUUUUUGAAUAGAGCUCGAUCUCAUGAACGCGUGGCGCAAACCGUUAGUAAAACGGAGUUCUAACGAAGAAGUUAUUAACAUUUAAAGUCAUGAAAAUUUUGGUAAUUUUAUUCAUUUUAGAAGGCUCCAGAAAAUCUAGAGCAAUGAGUUGUGCCACGUGUGUGGCUGGGAUGAAAACAAUUGGAGAGAUGGAUGGUUGUGAUUAAAGGAAAAUAAUAGAAAUGAGGGUAACCAAUGGGGAGAGAGAAUGAGGAGGGGAAAGGAGAAAAAGGAGAAGGAGGGGAACCCGACCCUCUCCUUCGACCCGGUUUUCUGACCCGAGCCCCACGCACACCCAACACCGAUUUCGGUGUUUUUUCCCGGUGAAUUGAGCGCCGCCACCACCCCUCCUGACUCCUCUCAUUGUCACGAACGGUAUCCGUCCACAUUUGGCUCAGUUUUGAUCAUGAUUUCAGAAGAAAAGGGAGAUGGACCCGUGAGGGUUUCAGAGUUUUCCGACGACAAAUCCGUCGUCUCCGGUCUCCACCGUUCCCACCACCACCACCUCCAGUUGAUUUCACUUGAACCCAGGAGCAAGGCCUAAGCACUAGCAGGGGCAUCGGAACAUCAAUGGAGUCGAAUCGAAUCCCACCAUUUCUAGGGUUUCCGGCGAGUUUGAGUGAAAUUGGGGCACUUCCACGCCAAAUUGGACUUAGCCAUAGGUAUGAAAUUUACUCCACUCACUGAGAUCUACUUGCCUGUAAAAUUUGGUAAUUUUUUGAAAUAGUUGAAUUUUCCGACAAGCCGGAGUGGCCAACCUCCACCCACGACUGCGGGUGCGGCGGCGCACGGUCAGGGAGCCGACAUUGUGUUAUUAUGCGAAUUUCGUUAUUCUAAUUAGGCUUUUGAGACCUAACUUCUGUGGUUUGAAUAUUAAUACGAUUGUGGUAUAUGUUGGAUUAAAUAAAUAUAUUCGGAUUUGGUUUGAGUUUUGGAAAUGUGAACUACGAAUGACUUGAUUCCUGUUUAGGGUACAUAGGUAGUAUAACAAGAUGUUAGAUGCAGCUAUACAAUAAGUUAGAUUAAAUAAACGAGACAAAGCUUUGAUUGAGAAAGUGAACUGAGUAAGGAGUUUGGAAUUUUAUUAUAAAAGGAAAUCUUAUGUUUUGUACAUAUAAAUUCUUGUUAUAAAUUGUGUGAACGUUUUAUAAAUUUAAGCAAGAAAUUAUGUAAUUAUGAUAAUUGGACAAUUGAGUUUGAUCUCUUGUUGGGAAAUAGAGUCGAUAUGAAGGUAUUGGUGUUGAAGUAAAAAUAUAAAUGUAUGUUUUGCUAAGUAAGUUUGGUGGAUACUUAUGUGAGUAGUUAGGAAAAUUUUUUUUUAAAGAAUAAAGUGUACCGAUAAUAAAUCAAACAAGAGAAGUGAAUUGGGCCUAUCAUUGGAAAUAUUUCCUGAAAAUAAAUAUUUCGGGGUUGGGGCGUUUCAGUGAUUGUCUUUGAGAUAUCGAAGGUUCUGUGUGAUCGAAUACUUCGUCCUCCUCCAGAGCCGCCACUGUUGAGAGGGUUACUUGCCUCAUGCAAACAUUAUGAAUUGUAAGUGAUGAAUUGUUCUGAUGAUGAGGUUUAUUUUUUAACUCAUUAUGUUUUGAGUUUAAACAUUUUUCCCUCUCUUUAAUGUAUAUAAGAUUAGUGUAAAAUAUUGUUCGUAAUAAAAAAAUAUAAAAAUGAUACAUUCUCAUUCAUAUAUAAGAUGAUCAAGUGUGGAAUUAAUACUUUUAACGAGUGACUCAAUUAACCAUUUUCAUUUCUUACGCAUUCAAAAUUAGACAAAUUCUUUGCAUACAUUUAAAAAAAAAAAGAUAUUCAGGAGACUUUGAAACUAUUACAUUACGGGAGAGGGAAUUUUGAACUCGGGACGCAUGAGUAGAACCCAAACGCUUCUCCACUAGGAUAUUAGACUAGUGCCGGUCCUGAAUUUUUUGGUGCCUGGAGCGAAUAAUGUGCCCUUUUCAAGUACAACAACAUAAAUUAAAAAGAAAUAUUUAAAGAGGGUUGGAACCCAGUCGAAGCCGGGGGGCUAGGCCCUCACGCCCAUAUUAUAUUACUCUGAAAACAAAAAAACAUACAACAUGGGAACAUAGUACUGAAACCUCGACAAUCAAAAGCAAAAUCAAAUACAACCACUCCAAGCAGUUAACAUAGCCAUCACAUAUUGAAUCCAAAAGGUUGACUACCCAUUCGCUGCAUAUAAUGUGCAGAAGAUAACAAAUUCUGAAGUGAUAUGCUCCCAAGUAUGAUAUUGGGCAGAAAAGAGCGGCGGCUUCAACCACUUCUUCAGCUAUAUCCGGCUGGGUGAGAGCAGCUAAAGACAUGAUUGUUCCCUAAUUACAUGAAUACAUGGAGUAAACACCAAAAGUAGCAGCAAGGGAAGGAGAUUUGAAGUAGAUGAAGAGGUGUGAAGAGUCUAAAGACCUGUGAAUGUCCAACAACAAAGACUUCGGAGCUUGUUGUCGAAUAUAUGCAGCGUAUCAUUUCUGACAGAUCAAAUCGAGCCAAUUCCUGCCAACUCCAAUCCCAAAAAUCCUACAGUAAAGCAUAAAUCUUAUUCUUUUCUGAUAAAGAUGUGCCCCUAACUCCAAUGUGUUUGACGCACAAUUCCUACCCAUACAUAGAAACCUUCAUCUGCAAAGACAAAUUCCAGCGAUUCUUCUGGAGAAUUUAAGAACCAUGCAUCACCUGGUUAGAGCCUAAUUUAAAAUGUAUCCGAUGGAUGUUCAUCAAUUUACACAAUAGUUAGUUUCAAGAAAGGAAAUUUCAACAGAACCUGAAAACUUCAGAUCAGGGGGCACCAAAUAGUGAGCUAUACAUUCAAAAUUUAAAAUAAUCAACUUAGUAGGACCAAUAUGUUGAAAAAAUUAGAAGGAGCUAUGAAAGUAAGGCUUUUCACUAAUCAGGCGUCCAGAGAAUCAAUAUUUUACUCACGUAUCAGUUACGGGGAACAAUCCCCACCAGAGCAAUCUCAUUAGUUCUUCACAUCUCAACCGUACAGAAAUUACACUAACAAACACGACUCCUGUUAGUCCUUCACAUCUCAAAUCCAGGAAGUACCCAUCUUUCGUCUGAAUCUGGAAAAUAAGCAGCACUCAAUUUAACAAUCUGGGUAUCUCAAAGUUACUCACUUUAAUCACAAAUUUAACAAUUAAACAUAUAAAUGGGCAUUUUCUAGUGAAAUAUUAGUAUAGUACUCACUGUGUGCUCGGAGCAAGAGCACCCAGAAAGCUCAAUGAGCUGUGCAGUGAGGGACUGUAGCGGUGAAUGACGGCAACCGAUUCUGUAAAAUUCAGUCGAGUUUUAGGCGAUUUCGGAGGUCAAGAGGCUGAUGAGGAAAGCUGGGACGGAAGGGCACUGGUCUGGAAGAAAGGCUCUGGUCGCCGCUGUCGCGAUUUGCAAAGGAAGAAGUGACAUUCUUCCAAAUAGGAAGAUGAAAUCGUUAAGGCUUUUAUUUAUUCCUCCUCUUGAUGCGCCCUUUUAGACUGCCAAUUCCAGACGAUCCAAUCUCAUAUAUCUUCCCUGCAAAAGCAUGUGUGCCAGACUUCAAGAUCAAAAUUUUCCAACAAAAGAAACUUAAAGAUCAAACUCGUUAGCGGAAUAAAUGGUGCACAAAGGGAGUUAAAAUCUUGACAGAUGUAUAUUUUUGGCAGAUUUUAUGUGAGCAUGCAAUUUUCUGUAGAACUUAAAAGCUGCAUAGCUGCUCUUGUUCGUUGUAUUGAAUACCAUGGUUUUACUGAUGAAUGCAGAGUUUGCUGACGAUUCAUACGACAAGCAAAUGAAUCAUCCACUGUAAUUUGCAGAGUUUACUGAUGAAUGCCCCACAUAUACCCAAAAAAAAAAAGUCAUUUAAACAAAUUCAGAGCGUUCAUCCACUGUAAUUUGCAGAUAUAGACACGUUAAGAUAAAAGGAAAUGCAAAGUACCUUUCACCCAAAUUGGAGGAGCAACGGUGGCAUUAGCAAGUUAGCAACGGGAAUUGACAUACCAACAUCUUCACAGUUUCUGCACAAGCACAAAUCAAUAGAAUCCGGCGGUGGAGUUAUGUACCUCUCCUUGGAAAAUGCCACCUCUUGGGAUUUCAAAAUAUGCGGCCGUGGCUAGCCAUCUGACAACGCCAAUUCCACCAAAGCCGCCGCAAUGGGGCAUAGUGUCCGAUUGAUUGCUUCAAACAGAGUACCCAAAACCCCUGAAAAUUAUUUCUUUAUUCAGAUAAUAAAAUUUCCCAAAUUUCGAAUUUUAAUUCCGUAUCAAAAAUAGGGUUUGAAUUUUGAUUACCUAGAAAUUGGAGGGUUGGGGCGAACACGGAGCGUGUCGGGAAUACCUACAAGGCUUUUGCAGUGUAUCAGAUUUAAAUACUGAAGCCCCGUAAGCCGUUCAAUCCAGGGGGAAAGCUCUUUGAUAGAUGUUCCAUCCAAGAAAAGCUCUCUUAAUCCUUCCAUAUCUUCUUUAAUGCUUGGAAACACCUCAAAUUUUGUACAACCGGAAAGAGAGAGAGAGACAAGGGACUUGAGCUGACAAAUGCUGCUUGGAAGACUCUUAAGUUCCUUGUAAUUUUUUAGUUUCAAAUGAUUCAAUCCUGUGAGAUUAUUAAUUGAUGAUGGCAAUUCUUUAAUUUUUGACCAUGAUAAAUCAAGAAUUUUUAACCCCUCAAUCACUUCUGAAAUAUCUGGAAACAUCUCAAGAUUCCAACAACCAUAAAAAUAAAAGGUUUUGAGAGAUUUCAUACGAAUGCUGCUUGGAAGACUCUUAAGUUUUUGACAAUUUGAUAGGUUCAAAUGAUUCAACCCCGUGAGAUUAUUAAUUGACGAGGGUAGUUCUUUAAUUUUUGACCCGGAUAAAUCAAGCUCUUCUAACCCCUCAAUACCUUCUGAAAUCGAUGGAAACAUCUCAAGGCUGGAGCAAUCAUAAAGAUUAAAGGUUUUCAGACACUUCAUAUGAAUGCAGCUGGGAAGACUCUUAAGUUCCUUGCAAUCUUUUAGGUUGAAAUGACUCAACCCUGUGAGAUUAUUAAUUGACAGGGGCAGUUCUUUAAUUUUUGACCAGGAUAAAUUAAGCUCUUCUAACUCCUCCAUACCUUCCGAAAUCUCUGGAAACAUCUCAAGACUAGAGCAGCGAGAAAGAUUAAAGGUUUUGAGAGAUCUCAUACGAAUUUUGCUGGGUAGAAUCUUAAGUUCCUUGCAAUUUGAUAGGUUCAAAUGACUCAACCCCGUGAGAUUAUUAAUUGAUGGGGGCAGUUCUUUAAUUUUUGACCUGGAUAAAUUAAGUUCUUCUAACUCUUUCAUACCUUUUGAAAUCUCUGGAAACAUCUCGAGACUGGAGCAGCCAAGAAGAUUAAAGGUUUUGAGAGAUCUCAUACGAAUUUUGCUAGGUAGAAUCUUAAGUUCCUUGCAAUGUGAUAGGUUCAAAUGACUCAACCCCGUGAGAUUAUUAAUUGAUGGGGGCAGUUCUUUAAUUUUUGAAUAGGAUAAAUUAAGUUUUUCUAACUCCUCCAUACCUUUUGAAAUCUCUGGAAACAUCUCAAGAUUGGAGCAGCCAGAAAGAUCAAAGGUUUUGAGAGAUCUCAUACGAAUUUUGCUGGGUAGAAUCUUAAGUUCCGCGCACCAAUUCAGAUCCAAUAAAACAAGGUUUGUAAGAGUCGAAAUAGACGCGUGAACCUCAACUAAGCUUAUACAACUUCGAACAAUUAGCCUCUCAAGAUUUGGCACAUUUGUGAAGUCAGGGGUUUCCUUAAGGGAUUGACAAUGACUUAAAUUGAUGAAUUUCAACUUUUCCUGCGUCUGUUAAAACAUUCAGGAAAACAUGCAUUACUUAAUAAGACAUCUCACUCAAAGCCCAAACAUUUAAAAGAAACAAAUACAUGUAAAUGAUUGUACGUACCUGGGUUCCUUCCCAAAGUCGAUCAAUGAGACUAUAUUGCAUGUCAAGUUCAACAAGAUUUUCGAAUUGAAAGUUGGAUGGCAAAGACUUGAGAGGGAAAUCAAGCCAGGAGAGAUACCUCAGGUUAAGCAACUUUAAGGACCCAAACAGGUAUUGUUUGCAGUACUCAUCUUUAAAAACGAAGUGCCUAUGACUGAUCUCGAGAAGUCUUUGUUGAGUCCUUCCAACAACAGCUUCAGCAUUUAAGUUCCUAUGAUGACUGAUCUUGAGAAGUCUUCGUUGAGUCCUUCUAACAACAGAUUCAGCAUUUAAGUGCCUAUGACUGAUCUUGAGAAGUCUUAGUUGAGUCAUUCUACCAAAAGCUUCAGCAUUUAAGCAUGGCCAGCCUGAGUACGAGAAAUCCACAAUUAUGCUUUCAACUGUUUUUGUAGCCUGUGCAAAUCAAAGUAAAGGAAAAUACAGAGAACCUUAGUUUUGAUUAUGAAAUUAAUGAUUGUUUCUUAAGGAGCCGUCUGAUAAUCAUUUCAUUUUCUGUUUAAUUGUUUUCAAUUUCAUUAUUACAACAAUGAAAACUAAAAAUUGAAAACAAAAAUGGUUAUCAAACGGGUCUAAGAAAUUGAUUUUGAUCAAAAGUUGAACCUUUCUACUAACAAUUGCAUAAGAAAAAUAUUUCUCACCGCAUUUUCAGUUAGCACCUGACGAACAUCUUCAUAACUCCACAACCUACUUCGUCUCCCAGGAUCUUUGAUAGAUUCUUGGCGGACAAUUUCCCAACCCAUUUCCUCUAAUGAAUCAUGCAUCUCCAAUUCCCCCAACCUUGAGACAGUUAUGAGAGAUCGAUCGAUUAGAACUUUUAUUCCUGUAUGAGGAUGGAAACCACAACUGUCCAGAAUUUCAGUUGCCUGGUCUUCCUUCAUCCCUUUAAAGAAACAUGCAAUAUCUAGAAAGAUGUCCUUCUGCGUGUCAUCUAGUCCAUCGAAGCUUGUUUUAAGCACAUCAUGAACUCCCCUUUGUGGGAUUUUCCUUAUUUUUUCCAACUCACCUUCCCACACGCGUAUGGUUUUUUUAUGCAAAAAAGCUCCCAAGACUUUGAGGGCUAAAGGCAGACCUUGAGCAUAUUCUACAACACGAUUCGAGAGAUCAUCAUAAUCUCUAGUGGGUUGGUCAUUUCUGAAGGCGUGCUGCCUAAAGAGUUUCAGAGCUCCAGAAUCACUCAAAGUCUUGGGAUUAUAUAUCACAUCAGCUAUGCUUAGUAACUGCGAAUCUCUACUUGUUAUAAUAAUCCUACUUCCACCACCAAAGGAAUGUUGCUCUCCAAGUAAAGCUUCAAUUUGUUCUAAUUUGUCCACAUCAUCAACAACAAUAAGAACUUUUCUCUGACCAAGGCUUUUUAACAUCACCUGGAAACCUUUACUCAAUAUGUCAGAAAUCCCCACCUUGUUGUCUGAGAUACUAGAUAGAAGUAGUGUCUGCAUAUGUAGUUCACCCUGCUUCAUGAAACCCUCCUUGACAUUUUUAAGAAAGCAACCAGCUUCAAAUCGACAAGAGAUUUCAUCAUAAACAGUUCUAGCGAUGGUUGUUUUGCCUAAACCACCCAUACCCCAUAUUCCAACAACGCGAACAUUAUUCGUUUCACCUCCGGGAGGAUAUAAUAAUAAAUGCAUUUCAUGCAUGUGAGAAUCCAUGUCAACCAAGCCAUUAUCUUUGCUUGAUGUUGAUGAGAUGUCUAUCAAUUUCCUAUAAACAUCUUCUACAAUUUCCUCAAUAAGCACCACAUCAUUCCUGUCAAAUUUAAAAAACAUAUAAUAACAACAUCAAAUAAUAAUUAAUGGGUCUUUUUCAUCUGUUAGUUAAAAAAAAAUAGAAAUUAAAACUAAAACUAAAAUCUAAACGUUACAAAAAUCCCAAAAAUUAAAAGGAAACUAAAACAAAUUAGAAUUUACUCAUAGUUUCGCGAAUCCCAGCCGGAUAAACAGGUGGCAGUUGUAAGAGUAGAUCUCCAACUCCGAACCUCUUCCAUUUCGGCGUUAGAAUCGCGAUCGUGCUCAGAAAAGCUUGUGCGAAACUUUUCUUGAGCUUACGAACAUGAGACGGAUCAACUUCAUAGAAAAUGGGGAGUACAAUCUGGUUAUUGGUAUCCUUGCAUUCCAGGAUUUGCACGAGUUCUUUCAAGCACCAAGUGGAAGAAGCAUAGUUUUGAGAGAAAACUACAAGCGAAAGCCUUGACCCUCGAAUCGCUGUCAGGAGCUCGGAAAGGUGGUCGCCUUUUCUGAGCUUUUCCGCAUCAAUGAAGGCGUUGAUUGGUUUCUUAACCAGAGCGUUGUAGAGAUGGCUGACGAAGCCCCUGCGAGUGUCUUCCCCUCUGAAAUUGAUGAACACAUCGUAUUUCCAACCAAGGUUAGAAGCAGCAGCCAUUAAUCGAUCGCACCUGGUCAGCGAUGAUCGAGCAGCUAAGACUAAGAAUAAUGUAAGAACAGAAAUACUCGAUUGAUCUAUAAAUUGAAUCACUGAAGAAACUGGUCUGAUCGAUACGAAGUCAACGAAGACAAAGAAAAUAAUGCUUUAUGUGUUUUCACAUCUUCUUCCGGGAAAUUUAACGAAAAUAAUUUUCCUUUAGGCAAAAUUGACUUCAAAAUAUAAAAAUAUUCUUUCAAUUAUGGACAUAUGACAUUUCGGUGUGAAACGAAUAUGCUUAUUUGGUUUGGUUUGGACCCAAGAAAGGACAAAGAUUGUCUGCCCUCCUACUUCCGGUGCCCUUCCAUGCCCUUCUGUUUGUGUAGUCACGGUUAAGCCACGUCAACAUUUUAUAUUACUAUUUAUUUUUGUCUUAUUAUCUCUAUAAAUAAGCAAUAUAAAAUAUUAACGUGGCAUAAUCGUGACCACAGAAAACAAGAGUUGGCACCAAAAAUAGGAGGACAAACAACCCUUGUCCCCCAAGAAAAUGCUAAGAAAGGAUGGUUUAGCAGCUGUGCAUGAGGGGACUGGGUCAAAGUACCCUGUUGAAUCCACUCUUGCCUACCCAACAACUUAUUUAGUUAUUUGUAAGCCCGAAAUAUAUCCCGAUCUUUCUAUUCACACCAAAAGUAAGUAGAGUGAUAAGAAAUAUUUCCGGUUAAGUAUAAGCAUGUCAGUCUGCAGCAGCAUAGCCACGUUAAGGGCUACCGUGGGCUGUAGUCUAUGUAAUUUUCAGUGAAAAAUAAAAUUUUACAUGUAAUUUUUAUUGAUUUUCAAAUAUACUUCUUCAUAUAUACAGUCUUUAAUCUGAAUUAUCUCAUUUUAAUUAUAUAAUUAUAUAAUACAGUUUACAAACUGUCUCUUUUUCUUACAUCAUUUUUCUCACCGCUUCUUGCACAUGUACAAGUUUGGAUUUUGUUUGAAUUUUAACACGUAUUUGUUUAAAAACGAAAAUCCUUGGCUUACAUAGUGAAAAUUUUCUUAAGUUAGCUGAUACUUUGAAAAAUACAGGAUCAAGUUUCUUUGUUUAUAAAGAUUUAAAUCUUUAAGCUAGCCCACCCGGUGAAAAAUUCCUAACUCCGUCAUGCAUUUUACAUAUAAUUUUUAUUGAUUUUCAAAUGUAGUCCAUCAUAUAUACCGUCUUUAAUCUGAAUUCUCUUGGUUUAAUUAUAUAAAAUUAUAUAAUACAGUUUACAAACCGUCUCUUUUCUUACAUCCUUUUUCUCACUGCUUCUUAUACAUGUACAAGUUUUGAUUUGUUUGAAUUUUAACACGUAUUUGUUUAAUAACGAAAAUCAUUGGCUUACAUAGUGAAAAUUUUCUUAAGUUAGCUGAUACUCUGAAAAAUACAAGAUCAAGCUUCUUUGUUUAUAAAGAUUUAAAUCUUUAAGCUAGCCCCCUGGUGAAAAAUUCCUAGCUUCGCCAUUGAGCAUGUGGUAUAUCCUAUGAUAUCAUGGACGGCAAACGAGCGAUUAAUGGUUGUUUGGCAUUUAAUUUGAUGUCACGGUAGUAACGGUACUCUAAAAUCUUUGAUAUACUUGCUUUCAGCUACAAAACUACUAGAACUCCGAAAAUUGCUUAUGAAAAUAAAAAUAUUGACUAGAUUUGAACUUGUAUAAUCUAUGUCUUCACUACACAUUGUUGUGUUCGCUCGUGUUCUAAAGUUGACGCUAGCUAGAAGGUCACAGCAAGAAGCAGAGGAGGCUAACUAUUGCAGAAAUUUGUUUAUUCAAAAGCAUUUGUAAAAACACAUAUUGAAAUUAAUUCACGCCAAAAAUAAAUAAUACAGUGGUGGCAGGCACACUACAACAAUAGGGUUUUAACCCUAUGCAUUUUUAUAUUGGCUUUUGUGUUAUCAGUUGCGACCGCUCGGUGGAGAGAGCAUUUUAUGUUAUGAAUAAAAAUACCACUGCGUAACAAAAUAGAAGAUUAAUGGUUGAGUGAUAGCUGGUUUGUUUGCAAUGAGAGAGAUGUUUUUGCUUUUAUUGAUAAUGAAUCUAUAUACGCGAUGUUUUCAUAGCAUAAAACAUCGCCGACAACAAUUGUAACUUUUUGUGUUGAUAAAUUAGGAAAGACAUUAAUAUUUUCUAAUAUCUAAAAGAAUUUGGAUGUCUACAUUUUUUUGGAAAACUUUUUACCCUUCUAAAUUUCGCGCCUCUCCCGACAAUUCCUAGCUUCGCCACUGCUAUAGUCAACUCCAAGUCUUGUCCAUGAUAUCAAUAUCCCUACUGUAAACGGUGACUUCAAUAUAAGCUAACAAAAAGUUUGUAUAGAGAAGAUAUAUGCAUGAAAAAAUGGCAGUGUUUGUGUUGCCGAACGGAUGAUACUGAAAUACCUAAACCCAAGUCAAGCUCCUUUAGUCCACAAAAACAAAAGUUUAGAAUACAAUAAUGUUUGCAUAUAGAUUGGAGAAACGACAUACCACCGGCCAGGAAGGUGCAGUGAAAGAGAGAGGAAAAGAGGAAAGAAACAAAUACGAAAUGACAAAGACUAUCAAAUAGAUUAUAACAAUGACUUCUUAGCGGUGAUCACAACUAUUCAACUAUCGAUGAUGCUUUAUUUUAGAUUGAGAUGUGGAAGCAUCUGAGAAGUAGCAUGUCAACAACCAUUACACAAUAAUAUUGUCUAAUAUCUAAAAGAACUUGGAUAUCUACAUUUUUUUAGAAUCUUUUACCCUUAUAAAUUUCGCACCUCUUCAGACAAUUUCUAGCGUUGCCGCUGCUUCAGUCAACUCCAAGUCCUAGUGGUUCUUGUCUAUGAUAUCAAUAUACCCAUUGUAAAUGGUGAUUUCAAUAUACAUAGAGUGUGUACAGGGGAGAUAUAUGUAUGAAAAAAUGGCAGUUGUUGUAUCUGUGUUGACGAACGGAUGGUACUGGAAUACCUAAACCCAAGUCAAGCUUCUUCAGUCCACAAAAACAAAAUGUUUAUUAUAUAAUAAUGUUUGCAUAUGGACUUGCGAAACAACAUACCGCCGGUUGGGAAGGUGCAAUGAAAGAGAGAGGAAAGGGGGAAAUAAACGAACAAGAAAUGACAAAGGCUAUCCAAUAUAUUAUAAAAUGACUUCUUGGCAGUGAUUAAGCUAUUCAAUUAUCAAUAAUGCAUUAUUCUUAAAGUUUAUAAUAUAAUAAUGUUUGCAUAUGCACUUGCGAAACGACAUAUCGUCGACUGGGAAGGUGCAAUGAAAGAGAGAGGAAAGGAGGAAAUAAACGAACAAGAAAUGACAAAGACUAUCCAAUAUAUUAUAAAAUGACUUCUUGGCAGUGCUUAAGGUGUUCAACUAUCAAUAAUGCAUUAUUCUUAGGUUGAAAUGUGGAAGCAUCCGAGAAAUAGCAUGGUAACAACCACACAAUAAACAAAAGUGAUUAGAGAAAAGAACCAAAUGUGAAAGGAUAAUUAAAAACAGUUAUUCAAGAUCGGCGGUAAAUCAUUCAGCUAUUUACAAGAUUUGAACUUAGAACCGCAAUCUACUAGAUUGUUGUAUCAACUAUUAAGUGGUGUUCUAAUAUAAUUCUUAGGAAUUUCAAGGAGGCAUAUGGGGGUGGAUCAUUUUUUUUCUAAAUUCGACAGUACAAAGAAGAAUUUAAUUGAUAACGGAAAAAAUAAGUUACAUAUAGAGCUGGAGCAUAUAAUAGACCCAAAUUGACCAUUUUUAGGCUCCACUGCUAAGAACUAUUGCAAAAUGCUCAUUAGGAUUACCCUGUGAACUCCGUCCUUCCACACCAAGCCUCCAAACUCAGUCCGAUAUGUUGCAGCUAGUUUAGAUACUUGUCCCCUGCAUGUUACAGAAUCACAAGAGCAAGCUUACAAAACUGCAGUUUUUACUCAUAGUUAUUGCAAAUGAAAAUACAGGUUGGUGCCAGCAAUUAUCAGUGUAAUUCUCUAUCCGACGGUAUUUCUCUCGCCUUCUCUUGAUAAUUUCGGAUGUGACAUGUUUAAGAUAACUCUUCCAAACACGUUGCUUAUGCCUAAUUUUUAAUACCACCAUAUCAUAUCAUAGUAAAUCCAAAUAACUAUCGAAUGGCAUUUAGGCAUCUAGAAUAUCAAAUGCAUUACUUUACAUUGAAAAUUCAUUUAUUCAAUAGCAUUAAUACACUAGUAAAAAAAACACUUUGCACGACGUAGGUCCUUCGUCGCGCAAAGUCAAAACAUGUCGCGCAAAACUUUGCCCAACGAACCUUCGUCACGCGCAAACCGUCGCAGCAAGGCAGUGACAUAAGGCUUUGCACGACGAAGGGUUACAUGCAUCGCGCAAAGCCACUUUGCGCGACGCAUGUAACCCUUCGUCGCGCAAAGCCAUUUUGUGUGAUGCAGGCUGCGUCGCUCAAAGUGGCGUCACGCGAAGAUGCUUUGCGCGACACAUGUCAUUGAGUUGCACAAAAUGACUUUGCGCAACGUAACCUACGUUGCGCAAAGUGUAUUUUUGGUUUUGGUCAAAAAUAUUAUUUUCUUAAUUUUUAAUAAUGUUGUAAUUAAAUUCUAAACAAUAAUUAAUUAACCAAAAAAAGUAUUUAAUUAUAAAAUAUAUGGAAAUGUACAUACAAGAUGUCCGAAUAAAAAAGAAAAAACUACAAGUAGUCUUCUAGGUGAAGUGGCUACUGGGUAUCAACAUGGUGAAGUGGCUUCUAGGUGAAGUAACAUUUCGAUGACGUGAAAAAGUUUCAAUUGGUCAUCUACAAGUGUCAAACCUAACACAUUUUACUUAAAAAAGAAAAAGGUAAUAACAUAACUCAAAACGAAAAGCAAAAGGGAAAAAAAAAAACUUUGCGCGACAUAAGUACAUAUGCAUCUCGCAAAGUUUUUUUUUCCCCCUAUUGCAGAUACAAAUAACAUCAUCCUUUUGCAAGAAUCAGUCUCUGCCCUCUCGCCCUCCCUCUCCCGCUCCCUCUCCUUCUCCUUCUCCCCUGUGUAGUUGUUGGUUGUGUUGUACGAAGUCGUCCCUCUCCCUCUCCCAUGUGUUGUUGUUCGUUGCACAAAGUAUUUUGCCCGAUGCAGGUGUACCUACGUCCCGUAAAGAUUUUUUUUUUUGCCCUUUUGCUUAUGAGUACAAAAUAAAUAAAUUAAAAUCUACUUACUAAAUCAACUAUGGAGCUUUUGACUUGUGUUAGAACACUGGAAAGAAAGACAAAAAGAGACAUUUUCAUGUUGACUUUGCACGACGCAUAGUACAUCAUGCGUCGCGCAAAGCUGUUUUGAGUGACGUAGUGUACCUGCGUCGUGCAAAGUUGGAAAAAAAACGGUAAAACAUUCUUGGUUUGGCCCCAAAAUCUUGCGCGGCGCACAAAACGUCGUGCAAGUGGUCUUUAUGCGACCAUACUUUGCGCAACGAAGGAGUGCGUCGCGCAAAACAGUUUUGAACGACAUAGAUGUACCUUCGUCGCGCAAAACAAUUUUGUGCGACCCACUCCUUCGUCGCACAAAGACCACUUGUGCGACAUCUUGUGUUUAGCGUUGCACAAAGUAUGUUUGCGCGACGAAAUUUGCUACGUCACGCAAACAUGUUUUUGUACUAGUGAUAACACACACAUUGAAUCUCCACUUGCCCACCCAAAAACUUCUUUGUAAACUAGAAAUAUAUUCCAAUCUCCCUAUUCACAUGAAGAGUGAGUUAGAGUGAUUGGAAAUAUCUUUGAUUACGUGUACGCACACCACAUAUGUGCCAUAUCCAACGGUAUUGCGGACAUAAAGCAAGCAAGUAAUGGUUGUUUGGCUUCUAAUCUGAUGUCACGGUAGUGACGGUACUACUUUGAAAUCUUUGAUGUAUAUGUUUUUAACUACAAACUACUAGAACUUCACAAAUUGCUUAAAUACAAGUUCAAGCAAUAAUAAGAAUAUUUCCAAUAGAACACCUUUCAUAGGGCCGGUCCAGAAAUUUUUGAGGCCCGGGACGACGUAAAAAAAAGUGCCCUAACUUCAUGUAAGAAAAUUAUUUAUUUUCACACGUAAGACAUCGAUAAAAUUAUACUUAGAAAAACACUUCAAACUUAAUAAUUUAAAAACACAUAAAGACUAAUUUAUUUUGUAUUGAGAGAGGGAAACAACAAAACUUCGGGCUUACAAGUAGAUAGAUGAUGAGUUUUGUUUUCCAUCUGAACUUUGAAUGUGUUUUUGAAUAAAUCAUGAGGUGUUUUUUUCUUAUUUACUAAUCUUGUCAAUAUGGGACUAUAAAAAAAUGAUGUUUUCGAGUCUUUAAUUGAUAUGUAUUAUUAAUGAAUUGGCACUAAAUUAAACAUUUUGAUGACAUGUCAUAUAAUUUGCAAAUUUGGUCUACGUAUUAUUCUUUGUUGAAGAUUAGACUUGAAUUAAAACGAAUAUUUAAAAAUAACAACCCACAUAUCUACUAGAUAGUAACUAAAAAUAAAUUAACAACCAAACAAAAAUUUGUAAAAAUUGAAAAGAAUAAACAUGCACAUAGCACUUCAAACAAAAAUCAUUGUUUCUAAGGGGGGUGUAUUCAAUUGAGAAUGUGAAAGAUUUUAAUGGAUUUAUAAAUCCAUGGAUUUUUAUGGAGUUUAAUUGAUUUGUAGAGAUUCCAUAUAAAAUUUUGAUUCAAUUCCUUCGAAAUCUCAUGGGAAGAGGUGAGAUUUGUGGAUACUUAAAAUACACUACGAAAUCUCUCCAAUUCCCUCUAAUUCUUUAACUUUCUCAAAUUCUUUAAAAUCAAUUUCUAAUUGAAUACACUUGGAAUGUUAUAAACUUCUUUAAAAUCUUAAUUGAAUACACCUGGAUUUCUAAGGAUUUUAAUAAACUAUUUUGAAAUUCUAAUUGAAUACACCUAGAAUUUCAGAGAAUCACUUAAAAUCCUAAUUGAAUACCCCUGGAAUUAUUAAUUCCCUGAAACUCUCUCAGAAUCCUAAUUGAAUACACCCCUCUAAGUAGACUUCUUGAUCCUUUUACCAAAUUUUAUAAAUUUAUUCUCUUAUGAAAAGAAAUUUGUAAAAAAUGAAAUGUAAAUAAGCACACAUGGUGUUUUGAACCCAAUACCUCCUCAUUAUUUUCAAAUGACAAACCACCACUUCUAGUUAAAUUUCUAUGUCUUUGAACCAAAUUUUAUAAAUUUAUACUCUUAUAAAAACAUACAUAAAUUGACACACCCCAUCCCGAAGGAGGGCAUGCUGGCCGUCACGUGAGAGUGACGUAACCAUUUGCACAGUACGGAAGCUUUAAGAUACAAUUUAUAAGUUGAUACACCCGAAGGUGAGUCCUAAUUUUGUCCAAUCUGUCAGAACACCGUCGAAUUCCUCGUAGUCACCACACCUUUGUGAUUCUUGAACCUGGAGGGGCGCAAAACCAAAAUUGAGUGGGUCAGUAAAACAAUUCUUUUCCAAAUCCAAACAUUUCUCAAAACGUUGUAACCCCUCUCCGUAAAACCUGUAUACUUUCCCAGAAAUGUAAAAUAUAAAUAUACAUAUAUAUUCUCAAAACUUCAUUUUUACUAUCUCAACAUUUUUCUUUAUCAAUCAUGCCAUGCCAUGUCUAAUUCAACAGUUAAAUAUGGAUGCAUCAACAAUAAUCAUAUCAGGUGCAAGAAAGUAAUCAACCGGAGGCCCUCUAAUAGCCCUGUACGGUUGAACCUAGAGCUCAAAAUCUAUCACUAUCACUCUACCGGAGUCACCUCUGUGACCCGUCCGGCCUUCUGCACACAAGUUAUGCUCUAGUGCUUUCUCAUCAAUCAUCUGUGCACAUAAUCUAAGGUCACCCACCAGUCGGAAUCUCACUAACACUCUCGCGACUGGCCUGUCGUACCCACUCCGCGUGGACUGUACGACUAGCAUCUACUUGGAUCCAAGGCGAGCGUGCGAUGCGGUGAAUACUAUAAGCACUAAACCAUUGGUGCAGGAUUUGAGCUCAAUAUAUAUCAACAUCAUCAUAACAGUAAUUAAAUACUCACCUGAUACUCACCUGUGCGUCCGCCGCACCAUUCAUUCAUAUGCAUCAUAUCUCAAUUCAUACUUUUCAUAUCAUUUCAUGCAUGGCAAUUCGAUUCACAUUUCUAUAUACUUUUCAUAUACUUUUAUGCAUGGCAUUUCAACUAAUAUAUCUCAUAUACUUUUAUACAUUUUCAUUAAAAACAUAAUUUCAUGCAUUUUCAAUUUCUGGGAAACGGCAAGUAUAUAUGUAUACGGAAAACAAAACUGCCCACUCACCUGGAGUUCGCCCUACAACUCCCUAGCACAAUACGCCAAGGCGUCAUGACGAUCGGCGCCUAAAAACAAUAAUUAAUUCCAACCUCAGAAUUCAUAGUGAUAGAAUAUAUAACUUAUAUAAAAUACGUCACUACGUAGUUCGAUCCGGAAGAUCUGCCACUCAGAUUUUAAAUCCAUAACUUCCAGAGGUCCACAAUAUACCUCUAGGACAACUUCCUAAAAUUUCAUUACCAUCCAACGGUCGGAUCUCCGUCAAUUUCCAAAACUAAGUGACGGUUAACAUUUUAUUUUAUGAACUUACAAUUCCAAUUCCGGAAGAUCCGUAACUCGGAUUCCCAAUCCGUAAGUUCCAAUAAUCCUCAAAUAUUACGUAUUACAACGUAUCAAAGUUUGGUAACGAUCCAACGGUCGGAUCGUCAAUUCACAUUUUCACCAAAACUAUAAAACGUUAUUCGAACACCUAACCAACAAUCCUUAAUAACUUUCUCAUACGGUGCUCAAAUUGGGUAUAUGAAUAUACCACGGUGAUCUACUCGACGUCACGGACGUCGACAUAUUUUUAAAAUAAUUUUAUUUAUUUAUUUUUUUUAACUGUAGCACCUUCUUCUUCCUUGGGUCGCCGGACUGGUUUUUCCGGCGGCCGUUUUCCGGGCAGUUUUUCAAAUUGUCAUAACUUUGUCAUUUCUCAACGAAAUCAAGUGAUUCAAAAACGAAAGUUGUAGCCCUUGAAGAGACAAAGAGAAUGGUACCUUGCACAACACCUAGUUCGCCGUGGUUUGGCCGGAAACUGCCUCGAAAGCCUCGGAGGUCGCCGGAAACUGGGUAUUUUUCAAAUGAGUAUAACUUCUUCAAUACUCAACGAAAUUGAGUGAAACAAAAAGGAAAGUUGUAGUACUUGACGAGACGAAGAGAUUGAUACCUACCUCGACUCCUAACUCGCCGGGGAUUCGCCGGAAAAUGCCUCGAAGCUCCGGCCAAACUUUGAACUUGUCGAUCUCCGUGUUCUUACGUCCAAAAACUUCCAACGAAGCACUCCGAGCUUCCUUGGAACCUCACUAAGCUCACUGUGAGCUUGGAUUGUCCUAAAACAAAGUCAAUUCGAAGAUCAUGAACAGUGCACUUUCACGGGGAGUUUAGAAUCUAGGUUUUUCCGAAGUAAAACUUACCUGAAAUUGGUGUCUACGUGAUCGUGGAGUCUCCAGGAGUUCGAUGGUGGUCUUAACUCCGUCGUUGGUAUAGAUUUAGGGUGGUUUUGGAGCUCGUCUGUGUGAGUUUGAAGGAGAGGGAGAGAGACAGAGAAUGAGAGAUUGUGAGGGAGGAGAGAGAGACAGGGUACGGGAAAUAGGGAGGGAUUUGAGGUGUGUGGUCCUACCUAACCCCAAAUCAUAAAAUUCCAUCUCCAAAUAACUUAGAAACAUAUAUUUCACCAAUAUAUGAUUCACAUAUCUUAAUCACGUUUAAGGGAAAUUCCGUCAAUUUACAAUCACGAGUGUAAAACUUUGGGACGGGCUGUGACAUAAAUAUAUCACCCUAAUAAUUUUGGUGCCCCUAAUUUUUCUGGGCCCUGGACGGUCGCCCUGCCUACACUGGGCCUAGGCCGACCCCCUUUCACAAUCCCUGGAGAGCUAGUUCAUUAAUAGACCGAGGAAUAAGUAAAUUGACUCAUUCAUAUAUUUAGAUCAUGAAUGUUUGGAAUCCAUAUUAUGUAAGGAGACAUUGCUUUUGCUAUUAUGAAAUUUAAAAAAAAAAAUGACUAGAUUAGAACUUGCAUAAUCUACGUUUUAUUCAUGGCAUGCGAUUAUUAAUGAUUAAAGCUAAGCUUAAUACUAUGGGAGGUAAAGUAGUGGAAAGCAAAUCCUUGGCACUCAUGGCACUUAUGGAGAAGAUGAAGAAAAGAAACCUAGGUCGUAUUUAUAUACAAACAUGUGACUAAAUUACAGAAAUGAUAACGAGAGAGCAUGUGAUUGUUGACAACCAGUGACAUGAGAAACACACUCUGGGAUCAUAUCCAUCAGAAGCCCAAUUCCAUCCUGUGUAAGAAAGAGAGCAUGAGAACACGAACAUGAAAAAUGAAAGAAUUGUAUUCAGCAUUUUGUCAAGCUAUCAAUUGGUACACAAGCAUUAUGAUGUAAUAAUCAUGUUAAAAUAAAAUAUAAAUAGUAAAACUACACGUCCAAGCUUUAAUCCAAAGAAUUCUCACUUAGUAGUCCAAAGCUAAUUGAUUACCAUUCGGUUGAUCCAGAAACACUCAACCUAUCCAACUAUUUUGCGACGUUACCAAAAACUACUACUACUUUCCAGGUGAAACAUGAAGGGUGAAAAAGCAAACAUGAAUCACUAGAUUUACUACAAAUGAUAUACCGAACAAUCUAACAGUAAAUAUCAACAAGACCAAUCCAACGUUAUCACAAAGCAUAUAUCAAUAAGAAAAAUAUAAAAAUAUUGUUACCUUACUGAAAGCUCCAAUAUUCGGUAAGGUAACAUUGGAGGUCACUAUCAUCUUUCCCGCGAUCAGUGAAUAAAAGCCAAAGAUCUGACUCUUGGAUUCGAGUCAUGGGUUUGGGUCGCAAUUCUCUCGUCGCAUGUUUGAAUACCAAGUUCAUCUUAACAGACUUGGUUUUUUUUAUCAAACAUCUUAACAUAUUUAGGGGUGUGUUCAAUUGGGGAUUUAAGAGAUUUUAAUAGAUUUAUAAAUUUAUAGAUUUAUAUGGAGUUUAAUUGAUUUGUAGAGAUUUCAUGUAAAAUUUUGAUUCAAUUCCCUCGAAAUCUCAUAAGGAGAUGUGAGACUUGAGGAUGUUUAAAAUACACUACGAAAUCUCUCCAAUUGAAUUCCUCAACUUUUUCAAAUUCUUUAAAAUUAAUUUCUAAUUAAAUUCAAUUGAAUGUUGUAAAAUUCUUUAAAAUCGUAAUUGAAUGCAUCCAGAUUUCUAAAUAUUUUAAUAAACUAUCUUAAAAUUCUUAUUUAAUACAUUGAAUUUUAGACAAUUACUUAAAAUUCUUAUUGAAUACCUUUAGAUUCAUUAAAAAAUUUAAAAUUUUUCAAAAUCCCAUUUGAAUACAUCACCCUUAAUAAAUUGUACAUUACAUUAUAUCCCAUUUGAGCACAUUAGCUUAUGCCUCCGGAUUCUGCAUAUCGGGUCGGGUUCCGAAGUUCGAGCUCACAUUUGAUAAUCAAAUUCAUCACAUUUGAUCCAACGGUGGUAAUUGGCAAACCCACCUCGGAGUCAAAAGAUGCGGCCCACGCUCCCUCUCUUUUCCAAAACCCUAGCAAAACCUCGGCCCUAUAAAUACCUUCCACAUCCGCCGCAGGAGGCACCCAAAUGCCCCUUUCUCUUCCCUUUCACACACUAAUCCCUCGCAGAGGCGAUGGGAUUCCCAGUUGCUUCUCCGUCGGAGAAACCUUUCCAACUGCUCCAUCUCUUUGCACCAUCGCCUCUGUUUCUUUUUUAUUUAUUUACUUAAUUAUUUGAGCAAUUUCCUUUAUCCUUGCCAUUCAUAUUUCAGAUUUUCAGCUUGUUUUUUUUUAUCCGAAAAAUAAAAUCGAAGUUGUAUGAGUUUUUUGCAAUUUUGUUGGGUGAGGCCGGUGAUGAUCGAAACAUAUUUUGCCUACAUUGCUUGAUUAUCUUAUUUUAUUGAGAUAAUGAUAAAAUCCGAUGUAUCUGAGGCCUUCCCGGAAGAACGAGCUUUAUUUUAUUUUUUAUUUUUUGGGUAAAAUGUAUUAUUUCAAAUCUUAAUAUUUCAAAAAACUGAAUUUUUAAAUUUCGACUAAAAUGAUGAGUUUUGUUGAUAUUUGCGAUAUAUCACUUAAAUAGUGAAGAAAUUCUUAAUUUCGUCUUAUUAAAUAUGUCAGAUUUUGUUUGAUAUUUUCUCGAUGUCAGAAGUCGAACUUAGAACUCUUAACCAUAAGAAUUGAAUUGAGCUACACUGGAUGCGUUGGAGAAAAUAUUAAUAACUGAAGGAGGAUUUAUGUUAUAACAAAAAUAAAAUAAAAAUGGUAUUCCGGUGCCAGGAUUCGAACCUGGAUGAAAACUCUUAACCAAUAAGACUUUUUGUGGUGAGCUUCACCGGACGACUUGAUAAAUCAUGGCGAAAUAAACUAUUUAAAUGUACUCCUUACGUUGUGCCGUAGAUAAACAAUUAGUGCACAUAAUGUAGUUAUCUGAUUUGUGGGGAAUGGUGAUGCUCACCGCUUAAUGUCGUCGUUGGAUCAGUUUAAGUUUUGAGAUCUGUGAAAUGAAUAAAUACAAAUUUAAAAAUUUAAAUUUAUUUAAUAAUAAUAAGUAUGGUAAUGAGAAAAAAAUGCAUCUUAUGGUUCAGAAACACACUCUCAAAUUUAAAUAACAAUUUUCAUGCUUUCCAACAACACAAAAAUUUUAUAACUAAGAAUCAAUCAAAACAUAAUGAUUGAAUGAGCGAGGAUUUCUUUUAUUUUUUCCAAAUUUUCUGAAGGUUUUUUCUAUAAAAUUUAUGGUGUCAUGAUUGCCUUAAAAGAAUCGUAAAUGUGUUCCUUGAAAAAUAAUAUGAAACCGUAUUUUGAGUUCUUAUGUUUAUUGUUUUAAUUCGAUCUAUCGUUUGAAGCCGCCUCCACCAAAAUAAAUUCAUAUCUAUAUUUUUUCUAUAACGAGUGAUUAAUAAAUCCAACCGUUUUUCAGCACCACAAAAUAAGUUACAACCCGAACACUAACGAGCGAUUAAUGGGUCCAACCGUUUUGCCACAUAUAUAUUUUCUUUUUAUCAAAACAUGCAAAUAUCUUCUUUACCAACUUGAAUCUCCCAUCGUUUGUUUUCUCUUCAUCCACAGAUUUGAUCUGUCUUUUUUGGUGAUCAAACCAAAAUUUUCUUGGACAUGAUUGUACAUACAACCAUUAAUAAACUAUCUCCAACAAAAGCCUAAACAUAGCCUCGUCCAAAAUUAUAGUCUUGCAAAAAAAUAUUUUUUUAAUAAACGAUGUCAAACUAUACUCAUGUACUAUCUUUAACCUGUAUGAAACCUUAAAAUGUAGUGAGCUUCAUCAGUUCAUGUUUAGUGCAAUUAUAUAGAACAAAAUGGUUGUAUUUCAUUUAGGAUUAGGACUUAUAUGUGUGACUUGUAAGGGAUUUAGAGCCACAAAGGAGGGAAACUUGAAGUUACAAUUAUUUGAAUUUGGCGACAGUUAAUCGAAGGAAAUUGCUUGUAACUGCAUCCUUGAUGGGAGGAUGAGUUGCGGAACGUACAUAUAUAUAUAUAUAUAUAUAUAUAUAUAUAUAUCACUUUGAUCUCUCUUCUUAGGUGUGUGUGAUCCCUCACGUAGAAAUAGUCCCAUUGAGUGUUCUUGGAUCAAUUUUGUGACCAAAGGAAGAGAAGAUAUCACAUCCUGGCCCGGGACGGACCACUUCCCGGGCCCACUCCACCACCGUAGCACGAUAUUGUCCGCUUUAGGCCCCGAUUAAGCCUUCACGGUUUUGUUUCUGGAAACUCACGAGCAACUUCUUAGUGGAUCACCCAUCAUGGGAGUGCUCUGCCCACCUUCUCACUUAACUUCGGAGUUCAGACAAAACCCGAAGCCAAUGAUCUCCCAAAAUGGCUCGUGCUAGCUAGGGAUGAGAAUAUACAUUUAAGGAUCACUCCCUUGGACGAUAUGGGAUGUUACAGAAGACAAAUGAUCAAACUUGUUGUCAAUGUCUUCUUCUACAAGUAAGUAAAUUCUCAUUACUUGUUAUAAUCGCUGCAUGCAUAAUGACACAAUAAAUGCAACAAUUAUCAUUCAAUGUUAAGAUUUCUGAACUAGGAUCAUGGUUUAAUUGUUAAUGAUAUAUAUAUCCAAGCAUAACCGAAAUAGCUAAACAUAGCCCCAUAAUAAUUUAUUAUUUUAAACCUUAUACUUUAAAUUAAUUAAUUAAUUUAAUUUAAUUAUCAUUGUAUGUUUUCAAAUUUAGCCGUUUAAUUUGAAUUAAUUGUUGCAACUGAGGAGCUGGAUCCCCAAAAAGGGCUAAGAGGGGUUCUAUAUUUGACCAACUUGAUACCCCUUAGGCUAAUAAUCAUCUGGUGGGCUCCAUAAAAUUAUAGUCUAGUCAUCGGUUGGAAAUAAAUUUUUAGAUAAAUCAAGGUCAUUUUUAGUUUUUAAACCUUUAGUCAUCUCAAUUGAAAAUGACCUUAUGUCUUUAUACGAUGUGCCUCCUAUUUCCAGCUUCAACUCCAACUGAAGGAUGUAAACGUAAUUAUCAUCUAUAGAGAUUCAUCAGAAUUUGAGGGGUUAGAUGACCCCUACUUGCCUCUUAAUGGAUUGGCCUAGGGGUGGGCAAACGGGUAUAGGAACCGCGGGUCGGGGCGGGUACGGACCGGUUCUUAUUUUGUAAAAAUAAAAAUGAGGCGAGGUAGGGCGGGCUUUUGAAAUUUUCGGUUCGGGCUGGUUCCUGAAGUAUGGUAGCGUUUGGUACGUGGGACGGGACGGGACGGAACGGGACGAGCCGUUCCGUCCCACGUUUAGUGCGCCUAAAAACUGUGGAACAGGUUGUUCCAUGGGACAAAAUUUGGCUGAUUUUUCGUUCCACCUCUUCCCCCUGGAACGACCCGUUCCACAUCUGUGGAACACAAAUUUAUAACAUUUUAUGACAAAAUUUCUCCUUAUCUUUUUCAAUAUUUACAUCAUCUGUUCCGUCCUGUUCCAUCUCGUCCCGUCCAGUCCUGUUCCGUCCCGUUCUGUCCCAUCUGCGUACCAAACGGUACCUAUAGGAACCGCGGUUACCCGGACCUGCCCGUUUGUAGUUAGAAUGGACGUAUAAGAUUGAAGAGAUCAUCUCUCCAUCCAAUCUGAAUCGUUGGUUUUAGGUUUGCUCAUCCUCAAACUUAUCGAAUUCAACUGUCACUCUUACUCUGUUGAUCGAGUCUCUCUCGCCGUCUCCAGUGCGUCGUCUCCUUCCCUCCACCACCCCGACAACACGACGGCCCAGACGACCACCAUCUUCUCGAUUUGUCACCUCUCUCUCACCUCUCUCUCGCCAUCUCGAUUUGACAUCCCAAGGACCCAGACUUACAUAACCCAGCCACCCCACCACCCAUCUUCUCGAUUUGUCACCUCUCAUUUGCCGUCUCGAGUGUGUCUUCCCCUCCUUCACCGAGGAGGACGAGAUUCAAAUCCUGCUGGUUUACUCCAAGGAGAUUAACAAGCGCAUGCUCGACACCGUCAAGUCCAGGAACGCCAUUGCUUCCGCUGCUCAAAACGGCGCCAUGGAGUCCGAGACUGUGAGCUCUGCGGUGGAAUGUACCGCUGUUGCCGCCAAUGAAGAUGCUAAGGCUGAAGAGCACAGAUCUCUCCAUGUGUGUUAGGUCACUCUUAGCUUCAUAUUAGCCUAUUAGAGCUUUCAUAUCGAGAUCUGUUCAUAUUUAUCAUGGAUUUCUUGUGAUGCCUAUAUACCUAAUGACCUGUUAAAUAUUUAAACUUUGUUAAUUUCGCUAUGCGCUUCAAUUUUCUGUGGAUUAUAUUAUCUGGGUUUCUGUUGUGAGUAUUGAUCUACUGAGUCUUGAUCUGCUUUGUUCAGAGAUGUUUAUGUUGAAGAUUUUAUAAGGAAGUGGGUGCAUUUGGAAUUGGAAAAUUAUCGAAAUCUUUCCUCUUGCAUUAUUUAGGUUUCCUAUUGCAUAAUCUGCUGCAUUAGUGAAUCUGUGCAAAUUCCAAUUUUUUUUUUUCUAAACAAAAAGAAAACCAAGAACCCGUGGACCCGGCCUGAACCGGCCCAUUUCAACCAGGCCGAGUAAGGUCCAAUUCCUAUAUAAGAAAAUGUAAUCCCCAACUCGGUCCGGCCCAUCUCCUUUGCACCUGGAUCCACCAGUGGCCAUAUGCUAUUGCCCUUUUAUUUUCUUUUUUCUCCUGCCAUGGGCGCAGUCAUGGGUAAGUAGGUAAGUUUGAUUACGCAAUUAAUUGGGCACUCUAGGAGACGCGUAGUGUUAGUGCAGGCUCAAAAGUCAAAAGGUUAAUGAGGAGUGUGGAUGGAAAGCCUGCCCUAAAUACGUUUGUAUUCCUUUGCUGAGUUACUGUACUCUGCCCUUUUCUCCUCUCUUCCUGGAAAAUUCACUCUAUUGAUCUCUGGCCGUGUUUUGCGUGGCAUGAAACAAAACGGUCAAGUAGUGUAUAACAAUUUCAAAAAAAAAGGUCAAAUAGUGUAUAACAAUUUAUCAUAUAGAAAGUUGAUGGUGCUGCAGAUGAUUAAUGAGAGUUUUAACGAAAAACUCACAGCACUGUUUACUUUAACGAAAAGCCACAUUUUUACAUUAAAAAGUCAAACCUAGUACUAUUCAUUUUAUCCUUUAUUUUGUCUUUAACAUUAAAACUCAAAGUUUUCAAACAUUUUUCAUUAGUUUUCCUAUGAUUAAUUGGUGUCCGUAGAAAUUACAUGAUAUCACUCAGACUUUAUCCAACAUAUUAGGCCAUCUCCAACAAAAGUCUAAACAUAGCCCCAUCUAAAAUUAUAUUCUUGUAAAAAAUUAUCUUUUAAUGAAUGAUGUUAGACCAUACUCAUAUAUCAUCUUUAACCGAAAUGGUUAAACACGGCCACUUAAUAAUUUAUUAUUUUAAACCUUAUACUUUAAAUUUAUUGGUUAAUUUAAUUAAACUACCAUUGCAUGUUUUCAAAUUUAGUUGUUUAAUUUGAAUCAAUUAUUGCAACUGAGGAGCUAGAUCCCCAAAAAGGGCUAAGAGAGGGUCUAUAUUUGGUAAGCCUGAUACACUUUUGGCCAAUAAUCGUCUAGUGGGCUCCACAGAAUUAUAAUCUAGUCAUCGGUUGGAGAUGAAUUUUUGAAUAAAUCAGGUAAUUUUUAGUUUUUAAUCCUUUAGUCCUCUUAGUUGAAGAUGACCUUAUGUCUUGCUUUAUAUGAUGUGCCUCCUAUUCCCAGCUUCAACUCCAACUGAAAGAUGUAAACGUAAUUGUCAGCAAAGAGUUAGAAACAUACCCGAAUCCACGUUUUAUAAGCAGAAACUACACUUAUUUGACAUGUUUCCUCAUUUUUUUUACUUGCAAAUUCAAAACCGUCUUGUCGGACCAGUAUAACAAAAUAAUGUUUACGAACAACUGUUAAAACUAAUCACAACAAGUUAAUGCAUAAAGAACUUACGGAUACGGAGGGUGCUAUGAGGCCACCGAAAAGGGUAAACCCCGCAAUAAAUGAAUUCACCUUGUGAUUAAUACUUUGCACAACUUUUUAUGAACCGACAAAAGGCUACAACAAAUUAUGGCUAAAACAGGUCGGGGAUAUGAAAAUAAAUGUCUUCACAGGGUCAGCAGCUUACCAGGGGAGGCAAAAAUGGAAUGAAUGAUGGAAAACUUGAUCUUCAUUUACCGCUCCAAGCUCUGCGCGUUUAAUCCGCUGUUGUAUCCUCAGCCUGCGAACCUACGCAUAUCGAAGCUCAUUCUUAAAGAACACAUUUCUAAUGGCAAUUGGAGAGUAAUUUAAAACAUGCUAAACUGAGAAAGUGGUAGCAACAAGCAAUUGCUCUCACCUCCUCCAUAUGCAAGAAAAUUUUGUUGCGACGACUCCGAAUAUUAUCUUGAAUUUCCUGCAGCUCCAUUGUCGCAAGGUCCUGCACUGUUUCAGGCCCCUCUAUGAUACAAAAUCUGCACAAUUAAGCAUGUAAAAACAAAAAUUUACAGGCUACAAAGCAAUUUCCAUAAUUUUUGGGUUAAUUAACAUCAACAGCAGAUAAAUCACAUGGGUUUUUCACAUAAAGUUACAAACUUUCAAAGACCAGUAAGCUGUCUGCAAUCUCAUAAAUUUCACAGUGCAAAGUAACAAUCCAAAGCUUGGAAAAUUUUCAUUUUCUGUUAAUUUCCUAGAGAGAGAGAGGGGGGAGUACCCGGCGGGGUUUGUAUCGGCGGCGGGAUUGGGAUCAGAAUCGACAGACGGAGCGAAAGAGGAGGAGUCGGGCUCCGAAGCCAUGGCCAGGGAUCACCAUCUGGAGCUGCUUGUUGAUAUGGGGCUUCUUGGGUAGCUGAAUUUGGAGCAGCCGGAGCUACGCAGUUUGUACGGACAGCACCGAUUUACGGGGAAAGAAACGGCAAAAAGUCUGCCGGAGCAGAGCAUCUCUCUCUCUCAAACCAGAAGGCAGAGCUUUCUGUUUCUCUACAGGUUUCUUUCACUGGUAAAUUCCGGAGAAGCAGAGAAGAAGGGUCAAAGGGCCAUGUAUAGUUUUAUAGUCAUACAAAAAAUUAUAUUUUAAUAAAAAAUGUAAGGCCAUAUUUUAUUAGGAAAAUUAAUGAAAAGGCUUGAAAACUUUGAGUUUUAAUGAUAAGGACAAAAUAAAGGGUAAAGUGAAUAGUACCAUGAUUGACUUUUUAGUGUAAAAAUGUGGUUUUUGGUUAAAGUAAACAGUACCAGGUGCUUUUCGUUAAAGUUCCCUAUUUUAUUCCAUAUCCAACUUAGUGGGCCAAUGGACCGUAGGCCAAACAUAGUCAUUUGACAAAAAUCUUAUCUCUAACCGAGAGAGCUAAAGGACCGUAGGCCGAAUAUAACUCCUUAAUAAUUUACUUUUAACGAGUGACUCAAUUAACUAUUUUCAUUUCUUACACGUUCAAAAUUAGACAAAUUCUUUGCAUACAUAAAAAAAAUAUAUAUAUAUUAAGGAGAGAGUAUUAAACUAUUACAUUACGGGUUUCGAACUCGCGAGAACCCUAAUGCCUCUCCACUAGGAUAUUAGACCAGUAAAUUAAAAAGAAAUAUUUAUAGAGGGCUGGAACCAGUCGAAGCUGGGGGGCUAGGCCCUCACGCCCAUAUUAUAUUACUUGAAAAAAAAACAUACAACAAGGAGGACAUAGUACUGAAACCCUGACAAUCAAAAGCAAAAUCAUAUACGACCACUCCAAGCAGUCAACAUAACCAUCACAUAUUGAAUCCAAAAGGUUGACGACCCAUUCGCUGCAUAUAAUGUACAGAAGAUAACAAAUUUUGAAGUGAUGCUCCAAGUAUGAUAUUGGGCAGAAAAGAGCGGCGGCUUCAACCACUUCUUCAGCUAUAUCCGGCUGGGUGAGAGCAGCUAAAGACAUGAUUGUUCCCUAAGAACAUGAAUACAUUGAGUAAACACCAAAAGUAACUGCUAGGGAAGGAGAUUUGAAGUAGAUUAAGAGGUUUAAUACCUGUGAAUGUCCAACAACAAAGACGUUGGAGCUUGUUGAAUACAUGCAGCGCAUCAUUUCUGAUAGAUCAAAUCGAGCCAAUUCCUGCCAACUCCAAUCCCAAAAAUCCUACAGUAAAGCAUAAAUCUUGUUCUUUUCUGAUAAAGAUGUGUCCCUGACUCCAACGUGUUUGACGCACAUUUUCUACCCAUACAUCGAAACCUUCAUCUGCUGGAGAAUUUAAGAAUCAUGCAUCACCUGGUUAAGAUCAAGAAAAGCCAGUAACCAAUUUCAAUUGAGUUUGAAGCACAUUAGAGCCCAAUUUAAAAUGUAUCCGAUGGAUGUUCAUCACUUCACACAAUAGUUAGUUUCAAGAAAGGAAAUUUCAACGCAACCUGAAAACUUCAGAUCAGGGGGCACCAAAUAGUGAGCUAUACAUUCAAAUUUUGAAAUAAUCAACGCACAAUAUGUUGAAAAAAGUUGGAAGGAGCUAUGAAAGUAAGGCUUUUCACUAAUCAGGCGUCCAGAGAAUCAAUAUUUUUACUCACGGAUCAGUUAGGGCGAACACUCCCCACCAAAGCAAUCUCAUUAGUACUUCACAUCUCAAACCAAACAGAAAUUGCAGUAACAAACAUGACAUCUAUUAGUCCUUCACAUCUCAAAUCCAGUAAGUACCCAUCUUUCGUCAGAAUCUGGAAAACAAGCAGCAGUGGAUUUAACAAUCUGGGUAUCUCAAAGUUACUCACUUUAAUCACAACAUAUAAAUGGGCAUUUUCUAGUGAAAUGUUAGUGUAGUACUCACUGUGUUGCUCCGAGCAAGAGUACCCAGAAAGCUCGAUGAGCUGAGCACAGAGGGACUGCAGUGGUGAAACGGCGACCGAUUCUGUAAAAUUCAGUCCGGUUUUGGGUGAUUUCUGAGGCUGAUAAGGAAAGCUGGGACGGAAGGGCACAAGUCUGGAAGAAAGGCUCUGGUCACCAUUGUCGCGAUUCGUGGAGGAAGAAGUGCCCCAAAACAAUUUCAGUCCUGAACAGGUGCACCGUUUGCACUGGGCCAGGGCCGACCCUGAAUCGCUAUAGCGUCCUUCUCCAAACAGUAUAUAUACAGAUGCUAGAAAUAUCUACCAGAACCAUUCAAAUCUAGCAUCUACAGCUUUAGCAUUUAGUUGGUACAAGGUACACUCUUCCGAAGGGAGAUGAAAUCAUUGAGGCUCUUAUAUAUUCCUCCUCUUGAUGUGCCCCUGUAGACUGCUAAUUCCAGACGAUCCAAUCUCAUACAUGUUCCCUGCAAAAGCAUGCGUGCCAGACUUCAAGAUCAAACUCGUUAGCGGAAUAAAUGGUGCACAAAGGGAUUUAAAAUCUUGACAUAUGUGUAUUUUUGGCAGAUUUUAUGCGAGCAUGCAACUAAAACUGGCAUCACUAUCAAUGGUGCACAAAGAUCGGCAGAAAAAACGUAAAGAGAAGCAAUCACAACGCAAAAUGUACGAAGUAAUCUGUCCACGUAUUGGGAAAACAUUAACACUGGAUGAGGGGAAUAAACAUGGAAUUUUGAUAAAAGUCAGAAUUUAUAAAUUGACAUGCAGUAAUUUUCUUGUUUGGAUUUAUAAACAUAUAAAUUUAGAAUUUCCGCGUGGGAAAAACAAAACUUGGAACUUAUGACCUCCAAUUCUCAAGUUUAAAUUUCAUGUAAAUAUGUGUCAUUUCUAAAUUUCCAUGAGAGAGUUUAAAGAUAACAAAUACUGUUAUUUCAAUUUCUAUCAUUUUAAAAUUUCUUAGUAAUCUUAAAUUUCCUCUUCCAAACAGAGUGUAACAGUUUGUAACUUCUCCAUUGUAUUUGUUCAACUAUGCAAUUUUCUGUAAAACUUAAAAGGCUGCUUAGCAUCUCUUGUUCGUUGUAUUGAAUACCAUGGUUUUACCGAUGAAUGCAAAGUUUGCUGAUGAUUCAUACGACAAGCAAUUGAAAAUCCCAUUAUUAUGCCCCACAUCAUUUACACAAAUUCAGAGGGCUCAUCCACUGUAAUUUGCAGGUACAGAAAUGUUAUGAUUAAAGGAAAUGCAAACUACCUUUCACCCAGAUUGGAGGAGCACCGGUGGCAUUAGCAAGUGAGCAACAGGAAUUGACAUACCAAUAUCUUCACAGUUUCCGCACAAGCACAAAUCAAAAGAAUCCGGCGGCGGAGUUAUGUACCUCUUCUUGGAAAAAGACACCUCUUGGGAUUUCAUAAAAUCCGGCUGUGCCUAGACGUCUGACCACGCCAAUUCCACCAAAGCUGCUGCAACGCGGCGUAGUGUCCGAUUGAUUGCUUCAAAACAGAGCUUCGUAUCCAUGUGUUUAUAAGCACAGAGUACCCAAAACCCCAGAAAAUUAUUUCUUUAUUCAGAUAAUAAAAUUUCGCAAAUUUCGAAUUUUAAUUCCGAACCAAAAAUAGGGUUUGAAUUUUGAUUACCUAGAAAUUGGGGGUUGGGGUGGAGAGGGACUGAGGCCAAGACGCAGCUAUGUGUCCGUGAUCAGGUGUGCCAAUUUACAGAGGGUGUCGGGAAGAUGCACAAGGCUUUUGCAGUUUCUCAGAUUUAAAUACUGAAGCCCCGUAAGGCGUUCAAUCCAGGGGGAAAGCUCUUUGAUAGAUGUUCCAUCCAAGAAAAGCGCUCUUAAUCCUUCCAUAUUUUCUUCAAUGCUUGGAAACACCUCAAACUUUGUACAACCGGAAAGAGAGAGAUAGACCAGGGACUUGAGCUGACAAAUGCUGCUUGGAAGACCCUUAAGUUCCUUGCAAUCAUCUAGCUUUAAAUAACUCAAUCCCGUGAGAUUAUUAAUUGACGAGGGCAGUUCUUUAAUUUUUGACCCGGAAAAAUAAAGAACUUUUAACCCCUCAAUCACUUCUGAAAUCUCUGGAAACAUCUCUAGACUCGAGCAACCAGAAAGAUUAAGAGUUUUGAGAGAUUUCAUACGAAUGCUGCUUGGAAGACACUUAAGUUCCUUGCAAUCAUCUAGGAGCAAAUGACUCAACCCCGUGAGGUUAUUAAUUGACAGGGGUAGUUCUUUAAUUUUUGACCCGGAUAACUCAAGCUCUUCUAACCCCUCAAUCACUUCUGAAAUCUCUGGAAACAUCUCUAGACUCGAGCAUCCAGAAAGAUUAACGGCUUUGAGAGAUUUCACAAGAAUGCUGCUUGAAAGACACUUAAGUUCCUCGCAAUGAUCCAAGCUUAAAUAACUCAACCCAGUGAGAUUAUUAAUUGACGAGGGCAAUUCUUUAAUUUUUGACCCGGAUAAAUCAAGAAAUUCUAACCCCUCGAUCACUUCUGAAAUCUCUGGAAACAUCUCUAGACUCGAGCAACCAGAAAGAUUAAGCACUUUGAGAGAUUUCAUACGAAUGCUGCUUGGAAGACACUUAAGUUCCUUGCAAUCAUCUAGGUGCAAAUGACUCAACCCCGUGAGGUUAUUAAUUGACGGGGGUAGUUCUUUAAUUUUUGACCCGGAUAACUCAAGCUCUUCUAACCCCUCAAUCACUUCUGAAAUCUCUGGAAACAUCUCUAGACUCGAGCAGCCAGAAAGAUUAAGGGUUGUGAGAGAUUUCAUACGAAUGCUGCUUGGAAGACACUUAAGUUCCUCGCAAUUAUCUAGGCUUAAAUAACUCAAACCACUGAGAUUAUUAAUUGAUGGGGGCAAUUCUUUAAUUUUUGACCCGGAUAAAUCAAGAACUUCUAACCCCUCAAUCACUUCUGAAAUCUCUGGAAACUUCUCAAGACUCAGGCAGCCAGAAAGAAAGGAAUUUAAGAGAUUUCAUACGAAUGCUACUUGGAAGACACUUAAGUUCCUUGCAAUCAUCUAGGAUCAAACGACUCAACCCCGUGAGGUUAUUAAUUGACGAUGGCAGUUCUUUAAUUUUUGACCUAGAUAAAUCAAGCUGUUCUAACCCCUCAAUCACUUGUAAAAUCUCUGGAAACAUCUCAAGACUCCAGCAGCCAGAAAGAUUAAAGGUUUUGAGAGAUUUGAUACGAAUGUUGCUUGGAAGACUCUUAAGUUCCUUGCAAUUUUCUAGGUUCAAAUGACUCAACCCCGUGAGAUUAUUAAUUGACGAGGACAGUUCUUUAAUUUUUGACUUGGAUAAAUCAAGCUCUUCUAACUCCUCCAUACCUUCUAAAAUCUCUGGAAACAUCUCAAGACUGGAGCAGCCAGAAAGAUUAAAGGUUUUGAGAGAUUUCAUACGAAUGCUGCUGGGUAGAAUCUUAAGUUUCUCGCACCCUUUCAGAUUCAAUAAAACAAGGUUUCUAAGAGUCCUAAUAGACUGGUGAACCUCAACUAAGCUUCUACAACCUUGAAGAAUUAGCCUCUCAAGAUUUGGCACAUUUGUGAAGUCAGGGGUUUCCUCAAGGUAUUGACAAUAACUUAAAUUGAUGACUUCCAACUUUUCCAGCGUCUGUUAAAACAUUUAGGAAAGCAUGCAUUACUUAAUAAGACAUCUCACUCAAAACCCAAACAUUUAAAAGAAACAAAUACAUGUAAAUGAUUGUACAUACCUGGGUUCCUUCCCAAAGUCGGUCAAUGAGACUAAAUUGCAUGUCAAGUUCAACAAGAUUUUUGAAUUGAAAGUUGGAUAGCAAAGACUUGAGAGGGAAUCCAAACCAGGAGAGAUACCUCAAGUUAAGUAACUUAAAGGGCCCAAUCAAGUGGUGUUUGCAGUAAUCAUGUUUAGAAAUGGAGUCCUUAUGACUGAUCUUGAUAAGUCUUAGUUGAUUCAUGCUAACAAAAGCUUCAGCAUUUAAGCAUACCCAGUCUGAGUACGAGAAAUCCACGAUUAUGCUUUCAACUGAUUUUGUAGCCUGUGUAAAUCAAAGUAAGGGAAAAUACAGAGAACCUUAGUUUAGAUUAUGAAACUAAUACUUGUUUCUUAAGGAGCCGUUUGAUAAUCAUUUUGUUUUUAGUUUAAUUGUUUUCAAUUUUCAAUUAUUAAAACAAUAAACACUAAAGGUUGUACCCAGUGCACAAGGCUCCCGCUUUACGCAGGGUCUGGGAGAGAUGAAUGUUGGCUAGCCUUACCCCCAUUUAUGGAGAGGCUGCUUCCAAGUCUCGAACCCGAGACCUACCGCUCAUGGGCGAAGGCACUUGUCAUCACACCAAGUGCGACCUCUUAUUAAAACAAUAAACACUAAAAAUUAAAAAUUAAAAACAAAAAUACUUAUCAAACGGACCUAAGAAAUUGAUUUUGAUCAAAAGUUGAAACUUUUUAUUGACAAUAAGAAAAAGAUUUCUCACCGUAUUUUGAGAUAGCACGUGAUGAACAUCUUCAUAACUACACAACCUACUUCGUCUCCCAGGCUCUUUGAUACAUUCUUGGCGGACGAUUUCCCGACCCAUUUCCUCUAAUGAAUCAUGCAUCUCCAGUUCCCCCUCCCCUGAGACAGUUAUGAGAGCUCGAUCGAUUAGAACUCUUAUUCCAGUAUAAGGAUGGAAACCACAAACUUCCAGAAUUCGGGUUGCACAGUCUUUCUUCAUCCCUUUAAAGAAACAUGCAAUGUCCAGAAAGAUGUCCUUCUCCUUGUCAUCUAGUCCAUCGAAGCUUGAUUUAAGCACAUCAUGAAUUCCCCUUCGUGGGAUUUUCCUUAUUUUUUCUAACUCAUCUUCCCACUCGCGUAUAGUUUUGUUACCAAGAAAAGCUCCCAAGACUUUGUGUGCUAAAGGCAGGCCUUGAGCAUAUUCUACGACAUGAUUCGAGAGAUCAUCAUAAUCUCUGGUAGGUUGGUUUUUUCUGAAGGCGUGCCGCCUAAAGAGUUUCAGAGCUCCAGAAUCACUCAAAAUCUUGGGAUUAUAUAUCACAUCAGCUAUGCUUAGUAAUUGCGAAUCUCUAGUUGUUAUAAUAAUUCUGCUUCCACAACCAAAGGAAUGUGGCUCUUCAAGUAAAGCUUCAAUUUGUUCUAAUUCGUCCACAUCAUCAACAACAAUAAGAACUUUUCUCUGACCAAGGCUUUUUAACAUCACCUGAAAACCAUUUUUUGAUAUGUCAGAACUCCCCACCUUGUUGUUCGAGAUAUUCGAUAGAAGUUGUGCCUGCAUAUGUAGUUUGCCAUGCUUCAUGAAACCUUCCUUGAAAUUUUCAAGAAAGCAACAAGCUUCAAAUCGAUUAGCGAUUUUAUCAUAAACAGCUCUAGCGAUGGUUGUUUUGCCUAAACCACCCAUACCCCAUAUUCCAACAACGCGAACAUUAUUCGUUUCACCUCCGGGAGGAUAUAAUAAUAAAUGCAUUUCAUGCAUGUGAGAAUCCAUGUCAACCAAGCCAUUAUCUUUGCUUGAUGUUGAUGAGAUGUCGAUCAAUUUCCUAUAAACAUCUUCUACAAUUUCCUCAAUAAGCACCGCAUCAUUUCUGUCAAAUUUAAAAAACAAUAUAAUAACACCACCAAAUGAUAAUUAAUGGGUCUUUUUCAUCUGUUAGUUUUCAAAAAAAUAGAAAUUAAAACUAAAAACUAAAUAUUUAUCAAAUUACCCCUAAACGUUACAAAAAUCCCAAAAAUUACUAGGAAACUAAAACAAAUUAGAAUUUACUCAUAGUUUCGCGAAUCCCAGCCGGCUAAACUGGUGGCAGUUGUAAGAGCGGAUCUCCAGCUCCGAACCUCCUCUAUUUCGGCGUUAGAAUCGAUAUCGUGCUGAGCAAAAGCUUCCGCGAAACUUUUCUUGAGUUUACGAACAUCAGACGGAUCAACUUCAUAGAAAAUGGGGAGUACAAUCUGGUUAUUGGUACCUUGCAUUCCAGGAUUUGCACGAGUUCCUUCAAGCACCAAGUGGAAGAAGCAUAGUUUUGAGAGAAAACUACAAUCGAAAGCCUCGACUCUUGAAUCGCUGUCAGGAGCUCGGAAAGGUGGUCGCCUUUUCUGAACUUUUCGGCAUCAAUGAAGGCGUUGAUUGGUUUCUUAGCCAGAGCGUUGUAGAGAUGGCUGACGAAGCCCCUGCGAGUGUCUUCCCCUCUGAAAUUGAUGAACACAUCGUAUUUCCAACCAAAGCCAGAAGAAGAAAAAGAAGAAGAAGAAGAAGCAACCAUUUAUCGAUCGCACCUGGUCACCGAUGAUCGAGCAGUUAUGACUAAGAGAAUUGUAAGUACAUAAAUACUCAAUGAGUCAAUGCAAAAGGGAAAAAGCGAAAAGGAAAUGGUUGUGAUAUCCAUACUUUAUUUUACUUUUUUAUACAUUUUUGAUAAUUUAUUUUUGUUAAUUUUUUUUAAUUCAUCUAGUUUUACAUUUAAAAAUUAAAAAAAUUUAUGAGAAGUUGAAAUGUGUGAAUAUCACGUCCAAAGGAAAAUUAUGCUUUUAUGUGUUUUCAGAUCUUCUUCAGGGAAAUUUCGAUGGGAAUGGAAUCUGCAUGCUUUUGAUUUUUAACCCAAGAAAAUGCCAAGAAAGGGGUCAAAGUAGUAAAUUUAAUCUACACUUGCCUACCCAACCACCUCUUAAUUUAAUAUAUUUAAUCGAGAAAAGUAGGUUAGAGGAAGGAUGGUAUCUCCUUUUCCUCUCUCAGUCUUCCAGCAUGCCAUUUAAUCAUGAUUAAGGCUAAAGCUUAAUUAUAGAUCUUGAUUGGAUUAUUAGUUUCCGUUGUAAUAUGGUGGUUAGAAGAUUAAAAAAAUUAUGAUUUAUGCUUUCAUAUGCUAACAAUUAAUGAAGAAUUAACAAAAUUUUAAAUUUUAAAUCUAAAUCCUAACAUAUUUUACCAUAGAAGCUUAAAUCUUAAUUUACUUAUCACAUGGAUUAUUUUAUAACUACCUUACUAUUAAUUCAAUUAAACCUAUUAUUUCUACGAAAACUAAAGAAAAGUUAAAAAAAAACUUUAGUUUUAAUGAAAAAAGAAAAAUGAAUGUGUAGUAAAUAAUACCAGAAAAAAAUAAAAAAAAUAAUUUUUUAUUAAAAAUAAACAGUAUAAAAAAUGUUGCAUUAAUACUCUCAUUAUUUAUUUACAAAUACGUGACUAAAUCACAAAGUGUUAGAAUGAAAGGGAGCGCUCAAAACGAUGAAAAGCAGGAGCACAGAAAGCUAUCUCCGUUUCUUUGUUGAGCGGACAACUGUUUAUUUGUCGUUCUUUUGGCAGAUAGCUCCUAAUGGCCCAUUUCCACAGCUGGUUAUAGGAUUCUGUUGCUAUAUAAGAAGUGUUUUGUUGUAAUUCAAUAUCGAUGGAAAUUCAACAGGAUCUUUUUCAAAAUUUUGUGAGGAUUUUGGGGUGUUCGUGAAUCUUGUUCAUCGUAUAUUGUGUAGUUGUUUUUUAUCGAAUAUUAUUUUUGUUUAAUUUUAAAUAAAGUAAUUUAAAAUAAUUUUUUACUGCAAGAUGUAUGAUGAACGUAUAUGAUUCACAGAUCUCCAAAAUCCUCACAAAGAAAAUCCAAAAAUGAUCUGAAUUCAAUGGAGAUAAGUUAAUUUUGAAUCAAAUAACAUUAGGAAAGAAAAAUAACAUUAGACGCCAGUCGGGCGAAGGAUUGGAGCCUAGUGCCUAGGCAGCUAGGCGAAGCCUGGGCGAUUAGGCGGCUAGGCGGCCUAGACGGUUUUAAAUAAUUUAUUGUAUAUUUGUAUAAAAUUAUUAUUAGCACUUCAAAAAUCUCAUUUUAUACUCCAAAUUUUCUAUAUUAAAAAAGAAAAAUACACUUAUGAUGAGUGUAGAAUGAGAUUUUUGAAAUGCCAAUACACUUCUCUAUUUUUAUUAUAUAAAUCAGUUGGACUUAAAAAAGAAAAUAAAGAAAAUAAAACAUUGUUCAAAAACUAAAACUCUAUAAAUAUAAAAAGUCAGGUCUUGAUUUAUCAUUACAAUUGAUAAAUAAAGGAGUGUGCUAUCUACACAACUUUUUUUACUUCUCACUCCUAAAUAAAAAAAUGAUGUGUGGAUAUCACAUCCCUAAAUAAAAUAUAUAAAUAUAGAUAGUUGGAGGAUAUCCAAGAGACAUUCUUUGGAGGAUUUUAGAGAAGAAAGGAGUACGAGUAUAUAUCCAAGCUAUAAAGGAUAUGUAUGAAGGAGCAAAGACUGCCGUAAGAACUCAUGAAGGACAAACCGAAAGCUUUCCCAUAACUGUAGGAUUACAUCAAGGCUCAUCCUUAAGUCCUUACCUUUUUGCGUUGGUAAUGGAUAAGUUAACAGGACAUAUUCAAGAUGAUAUUCCUUGGUGUAUGCUUUUCGCAGACGAUAUAGUGUUGAUAGAUGAAACUCAGGAAGGGGUAAAUGCAAAGCUUAACCUUUGAAGAGAAGUGUUGGAAUCUAAAGGUCUUCGCCUAAGCCGAUCAAAGACAGAAUAUAUGGAGUGCAAGUUCAGUACAAAUGAAGGCCAAAACGAGUUAGGGGUGAGGAUCGGAGAUCAAGAAAUACCAAAGAGCAACCGUUUUCGUUACCUAUGAUCUAUCUUGCAAAAGAACGGAGAAUUAGAUGGAGAUCUCAAUCAUAGAAUGCAAGCUGGAUGGGUGAAGUGGAAGAGUGCAUCCGGCGUGUUGUGUGACCGCCGUAUGCCACUGAAGCUCAAGGGAAAAUUUUAUAGGACGGCAAUAAGGCCGGUGAUGCUGUAUGGCACAGAAUGUUGGGCAGUGAAGCAUCAACACGUACACAAAAUGGGUGUAGCGAAGAUGAGGAUGCUUCGUUGGAUGUGUGGGCACACGAGAAAGGAUAAGAUUAGGAAUGAGGAUCCGGGGUAAAGUAGGAGUAGCCGAAAUUGAAGGAAAGAUGAGAGAAAAUCGGUUACGGUGGUUUGGACAUGUGCAAAGAAGGCCUACUGACGCUCCGAUUAGAAUAUGCGACUAUGGGACAGAGGUUCAGGGCCGAAGGGGUAGAGGAAGACCUAGGAAAACUUUGGAAGAGACUUUAGGAAAAGACUUAGAGUACUUGGAUCUAACGAAGGACAUGACACAGGACCGAGCACAAUGGCGUUCUAAGAUUCAUAUAGCCGAUCCCACUCAGUGACUUGGAUUUUCCAAGUCUCCAACCGAGAAGUUUUCCUCACUCGGGAAAUUAAGGGAACACUACCUCAACCUACAUGCUCCACUCACAAAGCUUCAACAAAAGAAAAUUCAAAGAACUUAGCGAAGAAUGAUUUGGUGUAUUUAACACAAACGUUGAAAUGAAGGAAAGCUUAUUUAUUGAUAUUCCCGAUAAGCUACAAAUAUGUACAUAUACAUAAGGUUGCUUAGGAGAAGUCUCAGCAGCCGGUAGAGCCCCAGAAAGAGAAGGCACCAGAGGGGGAUCAUUCGGAGCCUCAGAACUGGACAGAACCCUAGAAGGAUGAGGCAUCAAAGGUUGAUCAUUUGGAGCUUCAUUACGCGGUACAGCCCCAGAAGAUGAAGGCAAUAAAUGCCUUUGGAACAAACCCACAAAUCUCUGAUGAUCAAGUAAAACCUGACCAUCAGAUUCCUUCAUCUGGUCAAGCUUCCUCUUCAUGUUUGUAGCAUAGUCAUGUGCGAGCCGGUGCAACUGUUUAUUCUCAUGCUUGAGCCAUCUAAUCUCCUGUUUGAGACUCAUCACUUUAGCCGCCAAUGAUUCAACUUGGCGGGUUCAAGCAAAUAGGCGUUGGGCCGUAUUAGACACAGAACCUGCACACUGAACACUGAGAGCCAGCGAAUCCUUAACAGCUAACUCAUCAGACCGUUUGGAAAGUAGUUUGUUAUCUUUGGGAGUGAGAAGGUUCCUGGCCAUCACCGCAGCGGUCAUAUCAUUCUUCAUUACGAAAUCCCCAACGGUAAGAGGACCAGUAGGGGAGACGAAGGAUGUGCGCCAUAUGUUGUCUGGAGAAGGCGGGGCUGCCUCUUUAACAAGGUUCAAGUCAAAACGACGGUCGGAGGGGCCAGACAUUUUCAAAGGUGUUGAAGAGAGAAGAUGUCGGAUAAAUCAAGAUCUUAGAAGUGCAAGAAUGGAGCUUCUACUGGUGGAUUUCAAGUGUGCUUUAGAACUUAAUGACAGCCCCUAUAAAAAUCUGCACUCGACGGAGCUUCAGAAAUCGAAGAGGCGUUUGCUUUCUCAAAAGUUGGGCUGCUCAAAGACCACGAAGGCCAAUCUCAGAAAUCGAAGAGGCGCUCGCUUUCUCAAAAGCUGGGCUACUCAGAGACCACGAGGGCCGAUCUCAGAAAUCGAAGAGGCACCUACUUUUCCAGCCUUGUCAGCACCUGUCACACGCACACUCAGCUUUGCGGAAAUUAUGGGCAUUCUGUCGAAGACUUCUGGUGAAGUAAAAAGCACAUGAAUCUUACUGUUCAAUCACCCACUUCCCACACGCAACAAUAGCUCAUGGGUACCACAGAUAACUUUGCCAAAGUUGAGCACGUGAAGCUUGCAGCUCCUACUACAUCGCUCUGACCAAGAAGGGUAAAAGAAUAGCAAAGAAACAGCACUAACAAAGUUUAGACCCAUAAAUUUUGAAGGUCUAGCUACCAUAUUAUUACCCACAAGGGUAAAGGAACAGUACCACUGCUGGAUAAUUGGAAAGUCCCUGUGUGUCAACCUCUGUGCUUCGUGGCAAGGUAGACUAGCAAACAUGCCCAACCUUUACUCACAUUCGAGAAAACACUCCCAAUAAGAUUGCUUGCUCCAAAAUCGAAGAGGCACCGUCCUCCGAAUCUCGAGAGCCAGACUCCCAACAUGAAUACUUUCUCAAAAAAAUCGAAGAGAGGGUAAAGGAACAGUACCAUUGCUGGAUAAUUGGAAAGUCCCUGUGUGUCAACCUCUGUGCUUCGUGGCAAGGUAGACUAGCAAACAUGCCCAACCUUUACUCACAUUCGAGAAAACACUCCCAACAAGAUUGCUUGCUCCAAAAUCGAAGAGGCACCGCCCUCCGAAUCUCGAGAGCCAGACUCCCAACAUGAUUACUUUCUCAAAAAUCGAAGAGACACUGCUAUCCCGAAUCUCGAGAGCCAGACCCCCAGCAUGAUUGCUUUCUCAAAAAUCGAAGAGGCAUCGUUCUCCGAAUCAAUCGAAGAGGCGCUCGCUUUCUCAAAAGCUGGUGGGCUGCUCAGAGACCACGAGGGCCGAUCUCAGAAAUCGAAGAGGCACCUACUUUUCUAGCCUUGUCAGCACCUGUCACACGCACACUCAGCUUUGCAGAAAUUAUGGGCAUUCUGUCGAAGACUUCUGGUGAAGUAGAAAGCACAUGAAUCUUACUGUUCAAUCACCCACUUCCCCACACGCAACAAUAGCUCAUGGGUACCACAGAUAACUUUGCCAAAGUUCUCUGCCAAAGUUGAGCACGUGAAGCUUGCAGCUCCCACUACAUCGCUCUGACCAAGAAAGGUAAAAGAAUAGCAAAGAAACAGCACUAACAAAGUUUAGACACAUAAAUUUUGAAGGUCUAGCUACCAUAUUAUUACCCACAAGGGUAAAGGAACAGUACCACUGCUGGAUAAUUGGAAAGUCCCUGUGUGUCAACCUCUGUGCUUCGUGGCAAGGUAGACUAGCAAACAUGCCCAACCUUUACUCACAUUCGAGAAAAACACUCCCAACAAGAUUGCUUGCUCCAAAAUCGAAGAGGCACCGUCCUCCGAAUCUCGAGAGCCAGACUCCCAACAUGACUACUUUCUCAAAAAUCGAAAAGGGUAAAGGAACAGUACCAUUGCUGGAUAAUUGGAAAGUCCCUGUGUGUCAACCUUUGUGCUUCGUGGCAAGGUAGACUAGCAAACAUGCCCAACCUUUACUCACAUUCGAGAAAACACUCCCAACAAGAUUGCUUGCUCCAAAAUCGAAGAGGCACCGCCCUCCGAAUCUCGAGAGCCAGACUCCCAACAUGAUUACUUUCUCAAAAAUCGAAGAGACACCGCUCUCCGAAUCUCGAGAGCCAGACCCCCAGCAUGAUUGCUUUCUAAAAAAUCGAAGAGGCAUCAUUCUCCGAAUCUCGAGAGCCAGAUCAUCAAUAGGAUUGCUUGUUCGAAAACCGAAGAGGCACCACUUUCCCAACUUCAAGAGCCGGAUCUCCUUGGAUAAAGCUUGUCUAUAAUCUUCACACGGAACAUCAGCUUUCCAGAUACCACAGACCACUUUUUCAAAGUGCUCUGACAGAGUUAAAACAUGUGAAGCUGGCAGGUCCCACUACCGUGCUAUGACUAAGCAGGGUAAAGGAAUAGCAUUACUACUUGUUGUUAGGGAGACUCCUAUAUAUGUCGACCUCCAUCCCCAACGACAGGCAGACCUGCAAAAAUGCUCAACCCUUCCUCAUAUCUGAGAGGCCACUCCCAACGAAGCCUUUCAAAAUAUUCAGCUUUCUUCCCCCUCCCCGAUAAUACCUCUGCAAACAAGCUAUACUAGAGCAAGAAUAUCUCAUAUCAUCAGGGUUAAAAGCAAGAGUAUCCCAUAUCAUGCUUUUUCCCUGUCUUUUCCUUUGGCCUUGUUUUUACCUGCAAGACAAGGAGAAAGAGAGCAAUCAGUCAGCACUUGGAAUCAAGCUUCCAGCCAGGAACUGACUGCCUGGAACCCCUUACCUGAUUACUUACCUGGCAUUGCUCUCGAGUACUCAUCUUCAACAUCUUAUGUUUCCAGGGAAGAUUACCGCAUCUGCCUUGAGGAACAGAUAGGGCAAGUGCGAAGGAUACAAGGAAGCAUGUGGAGACAAGCGUAACAGCACACGUGCCGAUACAUCCAUUACUCUGUCAAAAGCAAAAGUAUCCCAUAUCAGCAGGGUCGAACGUACUCUAGAUUUGAUGGACUUGUUUUGACCCUCAAAUUCUUCAGUCGGCCUUAUACUCUGGAGGAAACCAGAAAACCCUCCAGCUCAGUUCAAGAAUAAGCCUGUGGAAAGUUACUUCUUCAAAAGCAAAAGUAUCUCAUAUCAUCUCUUCUCAUUUUUCUUCUCUUUAUCCUUCAUGCUGCCUGCAAGAUGGGGAGAAGGUGAACAAUCAGCCGGAGCUCUGAUUGCUUACCUUGUCUGUCACCUCUUUCAGCAGAUCCCCUAGCUCGGCGACUUGGGGGACUCCUACUACAUGGUUUGUAUCGCGCUUGACCAAGCCUGAAACUACAAGUAAGCUUCAAGUGAAAUUGAUACAUUACCUUGUGCAUCUCCACCAGUUAAAGAUACCACCCCUGGAUGGAGGAAGAGUACUUCCAGAGAAGAUGCCACAUCUACCUAUGAGACAGAUAAGGCAAGUCAAGACGAUACCACACUCCGAUACUUAGAAGUUUCGUGAUUACGAGAUCAUUCUCCCACAAUAUUUCCUAAUGUCAUUUGUACUAAAUCAUUCACUUGUACUCACUAAAGGAGAGCUUGAACCUAUGUACUUGUGUAAACCCUUCACAAUUAAUGAGAACUCCUCUAUUCCGUGGACGUAGCCAAUCUGGGUGAACCACGUACAUCUUGUGUUUGCUUUCCUAUCUCUAUCCAUUUAUAUACUUAUCCACACUAAUGACCGGAGCAAUCUAGCGAAGAUCACAAAAAGCAACCGUUUUCGCUACCUAGGAUCUAUCUUGCAAGAGAACGGAGAAUUAGAUGGAGAUCUCAACCAUAGAAUACAAGCUGGAUGGAUGAAGUGUAAGAGUGCAUCCGGCGUGUUGUGCGACCGUCGUAGGCCACUGAAGCUCAAGGCAAAAUUUUAUAGGACGGCAAUAAGGCCAGCGAUGUUGUAUGGCACAGAAUGUUGGGCGGUGAAGCAUCAACACGUACACAAAAUAGGUGUAGCGGAGAUGAGGAUGCUUCGUGGGAUGUGUGGGCACACGAGAAAGGAUAAGAUUGGGAAUGAGGAUAUCCGAGGUAAAGUAGGAGUAGCCGAAAUUGAAGUAAAGAUGAGAGAAAAUCGGUUCCGGUGAUUUGGACAUGUGCAAAGAAGGCCUACUGACGCUCCGGUUCGAAGAUGUGACUACGGAACAGAGGUUCAGGGCCGAAGGGGUAGAGGAAGACCUAGGAAAACUUUGGAAGAGACUCUAAGAAAAUACUUAGAGUACUUGGAUCUAACGGAGAACAUAACACAAAACCGAGCGCAAUGGCGUUCUAGGAUUCAUAUAGCCGACCCCACUUAGUUGGAAAAUGCUUUGUUGUUGUUGUUGUUGUUGUAUAGAUAGUUGGCGCUUUGUAGUGGGCGGUAAGUUCUAGUUUUACCAUUAAAAAAUAUACACUGUCAAACUAGUGUGGGUUCUAUCAAUUUUUUUAGUAUUUUAUUUAUUUUUUCACUCUGUCUCCGUGCCAUGGUCUUGAUAUUAUCACUCCUUUAAUAUUUUAUUCAUAUUUUAUUCUACUUGAUUUAUGAUGGUGUGUUUUUUUGACCAAGGUUUAUAAUGGUGUUUGUUCUAUAAGUCGGCAUAUUUGCCAACCGCAAUCGAUACUGUCGUUCUCAAACACAAAGCAAUAGUUUGCUACCGAAAACAACCAAAGUGUGACAAAGGGAACCGUCUUACACCUAACCUGUUUUUCCCUCAUCAAAUGAGCGCGUUGAUCUGCAGGUAUUUUCUGCCAUCUCAAAACCUGUUACAAAGAAAUAUAACGUUGAUGUCGAGCUGGAUAGCAUAUUAUACCAAUUAUGUGUACAAACCUAUUGAAAUAAAGUAGCUGUAGUUGCAUAUUACGACAGAUAUUAACGAAAACAAAAGAAGGCUCGCCUAUUCAAGAUCCUAAAUCCCGUGAUUCUUUUGUUUUUAGUUUCAGAAAUUUUCAGAGCACAAACUGGAAAGUACCAAGAUACUUACAUAUUGGGCAUAAUGAAAUGCAUCUUCAUCUUUCAAGCAAGAUUUGAGUGAGCGCAAACCGUCCUGAGAGUUACAUAAGUCAAUCAGUAAUAUAAAAACGUAUACGCAUCACAUCCAAACACAAGUAUUCAAACACCAACAACUUCUUCAUGCGGUGAGGCAUGUUAAAAAAUAGGGAAGAACAGUUAUUGAAUAGGAAGUUAAAGGACUAAAUUUAUGACCUUGUGUUUGUAGUUCUUGGCUCGUAUGCGUUCAUCUAUUACAAAACCAAUCUGUAACAGGUACAACAGAAAAUAUAAGCAGUAGUCAGAACAUUAAUCUUCGGCAUUCACAUUGCCACCAAUCCAAAGUUAAAAGUCUGAAGGCAAAACAGUAUGAUUCUUAUCUCUCAAACAAAAAUGAAACUAUACCCCGGUCUCAGACAUAAAUGAAAUAAGUUCUACUGCCUCAACUGAGUACUGUGAUUAUAUAUAAAUCCAAUUCACCUUGUCAAGUAAUCUCUUAGGAUCUUGAAAUGCUUCCUUCUUAGCCCAGUCAUUAAAUACAUGCGAGAAAAUUGAUCUCUCAUCCACACUGAAUCUAUUGCACAGUGACAGAAGAAUAAAGUUAAACAUGAACAUAACCAACCAAAAAUGCUAGUUAUAAUAGUACACCCAUAAUUGCAAGCAAAACCUUUUUAAGAAGCCAUUUCCAUGGUUUUCCUCCCCAAAUUCCAUCAAUUCUGCAGAGGCAACGUCAAAUUUACUAUGAUGGAGAUCAUUUUGCACUGUAAUAACUUCAGAAGGUAGGAGAUUUGGUUUCAGAUCAUCUGUUGACGGAGUAGUUUCUUUUGAAGUGUCAUGAUGCUUUGAUUGCAAGCCUUCUGUACUUACGUCAGCCUACAAAACAAAAAUUGCAUUCAUCCACACUAGACUUAAUAAGAUUAGAAACACUUCAGAUUCUUCAUUAUUUGUAUUUUUGACUAAACAGCAGAACAACUGAGGAUAAUGAACAGUAAUACACACCUGGACUUCUCGUAGAUGAUUUGGAAUUUCUUUCAGAAAUCGCGAAGGUUGAAGCAUCUGAAGGAGUCACCUUCUCAGUCAGAGCAACAACAACAAAUAAGGAGGACAGGAAUUCAAGCUAAAACGAACCUGCCAACUGGAAUCCAUCGUAACAUAAAGAAUGAAAAGCUUUUUUCGAGCACGAGUCAUUGCAACAUAUAAUAGGCGUCUCUCCUCCUAUGAUUAGAGUGGGAUUAUUGAGUUAUUGAUCAAAAGAAAAAAGAGUGGGAUUAUUGUGAAAAACAUGUCAAAGCUCUGCAUAUAACUGAAAAAUGUUGAACAAUUUACCACACACCUCAAUGGAGGUCCCAUUUUCUUUUGCAACCCCAUUGAAUUCAUGCAACAACGGGAUCUCAGAUUCAUUUACCUGUGUUAUUGGCAUGAGCAUUAAAGCAAGCUAAGAUGAUUUGAAGAGGUUGAUAUCGUCAUGAAUAUAGUAGAACAGAGAAUACCAAUUUCAAGCCAUCAAUUAGGUAUAGCAUUGGCAUGUUUAAUCCGUAAAAUCUAAUGACAGAACACCUCAACUCUACACAUAAAUAAAUAAACAACCUGAAAAAUAUUACAGCCACAUGUUAAGGCAAAUACCUUAAUUAUGAAAACUAUAUCCCACUCUAAACCUUUUGACUGCAAGAGAAUGAAAAAGAAAGACAGUAAGCCAAGAAUGUUUUGUAGAACUCCAAAGGAAGUCCAAUAGGGAAAUCAUCGCAAGUAUAAGAGUUAGCGAGGUUCGCAUAAGAGGAUAUCAAAAAGAUCUAGAACCUGAUGAAUAGUAGUCAAAGUGACAGAACUUUGGUUGUCAUGUCUUCGGGAGUGAAAAUUUUCACUCUCCUGCUCAGAUAUGUAGUCGAUGAAAGCUUUGAGUAAAUUAACGCAGCCUUUUUCUUCUGCUACGACUUCUCUCUCUCCCCUUUUCCCGCAACAAAAUGAGUUGAUAAGAAAUCAGAUACGUCGUCUAGUAGGUACUGAAGAACCUGCAAUGAGAAUAAUCGCAUCACAGCAACAGGGUUGGACCAAGAUUUAAGUGACAACAAUGAUUAACUAACUAAAAUAGAGAAAUUAUUCAUUUAAGACCUUGUUGACGGAAAAAAGGGUUUUCCAAGCAGCGGGUCAUUUAAGCUUAUUGUAUAAAUGACAAUCAUCACAAACGGCAAACUUACAGAUCUCACGUCAUUGUCUUCAUUCAGCAGUUUUCCUCCAUCUACAUCAACGACUGCACGUUGCUCAAGACGGUACUUCUAAAAAUUGAAAGUCAACAACAACAACAACAACAACAAAGCCUUUUCCCACUAAGUGGGGUCGGCUAUAUGAAUCCUAGAACGCCAUUGCGCUCGGUUUUGUGUCAUGUCCUCCGUUAGAUCCAAGUACUCUAAGUCUUUUCUUAGAGUCUCUUCCAAAGUUGUCCUAGGUCUUCCUCUACCCCUUCGGCCCUGAACCUCUGUCCCGUAGUCACAUCUUCGAACCGGAGCGUUAGUCGGCCUUCUUUGCACAUGUUCAAAAUCACCGGAGCCGAUUUUCUCUCAUAUUUCCUACAAUUUCGGCUACUCCUACUUUACCUCGGAUAUCCUCAUUCCCAAUCUUAUCCUUUCUCGUGUGCCCACACAUCCCACGAAGCAUCCUCAUCUCCGCUACACCCAUUUUGUGUACGUGUUGAUGCUUCACCACCCAACAUUCUGUGCCAUACAACAUCGCUAGCCUUAUUGCCGUCCUAUAAAAUUUUCCCUUGAGCUUCAGUGGCCUACGACGGUCACACAACACGCCGGAUGCACUCUUUCCAUCCAGCUCGUAUUCUAUGGUUGAGAUCUCCAUCUAAUUCUCCGUUCUCUUGCAAGAUAGAUCCUAGGUAGCGAAAACGAUCGCUUUUUGUGAUCUUCGCUAGAUUGCUCCGGUCAUUAGUGUGGAUAAGUAUAUAAAUGGAUAGAGAUAGGAAAGCAAACACAAGAUGUACGUGGUUCACCCAGAUUGGCUACGUCCACGGAAUAGAAGAGUUCUCAUUAAUUGUGAAGGGUUUACACAAGUACAUAGGUUCAAGCUUUCAUUUAGUGAGUACAAGUGAAUGAUUUAGUACAAAUGACAUUAGGAAAUAUUGUGGGAGAAUGAUCUCGUAAUCACGAAACUUCUAAGUAUCGGAGUGUGGUGUCGUCUUGACUUGCCUUAUCUGUCUCAUAGGUAGAUGUGGCAUCUUCUCUGGAAGUACUCUUCCUCAAACGAUAAAUUAUUACGAAGCAUUGAAUAUAAGCAUGAAACGAAGAAAAUGUUAUGGAAUGGUGAUCCUCAUCCUCAAAGAUGAUUAAAAGCAAUUUGAUUCAAAAAUGACAUAUCAACUCUGGAGAAAUGGAAGACAAACCUGUGGUACCAUAUUCGCAACUGAGGUUAUGACAGCUGAAAUCGAUUGUUCCUGUGUGCAUUGAUAAGUGAGACUACCAUAGAGAUUCACAACUAAAUAAAGACAGGUAUUCCACAGAACAACCUUUACCUCUUUGGAAACACAGAUCUAACAAAAACUAUAACAUUUUGGAUUAAUAUUGACGAAUCAAGAAUAAUGCAAGGGAGCAAGAGAUACUCUUCCUUCUAAUAACAAGGAGGCGUGAAAAGUAUACAGAGUUCCAACAAUUAGAGAACUAAAAUCAAACUAAAAAAAUCACCAAAGUAGACAGAAUCUCACUUCGCCAAAAAUUUGAAAAUAUAUCCUUUUUAUCCAUUGAGAUUCAUGAACUACUACUACUACUACAUCAUGCCAAUAAGCAAUGCGUAAGAGGUGCUACAAUUUACCGAAUAUAUUUACCCUGAGAACAAGUUUUGAAAUCAUCUCUAGUGUUAACAGCACCUUGCGUCCUUGGGUAAGCUGAGUCCUAUUAUCAAGUAAAGAGACCAAUCAGUACAUAUCCAAAAGAUCUUAAAUGCUUGUAAUACCAAAUAAGAAAGAAACAUGAGUAUAUCUUGAAUUAACCAUGUAAAAAUGUAAUGUUAAAGCAUCUUGUCAUACAGACCUCUUCAAGGUACCAGAAAUUUUUGCACUAAAGAUGUCACAAGCAGCUGAUAUGAAGCUGCAUUUUCUGUGAGUUGAAAUUUUGUCAAUAUAAUCGAUCACCUGAAGAGAGAGAGAGAGAAAAAGACAGUGAUAUCCAGAGAUGUGAGCCUAAAUGCUGAGUGUGUAAAAAAAGAAGAUUAAAUGGAUAGCAAGAAUAUACAACUUUAAUGCUGAAAAGAACAUUGAAUAUGAUGCUCAUUCAUCAUUCCCAUUGAACGUGUACCUUCUUCUUUUCCUCUUUCUCAAAAGCAAGUAGAGCCUUGAAGACUUGCCUAUAUGAUCCAUCAUCACAACCAGGCAAAGUUGUUUUAAUCAUAGCAACAAUGGCUCUAACUACCUGCCAUAAGAAACAUGCUACAUCAACAAGAUCACAGAGUGUACCAGAAACCGUAAUGUAGCAAAAUCUUGGAUAAAAUAGCUGACCAAAAGGGAAUGGAAAAGCAAGCACGAAAAACAAUGAAAAGGACCAGUGAUGCCAAAAUUCUGGUGGAAAAGGUGAAAAGCUUCUGCCUAUUACAAUUUUUGUAUGCAUUCUUUAUAACUUAAGUUCUACUAGCAAAAACCACCUUAUGCAAAAUAAUAUUGGAAAAAUUAGAUACAUACAACUGAGAAGAUAGGUUUUCAUAAUCUGGACAAGUGCUAACUACCUUCUUCCUAUAAACUGCCACUCCAUGAACAUUAAAUGGUAUUUUCCUUUCACGCAAGGCUGUCUGGAAGACUUUUCCUGAUACCUGUAGCAUAAAAUACAAAAGAAAAUGUGACCAAAAUGUCUUAUAUGAUUCACCUCAUUCACAUUAGCACUAAGGCAAGUAAGCUUGACCUGCCUCCGGUAAAGGAUUGCUAUAUUUCCAUAGGAGCACCCUGCUUCUGACCGUUUCGAUGCAGUCUCCAGGAUCUUGUCGACAACAAAGGCGCAUUGUGCAUCCUCAUUGUGACUUUCCUUGAUAAUUACCUACAUUUUGCCAGUAAAACCAGUGUCACUAACUAAAAGGACUGAAAAAUGACAUCAAAUUGUACUUGUUGGAGCAAGGAAAGAUUAAGUACCUUAGACCCAGAAGAAUUGUCCGUGUCAACAUUCUUUAGUUGGCAUCGCUUCUUAUUGUUUUUUAUAACAGAAGAUGCAGCUUCCACAAUAUAGCGUGUGGACCUAAAGUUUUUAUUAAGCCUAAUCUGAACCAUAAAGUUAUGUCAAAUCCCACAGAAACCCAUAAAAUAAAACUUACUUUCCUGUAAUUGUACAAUAUAUUUGUUCUAUACUAUAUAUAAUGAAAAAAGACACUGUGAAUGACAUAAGAUAACAUAGCAGUCAAGUGCGAAGCGAACCUCUUUGUAAUUUGAAAAAUCUUUACGAAAAGAAUCAAAUCCAGAAAUGUCCGCCCCAUUGAAACUGAAAAUGGACUGCAGCAGGAUAUAUGUUAUUUGAUUUAGAACAGAUAAGGGCUGGAUUAGAAUGAGCUGAGAGAGAGAGAGAGAGAGGGAGAGAGGGAGAGAGGGAGCAAUAACAUUGGAUUUCCAUAAUAAAUCAACAACAUGCCUGAUCAUCAUCACCAACAAUGGUUAUGUGGUUAUGAGAGGCGAGAAUCCGCAAAAGACUAUAUUGCAUAGCACUUGUGUCUUGAAACUCGUCUAUUACAAUAGCUUUCCAUGACUCCUGGCACUCCUUCAACACUAAUUAAGAGAACACCAUGUAUCAACAUUUAGCAUUACUUGUAAAACUAGAUAAAUCAAUGAAAUAUACUUAGAUGAUAGAGACCUUCAGGAAAAUCACUUAGCAGCUUCACAGAGCAGCUAAUUAAGUCGUGGUAGUCCAAAGCGUUGCACGAUUUCAAGAUAUCAUUGUAAUUCCUAAGAAUUUCACCCUGAUUCAGAUUGAGAGCUAAAACUCAUAAGCAAUAGUUUCAAAGAACUGAAAUGAUAUCUGAAAUUCUAGUUCUGAGCGUACUCCUGUCACAUCACCCAUUCUUCGGCAUUCAGCGGGAGUCUUUCCAGAAGCUUUUGCCUGAAACAUAAAUAAAUUUACUGCCUAAUGCCACAUAUUGUAAGACACACCAUUGUAUUGGUCAUUCUAGCUUGAUUGUAGCUAAUAUUUUUUAAAUCGAAUGAUUAGAGUUCUUAAUCCACAAUAAUCUGAACAUUAAAUUUGGUAUUCAAGACUAACCUGUGUCACAAACUUCAGCCAUUUCUUUGAUGCAUCCUUAAAAUGAUGUGGAGAUGUUACGCCGUCAGACUCUUCCCCAUCUAUAGCAACAUUAAGAUUCGUUUUACUCUUUUCAUCUUCUGAUAACCGCACAGCUUCAAUGAUUGCUCUUCUCUGUUGCCCAUGUCCAUAUAUCAAAAAUUCUGGUCUGCGCUUGAGUCUAAAACACAAGCCAACAUAACAGACUCAGCUAUACCACCAAAUGUAUGGUGUUCAAAAUCAAGGGAGGUGAAUCAAUAGCUUACUUCUCAGCAUGUGAUCGGCAAAGUUGCAAUGAAAAUGAAUGAAAUGUACUGAUUGUUAGUAGUUUUGCCGUUGCUUUCCCAGUCACAGAUCCAAUUCGAUCUCUCAUCUCGGAAGCUGCUGCUGUAGUGAAAGUCAUUGCUAGAAUGUUCGACGUGCUAAUGCCCUAAGAACACAAAAAAAAAAAAAAAACGAAUAAGAUUUCGAUCAUAAACAAGAAAUGUAGAGAAACACACAAUUACGAAAGAAAAAGUUAGAGGGAAAGUAGCAACACCUCAUUGAGCAGCAUUAGAACGCGCCCAACUAUCGUUGAAGUCUUUCCACUUCCAGGGCCGGCAACAAUCAUCAAAGGUACUGAAAUAUAGCUGCAAGCUGCCUCACGCUGCCUUUCGUUGAGAGAAAGCAAAUACUUCAAAUACUCAUCCGGCAUGUUAGGCAAUCCAUGGUUAACAGAAUCUGUUUGGUUUUCACUACUCAAAGGCGGCGCUGAUGGCACUAACGUGUUAUGACCCAAAUUAUUACUGAGGUUUUAUGCUUUAUUACUGUGAGGAAUUGUUAAUAUACCAGCUGGCAUUUAAAAGUGUAGAGGUUUUAUAAAAGGAGCCCCAGCUCCCCCAAAUGUAUCAGAUCAGAAUUUUACAAAAGAAAUCAAUAUUGGAGCUCUGCUCCUUCUUCUCUCCUUCCCUCUUCUUCCAUAGCUUUCUUGUGCCACUUACAGGUUGAUUAAGGGAAUUGAGAAUUAGAUCUUAUCAAUGGUAUCAUCCUUCUCGAAUCCUGGUUUCCCUCCUGUGCACACCCACCCACCUACGUUUUCUGCCAUGGUUGCUGCGCCCAAGGAUUCGCUUCGCGAGACCCUGGAUGCUCUAUUCGCACCCUACCUGGCUAAGAUCCGCCGUGCCCGUGAGUUGGCUCUCAGCGCUGAGGGAGACUCCACUCCAACCCUUAUGUUCGCUAUCAGUGAUGGGGGAGUUCCUGAUCCAGCCCCGAUGAUUGCCGAUGACGCUGCAGGAAUCGAUCUCGGUCAGAAAAUAAUUCCACGAGUCGCUGCAUCAACUAAUCAGAUUCUGCCGUUGCUCUCGUCAUCGCCGUUAUUGCGAGCACUAGCAAAUCCUCCUGUCAGGCCACCGUCGAACUCAAACGCUUCAUUGGCAAAUUCGCCCAGCCAGCCGCUACACUCAAAUGAUAUUGUAGCAGCCACAAUUCCAUUGCGGAAUGUUGAGAAAACCAGGCCCGUUGCGAUUGUGACCACAAUGCCGCUAUUUCCGAUUUCAGCAACCUUUAGCACUGAAUCAGCCCACGCUCACAAUCACAACCUCGUUUUGAGCACCAAGGAAGCUACAACAAUGGCGCAUGUUCUGGGUUUUCCUCUCAAGAAAGCAGGAGCUACUAAAUCUGUAGGUAUAUCUCAUACAAACACCACGAAGCGUCGACACGAGGUAUUGACAUCCUUGCUUUCCAAUUCUACAAAUCGGAAGGACAAAUGGUAUUGGGUUUUGCAGGUUAUUUUGGCAUAUUAUACUGGUGUUAUUGUGAUAAUGUAUGACGACUUCUUAACUGAUAAAUGUGGAUGGGGUAAUUGGUACCUUGUGGGACAAUUUGUGUUACACGCGCCCCUAAUUUAAAUCGUAUUUUUACUAAAUUUGAGUUUAUCUUGCUUUUAAAAUUAUUUUUGGGUUUUAAAUGGUGUGCCCAAGGCCCACCCCCUGUUUUGUCCCCCGUUCCCUUUCCCUUUCUUUUAUUUAUUUUCUUCUUUCUUCUUCUUCUUCUUCUUCUUUUCUGUUUCUUUUUCUUUCUUUUCCGUCUGUCCCUCUCGGCUCUCUCUGCGCCCUCUCUUCUCUGCACCGCAACAAGCACACGCACGCACCCAUUGCACCUGCGCGAGGAAGACCAUCAUCAUCUCGUCCUGCUCUCUCUCCCUCUCGUGUUUGCGAACCCAGAAAAUCGGAAAGGAUCUUCCGCGAGAUUUUUAUAUUUUCCGGUUAGGUAAGCCUCAAAUCCCUCUCUUUCGUCCUAGAAUCUUUUGAGAAUGGGUUCUAAUUGGUUUUAUUUCGUGAUUUUUGGAGGUUUUAGGAUGAAAACAAACUCGGGUGCAGGAACACCCAUUUCCGGCGAGGAACCCGCCACUUUCGAGUUAAUCUCCGGCCAAACCACGGCGAGUUGGCCGGCGUGCAAGGUAUCAAUCUCUUCGUCUCGUCGAUUACUACAACUUUCCUUUUUGUUUCACCCAAUUUCGUUGAGUAUUGAAGAAGUUAUACUCAUUUGAAUCUUACCCAGUUUCCGGCGAGUCCGACGGCUUUCGAGGCGUUUUCCGGUCAAACCACGGCGAAUUAGACGUCGUGUGAGGUACCAUUCUCUUCGUCUCUUCGAGGGCUACAACUUUCGUUUUUGUCUCGCUUGAUUUCGUUGAGUUUUAACAAAGUUAUAGCCAUUUAAAAUUGGGUGGUUUUCCGGCCGAAAUUCCAGCCUUCUUCUUCCUCGGGUCCGGCGACCCAUCAAACUUGGGCCCUUUGGGCCGUUUCUGUUAAGGGCUUUAAGCCCAAACCCUAAACCUUUGGGCUUUAGGACCAAACCCAAGAACCCAAACCCUAUGACCCAAACCCGGAUCCAAGCCCAGACCCGUUUGACCUGGUCCGACCCGGAUCCUGACCCGUUGACUUUGACCGGUCAACGUUGACUUUUCUAGUUGACUUUUCGGGUUUUCGUCCAAGACCUUCCUAGGCUAAUUUCGACGUCCUGGAUCCGUUUUUGAAGUUCGUUUUCCCAAAUUCAAUCGUUUGAGUAGAGUUUGACUAAAUGGAUCAUUUAUGUGCUUAGGUGAAUUUAAUGACGGCGGUUCCGUUAUUCCUAUUUGGUAUGGCGUUGCACCAACGGUGUACGGUGAGUGGACCCCUUCUAAAAUGCAUGUUUUAUAGUAGAAAUGCAUACAUAAAAAGUAUGAUUUGAUGAUUACCUUUUAUGAAACGUUUUGUGAGAUAACAUGCUUAUUGAGGCUACUUUAAAUUAUUACUAUUUUUCCUAUAACCCGUGUUCUUAUAGAAUAUCUGAUGGAUGACGAUAUGAUAUUAGAACAUGUUUAGAACACCUCUUUAUAGUAUAGAUGAUGGAUGACUUUAUACUAUGAAGUUGUUUUUCAAUAUAUAUGUUCAAUGGUUUUGUACUUACCUAGUGGUCAUUUCCGCUACGGGACGUAGGGAUAGAUUCCGGUCAUUCCCGGGCGACGGUUUGGUGUUGGCAUAGGGCCUGGAGUGUGUUUCCUCUGGCUAUUUAGCACAGGGACGGGGAGCCGGCAUGGGGCCUGAAGUGUAUUUUCCUCUGACUGUCUGCUCAGAGACGGGGAGCCGGCAUGGGGCCUGGGGGUUAUCGGACAAUUCACUAGUGAUUAUUAUAUAUAUAAAAGUUAUGAUUUGAGACACUGCACAUCAUGCUAGGUUUCGGAAAACCUAUGUUUAUCAUUAUAUAUGUGUUUUCAUAAAACUUGGGGGUUAGUACGUUGAUAACUGUUUUGUUAUAUUUAUAUCAAAUUGGUCCACUCAUGUUUGUUUUGCGCCCCCUUCAGGAUUUAGGAUCGAGGCGUACAAUCCCGGCAAUCCAGGCACUUCCGCAUCGGUAUCUUCAAGUCCUCUCGGUGUAGAACCCACUUCUGUGUUCAUUCAAUUUUUAUAUUAAUUCUUUUAAUGUUCUAGAUUAGAUGUGUGCUCUGAACACGUUCCUUAAAUGCAUAUUCUUUAUUUAUAUUUAUAAGUUUUAUCUAUCCUUUAUUUUCAGCAAUUGCACUCAAUAAAUGGCUUUCGUCGCCCUCGGGUGUCGGCCAGCACGUGACCAUCCUGAUAUCCUGAGGAUAUCGGGAUCGGGGCGUGUCAGAUUGGUAUCAGAGCGUGGUUUGUUCAGAGCAUACUUAGGAUCCUCUUCUAUUAUCGUAGAGUGUUGGUUUUGACAUCAUUUGGAUGUCCAGACUUCUAGAUUUGGUGCCAUUCGGCGCAGUCGUGCGAAUCUUCCUCUAUUUGAAUUGUCACAUUCGGGUUGAUAUACAAGAAUUUGUGUCGGGAUUGUGCCUCAUCGGUGACGUGUUUGAAUUGUUGGACGACUUUCAGCUUCAGAUUGAUACUCUACGACGUGCAUUCCCUGGGAAUGACGGGCAUAGUCGGUGUUACUUGGAAGCGACGGAUUUUAGAAAUCUCAGCUUAAGGAAGUCUGGUCAAGACCAGCUGUAAAUUCGAAAUGGCGAUGCCACUCUACAACAUGCGUUCCCUAGGAAUUGCGGGCGGAGUCGGCUUUGCAUCGAAAUCUUGGGAAGCGGAAAAAAAAUCUUGGCAGUACGAAUUGACUAAGACCAACUGGAGUUCUGAAGCGGUGUUGUACUCUGCAACAUGCGUUCCUUAGGAAUGGCGGGCAGAGUCGUAUCUCUUUAGAAAUUACUCGAAACUUUCGAAAUGCAGAUUGAAGAAGCGAGUAAGUGCUAGUGGUGACGACGGUUAGUAGGUGGUAGUUGGUGGGAGCAAAAUCAAUGUUCUCGAACUCAUUACCACUGAAGAAAUUUGGGUGAAUCUUUAUAACAGUUCUCUGUGAUUGUUUUAUCGAUUACCUUCUCGUUUAUUCCAACGACGAAGUCAAGUUCACUGACCUUUGAUCGUCAGCUUCACAUCAAAUCCCUCGAGAGUUGACUUCGUCUAGAGAUUAUACUUUUCUUGGGAAACUCCUCGGUAGCAGACGUUAUUCUCAUCAAUUUCGAAAUGGAGUUGCGAUUCUUGUUGUUGUUGUAGUUGAACUUGGAUAAUGAAGAUUCAGCCUUGUUUGGAUAAACAAAUUCCUUGAACUUCACCUGGGUUUGGUACUUGGUAGUAAACCCUAGUUCCUCAUCCGUGUACUUUUCAGUGAAGGUGAACUUAGUCCCUUGCUUGCAACCUAACUGUUCAGCCUUGUAAUUUUCAGCGUAAUGGCUUGAGACUCUAUCAUAUUCAUCAUUGUACGAAGAUCGAGCUUUACUCUGAACUUCUCUGGGCUCGUUAAGCUUUGAUUUGCUCAGAGGCAUCACUUUAAGGUAGCCAAUCGUGUCACUGCAUGCAUACACAAGCUGCUUUGUAUCUUUCUUCUUCGUUAUUCUGCUGAUUCAGAGGUUUUAUGUUUAAUUUCUGAAUUUUUAAAUGACUAUCGCGAAGUACCGUGAAUCUCGAAAUGUCUUUGGCCUCGUCAAAUCUUAUUAAUAGUUCUUGACUAUUCUUGAGAUUAGACUUGUUCCUUUUGGCUAAGAAACCAGUCGACCUUAUUGUGAUGAGUAGCCAAAUAAUCAUAAACAGUAACUUCUAUUUCUGCAUCUUCAUUUUCCUUCGUUUGUUUGUUUGUUUCUCAAUGUGAACUGGAUCAUGCCGGGACAUUACACGAAGGGUGUAAAAAAAAAAAAAAAAAAAAACGUUUGUUCUCGGCGUGGUUUCUAGUUCAAAUCCGGAUAUCUUGUACUCUAUAUUUAAUGGACUUGUUUUGAACCUUAAAUUCCUGAGUGUUCUUUUAGCCUUAUCGACAUGGUUUCUCUCUCAAUUAGUGAGAAAUUCAUGAUCGAUGGUUUCGGCGGAAGUGUGCGCCCAAUUCUUAUCGAUUUGGACAGGAAUGUUGGGAGCAUAAUCUUUUCACAAGCUUACUAGACUUACCAGAAAGAGUUCCACGUGGGUGUGAAGUUUGAGUUGUCUUUUGGUAAGAGACUGGUGAAGAUUGUGGUGCAGAUGAUUAGCAGAUUGUAUCACUAUCUUCACGCUGAAUUGAAUGGUCACCAUUCAUUAUCCUGCUGCAAUUCAUAAUCAUCAUAUCUUACUCUGGUAGACAUUUUUGAUGAUGUGUUCGCCUCAACGCAGCUUUCCACUACCUCUCACCAGGAUCCUUCGGUUCGAGAGCACGUGGGCGUGAGGUUGAGCGGUCUUUUAGUAAGAGUUGGUUGAAGGUUUUAGUUCAGAAGGUCAGCAUAUUGUAUCACCAUCUUACUAGAAUUCAUAGGCAUCACAUCGGUUAUUUUCCAACGAUAUGUGUUCGUGUCAAUGCAUACUUCGACUGCUUCACUUCUGAACCUUAUUCUUGUGAGUAUGUGGAUGUUGAAUCACUUAUAGCAGAUUUGUUUGGUGCACUCUGGAAUGGCACCACAACGUAGUUGAGAUAAGAAUCGGAAGAUCUUUGCACUUUUUGCGAAUGGUGUGUGCUCUCAUGGGGUGUUUAGGUUGAUUGCAUGAGAGUCAUUCUUUCCUCCAACAUUGAUCUUGUUUGACUAGAAAUCUGCAACUAAGCAAAAAUGGAGAGGUGGAUUGAGCACUACAACAGUUCCCAAGAGAUACUGCGUGUUGAGGAAGAUGACUUCUCGUUUUCUGCUUACCUAGUUCGAGCUUUUGGGUCUACUACUAACAUGGUGGCCACUUCUCUUGAAUCCCAAAGUACAGUUUCAAAUGGGUUCUUUGUUGGCAUAACUCUGGAGUAGUUGGUCACAUUUGGAAUAACUGAGGAAGAGGUUGUGCUUGGUACUAAAGGGAGUUAGUAUGACGAUAGUUAUUGGUUUUGUUCGAUUUGGGUAUGGCACUAUUUGCGACAUGGUACGAGAGUUGCUACACGCAACAUUGGUUGAUAGAGGAGACGUGCAAGCUUGUACUUGGAGGAUCGAAUUUUCGACGUGUGAAAUUGUGCACCCUCAGGAAAUUACUGCUUGUUUACUGAGACAACAAAUGUGUGGUCGAUAUCGCGGGCGGCCGACUGUGGUAUCGAUAAUUUAUUUGUUGGGUUCGUUAAGCAAGUGGGGCAGGAAUAUCCUUUUACGGCAGCCGUUAAAGAUUCACUAUUGUUAGAACUGGACCCAAAGACACAUCUAUUUUCGGAGUACGCGACGUUUCGAAUUCUUGGGCAAGACCCACUCUCAUUCUUCAGUUUUGGUUUUCAGUAUAAGUAUUUUAACCUCAUUUACUCUAGUUAAUUGUUUUGCCAUUACAAAUGUUUUUGGAAAAGUAUUUCCGUUUUCAGUUUUUAAGUGUAGCUCGAAUUUUCAACCUAUAUGUUGGUACAUAUCCAUUUUGACGUUAUCGUAUGUUAUGUUCUUACUUUUGACCUUAAUCUAUUUUAUGUUUUCGACUUUAUAUCUUUAUAAAGUAUGUUUUCUACUUUUACACUGAUGGGGAAGAAAGUAAGCUUGGAGGCAUGAUAGAGGAUUUUGCAACCCGCUCGCGACGGUGUGGUAUAUUCUCUUUGAUGCACCCACUCUGACUUGAUUUCUCUUUAUACAUAUAUUCUUCUUACUAUUUUCGUGUAUUUCAGUUUAGUAGGUGAUUUUAAAUUUCGGGGACGAAAUUCUUUUUAAGGGGGGUAGAUUGUUACACCCGCCCCUAAUUUAAAUCGUAUUUUCACUAAGUUUGAGUUUAUCUUGCUUUUAAAAUUGUUUUUGGGUCUUAAAUGGUGUGCCCAAGGGGCCCCACCCCCUGUUUUGUCCCCCGUUCCCUUUCCCUUUCUUUUAUUUAUUUUCUUCUUUCUUCUUCUUCUUCUUCUUCUUUUCUGUUUCUUUUUCUUUCUUUUCCGUCUGUCCCUCUCGGCUCUCUCUGCGCCCUCUCUUCUUUGCACCGCAACAAGCACACGCACGCACCCAUUGCACCUGCGCGAGGAAGACCAUCAUCAUCUCGUCCUGCUCUCUCUCCCUCUCGUGUUUGCGAACCCAGAAAAUCGGAAAGGAUCUCCCGCGAGAUUUUUAUAUUUUCCGGUUAGGUAAGCCUUAAAUCCCUCUCUUUCGUCCUAGAAUCUUUGAGAAUGGGUUCUAAUUGGUUUUAUUUCGUGAUUUUUGGAGGUUUUAGGAUGAAAACAAACUCGGGUGCAUGAACACCCAUUUCCGGCGAGGAACCCGCCACUUUCGAGUUAAUCUCCGGCCAAACCACGGCGAGUUGGCCGGCGUGCAAGGUAUCAAUCUCUUCGUCUCGUCGAUUACUACAACUUUCCUUUUUGUUUCACCCAAUUUCGUUGAGUAUUGAAGAAGUUAUACUCAUUUGAAUCUUACCCAGUUUCCGGCGAGUCCGACGGCUUUCGAGGCUUUUUCCGGUCAAACCACGGCGAAUUAGACGUCGUGUGAGGUACCAUUCUCUUCGUCUCUUCGAGGGCUACAACUUUCGUUUUUGUCUCGCUUGAUUUCGUUGAGUUUUGACAAAGUUAUAGCCAUUUAAAAUUGGGUGGUUUUCCGGCCGAAAUUCCGGCCUUCUUCUUCCUCGGGUCCGGCAACCCAUCAAACUUGGGCCCUUUGGGCCGUUUCUGUUAAGGGCUUUAAGCCCAAACCCUAAACCUUUGGGCUUUAGGACCAAACCCAAGAACCCAAACCCUAUGACCCAAACCCGGAUCCAAGCCCAGACCUGUUUGACCUGGUUCGACCCGGAUCCUGACCCGUUGACUUUGACCGGUCAACGUUGACUUUUCUAGUUGACUUUUCGGGUUUUCGUCCAAGACCUUCCUAGGCUAAUUUCGACGUCCUGGAUCCGUUUUUGAAGUUCGUUUUCCCAAAUUCAAUCGUUUGAGUAGAGUUUGACUAAAUGGAUCAUUUAUGUGCUUAGGUGAAUUUAAUGACGGCGGUUCCGUUAUUCCUAUUUGGUAUGGCGUUGCACCAACGGUGUACGGUGAGUGGACCCCUUCUAAAAUGCAUGUUUUAUAGUAGAAAUGCAUACAUAAAAAGUAUGAUUUGAUGAUUACCUUUUAUGAAACGUUUUGUGAGAUAACAUGCUUAUUGAGGCUACUUUAAAUUAUUACUAUUUUUCCUAUAACCCGUGUUCUUAUAGAAUAUCUGAUGGAUGACGAUAUGAUAUUAGAACAUGUUUAGAAUGUCACAGCCCGUCCCGGGAUUUCUAUAUCGGGGGCGUGAAUUGACGUAACUACCCUUGACGGACAUUCGGGUACGUGUGUGUGCGACAUUAUUGAAUUAAUUUUGUAAGUUUUGGGAUUUUAAUUUUGGAAUUUGGAAAUUUUUGUGGUUAGGGAAUUGGAUGGAUGGUGAGGAUUGUGUUGGACCACACAAUCACACACACACGCACUCCCUGUCUUCUCUCCCUCCCGUAGCUCUCUCUGUCCCUCUCCCUCACGAUCUCUCUCUUUCCCCUCACCCUAUACGUACGGCCUUCACCCAAAACCCUUCAAAACUCGACGGAUCGAGGCAAAUAAGGUAUGCAUCUUCAUCCUUUCGUCGUCCUGAGUUCAUUGGUGCUAGUUUUAGGAAGUGAAACCUUCGAUUUCACAUAGAUCCCGAACCUCCAUUUUUGAGGUACUGUUCAUGCGAACGUAAAAUGUUGUGUUUCAGGAGAUUUCAAGCUUGUGGUGAGCUUUAGGAGGUUCCUAAGGAAGCUCGGGGACGUUCGUUGGAGAGUUUUGGACGUCGGGAUCGUAGGUUUCAAGUUUGGCCGAAUCUUUGGUUUUUCCAAGGUGAGAUUUCGUAGUUUUUAGGCCCUAAAACAAGUCCAACGUGAUUGUACACUCUUAGGGCUUCAAUUUGGUAUAAAAUACGAAGAAAAUGGGUGAAAAACGAAGGAGAAUAGUGAGUUUGAAAAUCGGCCGGAGUUCGGCCGGAGUCCGGCCACCAGAGAACCAGUCCGGCGAGACCUGCGAAGAAGACGACACGUGCGCUGCACGUGCUGCGCGUGGCCAGCGCGUGGACCCGUGCCACGUGUGGCGCGUGGGGGCGCGUGGGGCUUCCAAAAAUUUUUCUAAAAAUUUCUCGACGCUCGUGACGUCGAGUAGGUCGAUGUGGUAUAUUAUUAUACCAAAAUUGAGCAUCGUAUGAGAAGUUAUUUCAAAUUAUUGGUGAUGUGCUUAAAAUUAAUGUUUUUAUAGUUGUUUCGCAUAUAGGUGAGACGUAUCCCGAGGACGACCGCAUCCAGGGACGCCACGGGGGUUACGACGACCCGUCGACUUAUCAGUGAGUGGGCAGUUUUGUUUUCGUAUUACCUAUAUACUACUGUUUUUCCCAGAAAAAUGUUUAUAUGAAAAUAUGUUUUGAAUAUGCCAUGCAUAGAAUUAUUUGAAAAUCAUGAAUUGGUUUAUGAACUAUAUGAUUGAAAUAUGAUGCAUACAUGUUGCAUGGUGCUGUGGAGGCACAGGUAAGUCAGGUGAGUUCAUUUAUUCAUUGAAUUGUUGUUGUUGAGAUGAGUUGAGCUCAUAAUCUGCACCCUAGGUGUUAGUGCUUAUAUUAUUCACCACACCGCACGCUCGUCUUGGAUCCAAGUAGGUGGAUGUCGUACAGACCAUGUGAGGGUUCCGACAUGCUAGUCGUACAGAUCACUAGGCGUGAUUCCGACUAGUGGGUGACCUUAGUUAUGCGCGCUGAUGAUAUGAUGAGAGAAGCACUAGAGCGUAUUUUUACACCUUUCAUCGUAUAGACUACCUUACGUAGUUCCGAGUGAUGUGCAGAGUAGGGCCGUAUAGGUCACUGUGGUGACUCCGGCUUAGUGGGAUUUUUGAGCUAUUGAAUUAAUCGUAUAGGACCAACUGCAGGGUCUCCGAUUGAUUCCUUAUUUCACCUGAUUUAUAUUUUUUAUUUAUGUCAUGGCAUGUUUUCUUGAAAAUGUUAAAGAUUUGAGAUUUAAAUGUUGAGAUUUUAUAUGGUUAUAUAUAUUUCUGGGAAAGUAUACAGGUUUUUACGGCGAGGGGAUAUAACUGUUUUAAUGAAAUGUUUUGGAAAACUAAUUUGUUUUACUGACCCACUCAUUUUGUUUUGCGCCCCUCCAGGUUCUAGUUUAGCGGUGGUUGGCUCACGAGGUCCUUUCCGGCUUUCUGACAGAUUUGGGACAUGUAGGACUCACCUGAGGGUGAUGUAUUCUUAUUUUAGUCCUACUUGACUGCAGUUAACCUAUGCUCUGAACUUAUGUGUUUACUUGUAAACUCGUCCGGUUAUGUCCGUAUGUGGUUAUGUUGAGUUUGGGUUGAAUUUCUGUUGUUAUUACGCUUCCGUGUCGUGCUUAUGGUUACGUCACGCCCACGUGACGGCCAGCACACCUGGAUCCUCCGGAUCAGGGUGUGUCAGUUUGGUAUCAGAGCUUAGGUUGCAGUCCUGUAAAAUUGUUAAUGUCUUAACGAUCUUUUUGAUGUUUUCUGUCAGAAUCAUGCCGCCUCGUAGAGAGCGUAGGGAGUCCCGCCGUACUCCUGAACCUAAUUUCCCAGAUAUUACUCAGUUAGGGGAAGCGAUGGCCCAGGCUUUACAGAAUGUGAUUCGUCCUCCCCCUCCUCCGAGGACACCUCUGGAGACCAUGUACAACUUGAAGUUAGAUCGGUUUAUGGGUAAUGAAAGUCAUGAGGGGGCAGAGAAAUGGCUUGAUCAUAUUGAGAAAACCUUUCAGGUGAUGCAGAGUCAGGGGAAUCUCCCUGCUAAUAGGUGGGUGGAGACCACCACUUGGUUUCUGGGUUGUGAACCAGCAGCAUGGUGGAUAAAUCAGGCUAGGUACAUGUCACCUGAGACGGCAGCCGACUGGAAAGUAUUCAAGGAGCAUUUUAUGAAGAGAUUUCGUUCCUCCUGAGUAUAUUGACCGUAAGAAGCAGGAAUUCACCAGGUUGAAACAGAGAAAUAUGUCGGCACAUGAAUAUUAUAGAAAGUUUACUGAUUUGUCUCGUUAUGACACUGAUAUAGCUGGUAAUCAGGGAGAGAUGCUUCGACGUUUCAAGUUGGGAUCUAAGAAGAAGUGGCGUACCUUUGCCAAUGCACUUCCCUGCGCUGAUUAUCAUGAGUAUUUCGAGAUUUUGGUUAGGAUGGAGGACUCUGAUAAUCUUCCUGACAGUGAGGAUGACGAGGACAAGAAUGAGGGUCAGAAGAAGAAUGAUAAGGGUAAGGGUAUUUCUAUUCCUGGACCUCGACAGACACAGAGUUUUUAAGAAGAGUGGAGCGAGUUCGAGUUCUUCUAGUGGGGGAUAUAGUUUUACUGGCCCGAGGAGAGGUGGUGGAAGAUUUUCUGGUGGACCCAGAUUUCAGGGUCAGAGGGAUGCUGGUGGAUCUGGCGCUCCAUGGUGCCGCCGUUGUAACUCCCGUCACCAUGGUGAGUGUAGGAGAGGUUCUGGUGCCUUGUUUUUACGUGUGGGACAGAUGGGACAUCGGGCUUCUCAGUGCCCCCAGGGUCAGCAGAGACCGCAGCAGACUAAUAUGCCACCUCCAGCACCAGUUCAGCAGAGUUUUGGGACCGGGUGGUUAUGGCCAGCCGAGUCGUGGUGGUGCCUACCACUAUCAGGGGGAUGCUGCUCCGUAUGCUUCCGGACCUUAUCAGUAUUCUCAGGAGCCUUAUCCUCAGGCAGGGUAUUCUCAGGAUUUUGGAGGUUAUUCUUCUUAUUCCUCUAUGCCAGCUGGUGGAUCGCAGUGGCAUCAGGGAGGCCAGCCCCGUCAGGGGGAAGUUGCUACUGGUGGUGCAGGAUCAUCCAGGCAGCCUAGUCAGCCAGGCCAGGGACGAGGUAAUCAGGGCAAUAGAGGCCGAGGUGGACGUCAGCAAGCUCAGGGGCGAGUUAAUCAUAUUGUCCCUGCAGGAGGCUCAGAACCAUCCAGACUUGAUAAUGGGUACGUUAAAUGUUCUUGGUCAUUUUGCUAAGGUUUUGAUUGAUUGUGGCGCUACGCACUCUGUGAUUUCUCAUACGUUUGCUCAAAUAACCCAACCUCACCCUUCACCUCUAGGAUUUGAUUUAGAGUUUGCCAUGCCUAGAGGAGAUAAAUGUAUUGUGGAUAGUGUGUAUCUGGGGUGUCCAGUGAUGGUUGAGGGCGUGAUUAUGUCCGCUGAUCUUAUUCCGUUAGAUAUUGUGGAUUUUGAUGUGAUUUUAGGGGCCGAUUGGUUACACCAUAAUCGUGCCCAUAUUGAUUGUUAUGGUAAAUCAGUUACUUUUUAUCGUCCUGGAUUACCCGAGGUUAUUUUUGUGGGCGAGAGAAGUGGGGUGAGACAUGGAGUUAUUUCUGCCAUAAGGGCGAGGAAAUUAUUAUCGAAGGGUUGUCAGGGAUAUUUGGCACAUGUGGUAUUAAAUGAUGUUGCUCCUACUAGUAUAGAAGAAGUUGGUGUGGUCAGACAUUAUCCGGAUGUUUUCCCUGAUGAUUUGCCGGGAUUGCCGCCAGACAGAGAGGUGGAAUUCUCUAUUGAUUUGCUUCCAGGUACGGACCCUAUAUCUCUGACUCCUUAUAGAAUGGCUCCUGCUGAGUUAAGGGAAUUAAAAAUCCAGUUGCAAGAAUUACUUGAUAAAGGUUUUAUUCAACCUAGUUCUUCACCUUGGGGUGCCCCAGUAUUAUUUGUGAAGAAGAAGGAUGGAACUCUUUCGAUUGUGUAUUGAUUAUAGACAAUUGAACCGGGUAACGAUUAAAAACCGUUAUCCAUUGCCCCGCAUUGAUGAUUUGUUUGAUCAGCUGAAAGGUGCGUGUGUAUUUUCUAAGAUUGAUUUGAGAUCCGGGUAUUAUCAAUUGAAGAUUAAAGAAGACGAUGUACCUAAGACGGCUUUCCGAACUCGGUACGGACAUUAUGAAUUUUCGGUUAUGCCGUUUGGGUUGACUAAUGCACCUGCAGCUUUUAUGAGAUUAAUGAAUGAGGUAUUCCAGAAAUAUCUUGAUAAAUUUGUUAUUGUUUUUAUUGAUGAUAUUCUGGUAUACUCUAAGUCCCAAGCAGAUCAUAUCCGACACCUUAAUUUGGUGUUAAGGAAAUUAAGGGAGCAUCAGUUGUAUGCCAAGUUCAGUAAAUGUCAGUUUUGGUUGACUGAAGUGGCAUUUUUGGGGCAUGUUGUAUCAGCUCAAGGUAUUCAAGUUGAUCCUCAAAAGAUUGCAGCAGUGGAGAAUUGGGAGCAACCUCGAACCGUCACGGAGGUACGAAGUUUUCUUGGCUUAGCAGGUUAUUAUCGACGGUUCGUUCAGGAUUUCUCUAUGAUUGCUUUACCGUUGACAAAGUUGACCAGGAAGGAUGUUAAAUUUGAGUGGGAUGAGAAUUGUGAGCGGAGUUUUCAACAAUUGAAGUAUUGCCUCACUCAUGCACCGGUGUUGGUACUUCCCGACGAUAGCGGUAAUUUUGAGAUAUAUAGUGAUGCUUCAUUAAAUGGUUUGGGAUGUGUUUUGAUGCAGCAUAAUAAGGUGAUUGCCUAUGCUUCUAGGCAGUUGAAAAAAUCAUGAAAGGAACUAUCCUACUCACGAUCUUGAAUUGGCAGCAAUUGUUUUUGCUUUGAAAAUUUGGAGGACAUUACUUUGUAUGGUGAGAAGUGUAAGAUCUUCACUGAUCACAAGAGUCUUCAGUAUUUGUUUACUCAGCAUGAUCUUAAUCUUCGUCAGCGAAGGUGGAUGGAAUUGUUAAGUGAUUAUGAUUGUUCUAUUGAAUACCAUCCAGGUCGUGCUAAUGUAGUAGCGGAUGCACUGAGUAGGAAACCUCAAGGUAGACUUAAUGCCCUUAUAUGCUAGUCGUGUUCCUCUUCUUGCUGAAUCUGAGGACAACUGGGGUAAGGUUGGAAAUUGAAAGACCGAGGAUGGAGCUUUUCUUGCUAGUUUUCAAGUCAGGCCAGUUUUGGUGGAGCGUAUACUUGCAGCUCAGAUGGUGAAUGAGGAAAGUUCAAGGAGUUGGUUCAGUUAAGAAGUGAAGGGAAAAAGAAAGACCUCAGAAUUCGGGAAUCAGACGGUAUGCUCAUGCAAGAAGACAGAAUGUAUGUUCCGAAUAAUGAGGAAUUGAAGAAGGAAAUUCUGGACGAAGCACAUUGUUCAGCUUAUGCGAUGCAUCCGGGAGGAACAAAAAUGUAUAUCAUACCAUUCGACCAUUUUAUUAUUGGCCGGGUAUGAAAAGAGAAAUUGCAGAAUAUGUGAGCAGGUGUAUUAUUUGCCAGCAAGUGAAAGCAGAAAGAAAGAAGCCAUUUGGGCGAAUGCAACCCCUUCCUGUUCCCCAGUGGAAAUGGGAAAAUAUAACCAAUGGAUUUCGUGUAUAAACUUCCUCGUACGCGAAAUGGAUUUGAUGGUAUUUGGGUGAUUGUGGAUCGACUCACCAAGUCGGCGCAUUUCAUUCCUGUGAGGGAGAAAUACCCUCUGAAUAAAUUGGCUAAGUUGUUUAUUUCGAAGAUUGUCAAGUAUCAUGGAGUCCCAGUAAAUAUUAUCUCCGAUCGAGACCCGAGGUUUACUUCUAAAUUUUGGGUGGCUUUUCAGGAAGCUCUGGGUACUCAAUUACUGUAUAGCACAGCUUAUCAUCCUCAAACUGAUGGGCAAUCAGAGAGGACCAUUCAGACGUUGGAAGGAUAUGUUGAGAUCUUCAGUACUGCAAUUUGGUGAUUCUUGGCAUGAUCGUCUGGACUUAAUGGAGUUUGCUUAUAAUAACAGUUUUUCACUCGAGCAUUGGUAUGUCCCCAUUCGAGGCACUUUAUGGUAGGGCGUGUCGAACGCCAUUAUGUUGGUCUGAGGUUGGUGAACGGGUAUUAGAAGGCCCUGAGAUCGUGGAUGAGACGACUCAAAAUGUUCAGAUAAUUAAGUCAAACCUGAAAGCAGCCCAGGAUCGACAGAAGAGUUUAGCGGAUCGGCAUACUACUGAUCGAGUGUAUGAUGUGGGUGAUUGGGUAUUUUUGAAAUUGUCGCCUUGGAGAGGUGUAGUACGAUUUGGGAAAAGAGGAAAGUUAAGCCCGAGAUAUAUUGGACCUUAUGUGAUCACUGAAAGAGUUGGUGAAGUUGCCUAUCGGUUGGAACUGCCUCCGGAGUUAUCUAAGGUCCAUAAUGUGUUCCACGUCUCUAUGCUUCGGCAUUAUAUUUCUGAUCCUUCUCAUGUGAUCCCUCCUCAACCGUUAGAGAUUAAUCCGGAAUUUGACGUAUGAUGAGGAACCGGUCACUAUCUUGGAUUGGAAAGAUAAGGUUCUAAGGAACAAGACGGUGAGUUUGGUAAAGGUGUUGUGGAUGAACCAUUCUGCAGAGGAAGCCACCUGGGAGACGGAAGAUCGGAUGAGAGAGAUGUACCCAAGGUUAUUUUAUGGGUACUAAGUGGUUAAUUUGGAUUGUGGGAAUUUCGGGGACGAAAUUCUAUAAGGAGGGGAGAUUGUCACAGCCCGUCCCCGGGAUUUCUAUAUCGGGAAUGUGAAUUGACAGUAACUACCCUUGAUUGGACAUUCGGGUACGUGUGUGUGCGACAUUAAAUUGAAAUUUUGUAAGUUUUGGGAUUUUAAUUUUGGAAUUUGGAAAUUUUUUGUGGUUAGGGAAUUGGAUGGAUGGUGAGGAUUGUGUUGGACCACACAAUCACACACACACGCACUCCCUGUCUUCUCUCCCUCCCGUAGCUCUCUCUGUCCCUCUCCCUCACGAUCUCUCUCUUUCACCCUCACCCUAUACGUACGGCCUUCACCCAAAACCCUUCAAAACUCGACGGAUCGAGGGGCAAAUAAGGUAUGCAUCUUCAUCCUUUCGUCGUCCUGAGUUCAUUGGUGCUAGUUUUAGGAAGUGAAACCUUCGAUUUCACAUAGAUCCCGAACCUCCAUUUUUGAGGUACUGUUCAUGCGAACGUAAAAUGUUGUGUUUCAGGAGAUUUCAAGCUUGUGGUGAGCUUUAGGAGGUUCUAAGGAAGCUCGGGGACGUUCGUUGGAGAGUUUUGGACGUCGGGAUCGUAGGUUUCAAGUUUGGCCGAAUCUUUGGUUUUUCCAAGGUGAGAUUUCGUAGUUUUUAGGCCCUAAAACAAGUCCAACGUGAUUGUACACUCUUAGGGCUUCAAUUUGGUAUAAAAUACGAAGAAAAUGGGUGAAAAAACGAAGGAGAAUAGUGAGUUUGAAAAUCGGCCGGAGUUCGGCCGGAGUCCGGCCACCGGAGAACCAGUCCGGCGAGGACCUGCGAAGAAGACGACACGUGCGCUGCACGUGCUGCGCGUGGCCAGCGCGUGGACCCGUGCCACGUGUGGCGCGUGGGGGCGCGUGGGGCUUCCAAAAAAUUUUUCUAAAAAUUUCUCGACGCUCGUGACGUCGAGUAGGUCGAUGUGGUAUAUUAUUAUACCAAAAAUUGAGCAUCGUAUGAGAAGUUAUUUCAAAUUAUUGGUGAUGUGCUUUAAAAUUAAUGUUUUUAUAGUUGUUUCGCAUAUAGGUGAGACGUAUCCCGAGGACGACCGCAUCCAGGGACGCCACGGGGGUUACGACCCGUCGACUUAUCAGUGAAUGGGCAGUUUUGUUUUCGUAUUACCUAUAUACUACUGUUUUUCCCAGAAAAAUGCAUUUAUAUGAAAAUAUGUUUUUGAAUAUGCCAUGCAUAGAAUUAUUUGAAAAUCAUGAAUUGGUUUCACAUGAACUAUAUGAUUGAAAUAUGAUGCAUACAUGUUGCAUGGUGCUGUGGAGGCACAGGUAAGUCAGGUGAGUUCAUUUAUUCAUUGAAUUGUUGUUGUUGAGAUGAGUUGAGCUCAUAAUCUGCACCCUAGGUGUUAGUGCUUAUAUUAUUCACCACACCGCACGCUCGUCUUGGAUCCAAGUAGGUGGAUGUCGUACAGACCAUGUGAGGGUUCCGACAUGCUAGUCGUACAGAUCACUAGGCGUGAUUCCGACUAGUGGGUGACCUUAGUUAUGCGCGCUGAUGAUAUGAUGAGAGAAGCACUAGAGCGUAUUUUUACACCUUUCAUCGUAUAGACUACCUUACGUAGUUCCGAGUGAUGUGCAGAGUAGGGCCGUAUAGGUCACUGUGGUGACUCCGGCUUAGUGGGAUUUGAGCUAUUGAAUUAAUCGUAUAGGACCAACUGCAGGGUCUCCGAUUGAUUCCUUAUUCACCUGAUUUAUAUUUUUUAUUUAUGUCAUGGCAUGUUUUCUUGAAAAUGUUAAAGAUUUGAGAUUUAAAUGUUGAGAUUUUAUAUGGUUAUAUAUAUUUCUGGGAAAGUAUACAGGUUUUUACGGCGAGGGGAUAUAACUGUUUUAAUGAAAUGUUUUGGAAAACUAAUUUGUUUUACUGACCCACUCAUUUUGUUUUGCGCCCCUCCAGGUUCUAGUUUAGCGGUGGUUGGCUCACGAGGUCCUUUCCGGCUUUCUGACAGAUUUGGGACAUGUAGGACUCACCUGAGGGUGAUGUAUUCUUAUUUUAGUCCUACUUGACUGCAGUUAACCUAUGCUCUGAACUUAUGUGUUUACUUGUAACUCGUCCGGUUAUGUCCGUAUGUGGUUAUGUUGAGUUUGGGUUGAAUUUCUGUUGUUAUUACGCUUCCGUGUCGUGCUUAUGGUUACGUCACGCCCACGUGACGGCCAGCACACCUGGAUCCUCCGGAUCAGGGUGUGUCAUAGAACACCUCUUUAUAGUAUAGAUGAUGGAUGACUUUAUACUAUGAAGUUGUUUUUCAAUAUAUAUGUUCAAUGGUUUUGUACUUACCUAGUGGUCCUUUCCGCUACGGGACGUAGGGAUAGAUUCCGGUCAUUCCCGGGCGACGGUUUGGUGUUGGCAUAGGGCCUGGAGUGUGUUUCCUCUGGCUAUUUAGCACAGGGACGGGGAGCCGGCAUGGGGCCUGAAGUGUAUUUUCCUCUGACUGUCUGCUCAGAGACGGGGAGCCGGCAUGGGGCCUGGGGGUUAUCGGACAAUUCACUAGUGAUUAUUAUAUAUAUAAAAGUUAUGAUUUGAGACACUGCACAUCAUGCUAGGUUUCGGAAAACCUAUGUUUAUCAUUAUAUAUGUGUUUUCAUAAAACUUGGGGGUUAGUACGUUGAUAACUGUUUUGUUAUAUUUAUAUCAAAUUGGUCCACUCAUGUUUGUUUUGCGCCCCCUUCAGGAUUUAGGAUCGAGGCGUACAAUCCCGGCAAUCCAGGCACUUCCGCAUCGGUAUCUUCAAGUCCUCUCGGUGUAGAACCCACUUCUGUGUUCAUUCAAUUUUUAUAUUAAUCCUUUUAAUGUUCUAGAUUAGAUGUGUGCUCUGAACACGUUCCUUAAAUGCAUAUUCUUUAUUCUCUUAUAUUUAUAAGUUUUAUCUAUCCUUUAUUUUCAGCAAUUGCACUCAAUAAAUGGCUUUCGUCGCCCUCGGGUGUCGGCCAGCACGUGACCAUCCUGAUAUCCUGAGGAUAUCGGGAUCGGGGCGUGUCAAUUUGUGAAGAAGAAUUUUUAUGCACUGCAACUGUUUGAUCGUCUGUCUAAGAGAGGGAGUGCAAAUGUACAUGUGCUUUAUGUGGCCUCUUUAGAUAUGCAUGAUUUAGAAGCUAGCCCUAAACUGGAUGGUAGUAGCAGCAAGCCAAGGGUUAAAGAAGUGUCUUCUGAAGAAAAAGAUAAUGUGUCUCACAUUGAGAUUAAGAUUACUGAAUACCAUAGCUCCGAUGAAAAGUGUGUUCUGAGGUAUCUUAAUCUUUCAGACAACGCCAUGGGCAACUAUGGUGUCAAUGCAUUUGAGUCACUUCUUAGUUCACAAAACAAUUUGAGAGAACUUUAUUUGAUGAAUAUGGCAAGGCUCAAUAUGUGUCAUAACAUGAGGGAGUGGCACUGCGAUGCUAUUAGGAAGAUCAAAUGGCUGAAUGAGAAUGAGAUUUCUGUUAUGAUCAAUACCGAAGGACAAGCAAACUAUGAAGGUUUUUUUUAUUGUAUCAAAUAUGGUGAGGAGCUCACUUUUAAGCUGUUGCUCUAUUUCCAAGCUGUCAAGGCAAAAAGUCUUGGGUUUACUAAACUUGGGUCACCAAAAGAGGCUAAGAAGGUUGUUGGGAACAUGAAUGAUGUUACUGCUAGUGCCAAACAGCUAAAGGAGAUGGAACAAGGCUUGACCAGUUUGAUAGUUUUGGGGAAUGGGCGAUUGUCUGAUCUUAUUGCACAGCUGCAGGAUAUAUUAGAGGGUGUAAAUGAAGCUGAUAUCUUGCCGGAGAAGUUUGAUAAUGCAGUUAUUAAAGCUCAGAUUCCACAAUUGGCUCGAGAAAUCAGGGAGUUAACCUCAUCUCGACCUGUAACCAUCUACAAUGAGAAUUCUUCCUCUAGUGGGAAUUAUGCUUCAUAUUUAGUUCCACUUGCUGCACUUGCUGCAAUGGGCUAUUGUUACAUGUGGUGGAGAGAUUGGUCAUUUUCAGAUGUGAUGUAUGUGACAAGGCAUAAUAUGGCAAAUGUUGUUGAAGCUCUAAUUAGAGAGGUAGCUAGCAAGAGCAAUGACUUUGCUGGGAACGGAACAACAAAUACAUUGAAGAUGAGUGAAUGCGCUAUGGGCACCUAUUUAGAUUUAGUAUGCUCUCUUAGUCACCUGGAAAGCAAUUUUGGUGGUGCCUUAGUUAUUGAUUUACAUGUUGAGUUCUCUUUGUUUUUCACUUGUAACCCUGACUGUCGGCUUUUAUGGGAUCCAGGAGAUGCAAUGGCUAAAACUGUUAAGAUGAUACUCUAUUUUAAAAAUGUCAAGGCAGAGUGGCUUAACAGGGUUACAAAAAUAACCAAGUUUGGUAGUUUUAUGGUACAAUUGGAUAGAAGUGUUGAAGCUUUGAAUAAGGGCAAAAAGCAAAAAACUAGAGAUGGUGGAUAUGGUGAUGAGAUAAAGAGAUUGCAUGAUUUAAGCGUGAACAAGGUUGUGGAUAUGGCGACUAGGUUCGAAAGUGCAUUGGUAGGACAUGUUAACAAUAUAAUUUGUAGUACUACUGUAAGAUUGGAGAGACUUCACUCCGAUGAUUGGUGGUGUUCUGCUAUAUCUCAACUGCUGAUGAUUGGUAAAUCCAUCGUAUCUAGUUCAAACAAAACUCAGGAAGCAAAUGUGGAUGCUGUUUUGGGAACCGGUGAUCCGAGUCUACUAGUUGAGAACACUUCAGUUGAGCAGCUUGGUUUCGUCAGAAAGGUGACAAUCUUUAAGGACUCCACUUCCAUUAUUGGUGAUGCAGCAUCAAAAGAUGGGUUGCAAGUCCAUGGUGUGUCUCCAUUUGACAUUAUGGGCAGAAAUCUUUUCUGGGAAAAGCAACUGCAAAGGCUGCAAAUGGGAGCUGUCACAAGAAAGUUCUUGGUGGUUAAUUUCAGUUCUGGUUUUGAUGAAUCUUCAUAUCUCUCUCGGGUUGAAAAUUUUGAGGAGAUGUCACAAGAAAAUUAUGGAGAGGCUACAGGAAACAAGAACUCACUCACUCAGUUCAAGCGAGCUGCCAUACCUGGAAGGAUUAUAAUGAUUUCAAAGUCAAGUUCUACAAUUCCAUUUUUAAGCCUUGAGGACAAGGCUAAUUUUCAAGGGGGAAGUAUUGUUAUGACCCAAAUUAUUACUGAGGUUUUAUGCUUUAUUACUGUGAGGAAUUGUUAAUAUGCCAGCUGGCAUUUAAAAGUGUAGAGGUUUUAUAAAAGGAGCCCCAGCUCCCCCAAAUGUAUCAGAUCAGAAUUUUACAAAAGAAAUCAAUAUUGGAGCUCUGCUCCUUCUUCUCUCAUUCCCUCUUCUUCCAUAGCUUUCUUGUGCCACUUGCAGGUUGAUUAAGGGAAUUGAGAAUUAGAUCUUAUCAUAACGUCACUACCACAACUCCCAAUAUCAUCACGCUGAAUGUCCACACUCGGUUUCUGCUCAAUUAAAGCGUCAAUUUCCUGCAAAAUACUCUCAUCGAAAUCAUCAUCGUUAAGAAUUCCAGAUGCAGAGAAAGAAUCAAAUGAAGUCAGAAACUGCGGUUGUCUGAUUGGAGUUGUGAAAGAAUCCGAUUUUGACACGCUUGAUUCGGUCCGGCUAACGCUUAAGCUCCCGGAACACGAAGCACUGCCAUAUUCACCACGCGCUGAAUUGUACCGGCUUGCGGAAAUCGGAAGCGGUGUUCUUUGAACUCUAUUGAGCUGAGUUGGCGUUUGGAUUCCAUUUCCGCCAAAAAACACAAUUGAAUUGAUUUAAAUUGAAGCAAGAAAACAGCCAAGUAGCCAAAAAAUAGUAAGAAGAUGAAACCUUUGAUUCCUGAACGACUUACUUGGUAUGAGGGAGGUGAUGAUCAGGUGAAACGGCGUCGUUGCAGGGGCGUUUGCGAUCAAUGAGGGCCUUGGCGGCUCUGAAAUUCCGAGAGAUGCGGUUUCUUUGUUCCGCCGUGAGCCCUCCGCCGUACGCCUGAACGUUUUCCUUGGACAUUGCUUCCAAGAUUCCAACGGAGGAUUUGGCCUGACGGCCUGACCAGGCUGAUAACAGUGUAAAACCUUAGGAGCUAAGGAAAAACUAAGAGAGAGAUUGUAGAGAGGGAAAGUUUUUUCUUUUUGGAAACCAGUAGAGAGGGAAAGUUUGUUAAACCUGAAUAAUAUUCUUUUCAUUCAACUUGUCUACAAUAAUUACCACUCGUGGUAUUUAUACAUUUGUAACACACCUCACUAACUAACUAAGACCACCACCAAUCAUACAUAAACACUUGUCAUAAUCCUAUGCACUCAUAGUAUCAUCACUUUAACAUUCCCCUCAAGCUCAUGUGGCAGAUUGCCAAGCAUGAGAUUGGAACAAUUACGAGCGAACUGGGGUGAACACAAGCCUUUGGUGAACAUGUCGGCAUAUUGAUCUGCAGAGGUAACAAACUACAAAAUAAUUGUCCUUUGAUGAACUCUUUCACGAACAAAGUGGCAAUCAAUCUCUAUAUGUUUGGCUUUAUAGUGCAAUACAGGAUUAGUGGCAAGAGCCAUUGUUGAAAUGUUAUCACAAUGCAAAACUAGAACAGAAGGAGAACCAACAUGCAAAUCUCGAAGAAGCUGUUGUAUCCAGAUAACCUUAGCAGUGGUUGUAGCCAUUGCUCUAUAUUUAGCUUCAGUGGAAGACCUACUCACUGUAUGCUGCUUUUUAGAACUCCAAGAGAUAGGAGUAUCUCCCAAAAAAAUGACAAAACCCGUGGUUGAACGACAAUCAUUGGGAUCCCCUACCCAAUCAGCAUCUGUAUAAGCUUUCAACUGAGAUGAACCUGAUUUAAAACAUAAUCCCAAAGAUAUAGUGCCUCUGCGAUAUCGUAGAAUACGUUUCACAGCAGCAAAUGAGUGGCUAAGGGUGAAUGCAUAAACUGACGUACUUGAUUGACAGAAAAAUAAAUAUAUGGUCUUGUAAAUGUUACGUAUUGCAGUGCCCCAACAAUACUUUUGUAAGUGGUAGGAUCAAAAACAGGUUCACUACCAUGAUUCAGAAGCUUCUGAUUAGGAUGACAAGGUGUGGAAAAAAGGUUUACAGUCUAGCAUAUGCAUCUUUUAAAGGAGUUCUUUGACAUACUUGGUCUGAUGAACAAAGAGUCCCUGACCCUGAUACUCAAUCUGUAAACCAAGAAAAUAAUGCAACACACCUAGAUCUUUCAUGCCAAACUCACUAGUUAACUAACUAAUAACCUUCUGAACCUUCACAGCAUCAUUACCAGUGAGAAUGAUAUCAUCAACAUAUAAUAAGAGAACAAUAAUUGAUGAACCAUCACACUUGACAAAUAAAGAAGGAUCUGCAUAUGAUGACUUGAACCCAAGCUUAGGCAAAUAACCUGAAAACCUGUCAUGCUAGGCUCUGGGAGCUUGCUUGAGACCAUAUAAAAACCUCUCUAGUUUGCACACAUAAUCUGGAUAGGUAGAAUCCACAAACCUUUGGGACUGAGACAUAUAAACUUCUUCAUCAAGAAAGCCAUGCAAAAAAGCAUUAUUGACAUCUAACUGUUUGAGUUUCCAAUUAUGAGAUGCAGCCAAGGAUAAAACCAAUCGAACUAUGGUUGGUUUGACCACAGGGCUAAAGGUUUCAUAAUAGCUAAUACCAACUUCUUGAGAAUACCCAUUAGCUACAAUUCUAGCCUUGUACCUAGCCACUGAACCAUCUGGAUUUCUCUUAAUCUUGUAAAUCCAUUUACAACCAACAAGAUUUUUGUCAGGUGCUAAGGGCACAAGCUUCCAAGUAUGAAGCAUCCAUCUCUUCUUUCAUGGCAUUUUGCCAUUGAACACACUUGACUGCACUAGAAAAAGACCGAGGUCCAAUAAAUGGAAAUGUGGAAGAAACACUAGGUGGAUGAAUGAAUGUGUUUGAAUGCACAACAGACACUGGUGAGGAAGAAUGACCAGAAGUAACUUGAGGAUUGAAACCCAAAGCAUUAGAGUCUAUAGGAAACUUGGAUUCAUAAAAAAUAACAUGUCUAGAUACUAAUAGUUUAUGAUCUUUGAGAGAGAAGCAAAUAUACCCUUUGUAUUGUGUAGCAUACCCCAGAAAAAUACACUUAGUAGUUUUAGGUUCAAGUUUAUUGCUUCUAUAGGGUUUCAAUGAAGGAUAGCAUAAACACCCAAAAAAUCUCAAAUGAUCAAGCUUAGGUGGAGAUUUAUAUAGCAUUUCAAAAGGAGACUGCAUAUGUAGGGUAGGUGUGGGCAUUUUGUUUAUAAGAAAAGUAGCAGUGGCACAGGCAUGGAACUAGAAUUUUGAAGGUAAUGAAACUUGUUGUAAAAAGGUAAUAGUUGUUUCGACAAUAUGUUGAUUUUUUCUCUCAGCCAACCCAUUAUGUUAUGGGGUAUAAGGACAAGAUUUUUUAUGAACAAUGCCUUUGGUAAGAAGAAAUUGCUUAAACUGAGUACUAACAUAUUCCCUACCCCCAUCACUCUGCAAAAUUUUUACAUGAGCAUCAAAAUAAUUCGAGACAGAAGCAAGAAAGUUGACAAAAACAGUGAACACUGCAACUUUAUUAUUUAAUGGAAAAAUCUAGGUAUAUCUUGUACAUUCAUCAAUAAAGGAAACAUAAUACUUGUAACCUUCUAUAGACAAACUAGGUGAGGGACCCCAAACAUCUAUGUGAAUUACUUCAAAUGGAGUAAGUGACUUCGAAGCAAUUACAGGAAAAAGGAGCUUGGUAAACUUGCCUUGCAAACAAGCAUUACAAGUAUGAGAUUGAGAGUUACAAGGAAAAGAUAUACAAGACUUAUUAAGUGCUGCAGUGACAGUGGAAUGUGUAGGAUGGCCUAAUUGACAAUGCCACAAUGUAGAAGAAAUCUUUUGACCCACAAAUGCAACUGGAUUAAAAACAGGAGAAAUAGACCUCUGUGGUUUGAUUAUGGGAAGUGGAUAGACAACAUUAUUACUCAGCCCUUGGAAUAGCACUCUCCCGGUGACCUUGUCCUGUAGACAGAGAGAAACAUCAUCCAUGAUACAACGACACUGAUUAUCUUUGCACAACUGAUUCAUAGAUAAUAAGUGUUGUGACAGUUUUGGAACAUGUAACACAGAGUUUAACUUGAAAUUAUGUGACUAAGUGAGAAGAGAAGAGGAACCAAUAUGUUUGACAGCUAAACCUUCACCACUAGCACUGGUCACAAUAUCAUUUGAUGGAUAAAUUUAUUGUCAUGUGCAAGUUUGACAAAUCUGAGGUCAUAUGGUUAGUUGCUCCCAAGUCAAGAAACCAGAAAUCUUGUUGAAGAGUUGAGGAUGAUGCACCAGCUCGUGCUUGCAUAGCAAGAGGAGGAUUUUGUGAGGAUAUAGUUAAUAGAUACAUAUGUGGUAUGACAAGAUACUGAAACUGUGAGCUAUUAGACUGUGGAAUCAUGCCUUGUGAAGGACCACAUGGAUUCUAGCUAGGUGCUUCACCAUAUGACCCAGUAGGCAUUGGAGUUGGCAUAGAUGAGGAUAAACCCUAAGAGAAAUGCUCUGAUGUGCCUGUGAAAUUUUUAUUCUGAUCAAAGCAAGUAGCAGCAACAUGACAACCUCUGUGACAAAUUUGACAUCCAUGUUGAAAACAAUUCAAUGCAGAAUGACCUUUGCGAUCACAUAUUUGCAGAAUGGCCUUUGCAACCCUAGAAAGAAGGAGCGAAGAAGACCAAAUGUGUACGUUUCUCUUUGGUUUUUUUUCCCUCCUAAUCGCGCUGUUCGAAAUCACGGACCUCGGGCCUGGGCCUAGUGGGCCCAAUUAUGAGGCCCAUUAUCUCCGGUCUUCUCGUUCUACUUCUAGUUACCCAAAUUAAGAACGUACGCUUUUAGCGCGAGAGAGAAAUGGAGGCCCUGAUUGCCUCGUACGGAGACUCGUCGUCGGGCUCAGACUCCGAGUCGCCGGCUCCACCUCCACCACCACCUCCGGAGCUCAACAACCCUCAAGAACCGACCCCUGCGCUGCCUCCACCUCCUCUGUCACUUCUCGACAGCCCCAAUUCCUUCGGUAACCUCUGAUUCCCAUCAAUUUUCAUCUUUUAGCUUUCUGUUGUGAUGGCUUUUUCCGAGUUGCCCACCAAGUGUUUGAUGUUUUGCCUCCGAAGAAUUUCUGGACUUAUCGGCAAGCGCCCAGCCGAGCAGAGUUCGGAACUUUCCUCACGUCGAAGGGAACUACGCAGUACAUGUAUACAUCCCAGGUUAUCAAAAUUCUCGAAAUUUUCAGCUCCAUUAGCAAAUGCGAUCGCUUUGCACUUAGUUUUUGCUUGUUUAAUUGUGUGGUUCCAGUUUAUAUACCACCAGCACCAAGGAAAGAGAUGGCCUUGUUUUUGAACAAGCUAGCUUCUCUGCUGCCUGGUCUCCAUGCGGUUGACGUUGACUUCCCGCUUGACAUUCUGCGUAAGGACGAGCACAAGCUUGAACAAGUUGCUUUAGGCAGAGAGUUCCAUAUAAGUCUCGGAAGAACUGUUCCGAUGCGGGUGCACCAGAUUGAUUCCUUGGUGACAAUGCUGCGGCAGAAGCUUCAGAUUCAGAGGCGGUAUGGUUACAUUUACAUUCUCUUGUCUGCAUUGCGUGAAUUUAGUUCUGUUAUUUAACAUAAUUCUGUAAGCCUGUUUUCGUAUAAAUGCACGGUUGAAUCAGCUUUCAUUGUCUACAAGUCUGAAAUAUUUUAACUUCCAUUGAUUUCAGAUAACAAAGCAGAUUCAAGCUGUGAAUGAGGUGUAUAAGCUUCACAAUCUUCCUGAAUUUUACAAGGUUAGCUUUUUCGUGCUUUUCAAACUCGAAUCGGUUCCUGAAUGUAUGACAAUAUAUUGGAUCAAACGAUUUCUCAAAACACUAAUUCACUUGAUGGGGUCUUGGUGAUCACAGGAUCCACGCCCUCACAUCUCGGUAGCUUGAGCAUUGGGUGACAUCAGCAAUUCCCUGAACAAAGUGGUUGAAGAAGAAAGACGAAGAUCUACCAUCGGAGGAUCGUUACAGAAAUGUAUUUUUACCAGUAAAUUCAAUGGUAUCGAUAUCGAAUGUAGGAUUGGUAAUAAAACACACAAAAUAUGUAAAUUUUCUGAAGAAUAAUGUAGCCAUUUAACUGUAUUGUGAAAUUCCGAGAAUAUAUGGCUGAGCAUUGGAUGAGAAGACAUUUCUUCGUUGGUGUCGAACUUCUUGUCGAAGGUAUUGGCACCAGUGUAAACGUCAUCAUCCAUGUUGAUGGUAAUUACUUACCAGCUACUAAGGGUGUCGGAACAACCUUGCACGCACCCUCCUGUGCAUUACUUGGUAUUGUCUCGGAUUCUCCAAACUUGAAUGCUAAUGUAAACCCACUCUUGACCUUUCCGUCAUCUGCAAUUACCGGAAAGCCGGCUUGGAUGUUGCCGUUGACCUACCAAACUUAAAAUACCGACGAAAUGUUGGAGUACUUCAGUGUACUACUCGUUUUUGUAUGCGAGAGCUCCACCUCUAUCGUUGUAACAGCAUCUGAUGCGGACUAGUCCUUCAUUCCCGUUACUCUUUGCCAUCUCCACUUCAAACUUGGUGUGAUGGCUCCCGGCCUCCUCUCCGGUGAAAUUGAGUAACCCCGGAGCUGGCGUGCCAUCAAGAUUUCCGUUGUGUCUCUAUUUGCUGUUGUGGUUCGGUUCCACUAUAAACUUGGCAGAGUUAGCAUUUUCAUUCUGUUGUCUGUAUAUCUUGAUAUUACAAGUAUUUGUUGUGCAAAAUGCAUGCUAAGUUCAAGUUAUGUUUAUAUGUGUGUGUGUGUUGCCACUUUUCCAACGUUUUCUCCAAAAUUGUGACGAGCAACAAAGCAGUUUUGAUUCCGUGCACAACAACGAUACCUCGAAAGAAAUUGAUUCUUCCCCAGAAAGAUGUUUUAAAACAAAGUUGAACAAGGGAAGAAAACUUUUGAAUCGCAAUCAGAUGUCUGGUCAAAUUCUUUAACAGUUGAUGUAUACAGAAGUUCCUUGCUUAUGACACGACUUAUGAGAGGAUGUAUGUAUUGCAUUUGCAUCAAAAGAAAGAAAGAAGGUUGUAAGUGGUAAGGGAACGACUACCGAUGCCGCUCCACUUCUAAUCAAAGGGAUCGAUCCGAGGGUCGUGUUCACUUGCCAUCGCCAUUCCAGUGCAAAGGCAUGUCGGGCACAUUACCUGCCACAUUUACAGACGCAAUGUUAGAUAUAGCUGCCAUUUGGAAGUCAUCUCUCAAAAUUUUGCUACUAAAUUAAUCUUAAACUUCAUUUCCAGUGCAAUUUUUUUCUUCUGAAUUGUCUUUCACAUGCCCGACAAAUAGAAGUAUCACCAAACAUGUGAUAUAGAGCAUCUAAGCGGCAGGCACUAAAAGGAAUUUAGUAUGCAAUAAACAUUCAACGGACAUAAUUAUAUGUCUAACCUUUCCCGCUCCUGAGCAAUUUGAACAUCGUUCAGUUUUUGGCAGAGAUAGGGGUUGGUUUCCGCCAUCAGCUGUCGAUACUGGUUCAGUAAGAACAAGGGUUCCAGUGCUGGAGCAACGAGCACAAGCAAGAGAUCCUGCGUAAGUAUCAAAUACACAGGUAAGUUGACAUACGAAACCAAUCCGAACAUCUCCAUCGUAUAUAUUUAAAGCUACAGUACAUAAAACUAAAAGUCAGAAAUAUAGGACAUUAUCACACCAGUUCCAAGACAAUAUUUGCAUCGUUUAUGCUCCUGCUGUUUCACAUUGUUUAUUUCAACUACCAUCAAUGCUGAGAUCACUCCGACUGCUCCUCCAGAGAAUGACGCCACUAUGGGAUCAACUUGACUGCAGUUUGAAAGUAAAGGAGAUCAAUAAACGAAACUGGUAACAACAUAGUAUCAACAUUAUUUAGCUUCGUUUCAAGAAAGAUGACAUCCUAGGUUUUUCUAAUGUGUAAAAAUUGAGGAUCCUCGUAAAAUUUGACUAUAUCGGUUCCCAAAGCAUUUGAUUCCUACGUUACAGACGGAAAACAGCAACAAUCGAAUUUAAAGAUUCAUAACACGAUAGAUGGUACAAAAUUUCAAAACGAUAAUUACUAGAGAACAGGAGGGUUAAUAGCCUGAGAUAUGAGCAAUACCUCAACUGCAACGGCAGAUGCAUAUUUACUAUAAAGUCUUUAUAUGAUGUGCCUCCUAUUCCCAGCUUCAACUCCAACUGAAAGAUGUAAAGGUAAUUGUAGGCAAAGAGUUACAAACAUAACCGAAUCCAUGUUUUAUAAGCAACAACUACACUUAUUUUGAUAUGUUUCCUCAUUUUUUACUUGCAAAUUCCAAACCAUAUUGUCGGACCAGUAAAAGAAAAUAAUGUUUAUGAUAACUGUUAAAACUAAUUACAACAAGUUAAUGCAUAAAGAACUUACGGAGGGUGCUAUGAGGCCACCGAAAAGGAUAAACCCCGCAAUAAUUGAAUAACAAACAGCAUAAUACUGCUUAAGGUUGUCUGAACUCUGCAAGCAAUGAAUUCACCUUGUGAUUAAUACUUUGCACAAACACUAGUUUUCGCAAUUUUUUAUGAAUCGACAAAAGGCUACAACAAAAUAUGGCUAAAACAUGUCGGGGAUAUGAAAAUACAUGUCUUCACAGGGGCACCAGCUUACCAGGGGAGGCAAAAAUGGAAUGAACGAUGGAAAACUAGGAAGUUCGUUUUCUUGAUCUUCAUUUACCGCUCCAAGCUCUGCACGUUUAAUCCGCUGUUGUAUCCUCAGCCUGCGAACCUACGCAUAUCGAAGCUCAUUCUUAAAGAACACAUUUCUAAUGGCAAUUGGAGAGUAAUUUAAAACAUGCUACACUGAGAAAGUGGUAGCAACUAGCAAUUGCUCUCACCUCCUCCAUAUGCAAGAAAAUUUUGUUGCGACGACUCCGAAUAUUAUCUUGAAUUUCCUGCAGCUCCAUUGUGGCAAAAUCCUGCACUGUUUCAGGCCCCUCUAUGAUACAAAAUCUGCACCAUUAAGCAUGUAAAAAUUAAAAAUUACAAGCUACAAAGCAAUUUCCGUAUAGUUGUUGGGUUAAAUAACAUCAACAGCAAAUAAAUCACAUAGGUUUUUCACAUAAAGUUACAAACUUUCAAGGACUAAUAAGCUGUCUGCAAUCUCAUAAAUUUCACAGUGCAAAGUAACAAUCCAAAGCUUGGAACUUUAAAUUUCCACCUUCUGUUAAUUUUUUAGUGCACCUGGUGUCGUUAGAUUCGAGUAGUAUGUCACAUUAAAUUUUUUUUUUCUGUGCAUGCAUUUUUUUUUAAAAGAAAAUUUAUAUUGUUAAAGAGCGAGUUCGAAACUAUUACAUUAUGGAAGGACAUAGUACCGAAACUCCGACGAUCAAAAACAAAAUCAUGUACAACCACUCCAAGCAGUCAACAUGGCCAUCACAUAUUGAAUCCAAAAUGUUGACGCCCCAUUCGCUGCAUAUAAUGUACAGACGAGCGGCAGCUUCAACCAGUUCUGCCAUAUCCGGCUGGAUGAGAGCAGCUAAAGACAUGAUUGUUCCCUAAUAACAUGAAUAAAUUGAGUAAACACCAAAAGUAGCAGCAAGGGAAGGAGAUGUGAAGUAUAUGAAGAGGUGUAAGACCUGUGAAUGUCCAGCAACAAAGAUUUUGGAGCUUGUUGUCGAAUAAUGCAACGCGUCAUUUCUGGUAGAUCAAAUAGAGCCAAUUCCCGCCAACUCCAAUUCCAAAAUUUCUACAGUAAAGCAUAAAUCUUAUUCUCUCUUCUGAUAAAGAUGAGUGUCCCAGACUCCAACGUGUUCCACACACAUUCCCUACCCAUACAUCGAAACCUUCAUCUGCAAGGACGAAUCCCAGCGAUUCUUCUGGAGAAUUUAAGAAUCAUGCAUCACCUGGUUAAGAUCAAGAAAAGCCAGUAACCAAGUUCAAUUGAGUUAAAAUGUAUCCCAUGGAUGUUCAUCACUUUGCCCAAUUGUUCUUUUCAAGAAAGGAAAUUUCAACAGAACCUGAAAACUUCAGAUCAGGGGGCACCAAAUAGUGAGCUAUACAUUCAAAAUUUGAAAUAAUCAACUUAGUAGGACCAGUAUGUUGAAAAAAUAGGAAGGAGCUAUGAAAGUAAGACUUUUCACUAAUCAGGCGUCCAGAGAAUCCAUAUUUUACCCGCGUAUCAGUUACGGGGAACACUCCCCACCAGAGCAAUCUCAUUAGUCCUUCACAUCUCAACCGUACAGAAGUUGCACUAACAAACAUGACUCCUAUUAGUCCUUCACAUCUCAAAUCCAGGAAGUACCCAUCUUUCGUCUGAAUCUGGAAAAUAAGCAGCAGUCAAUUUAACAAUCUCGGUAUCUCAAAGUUACUCACUUUAAUCACAAAUUUAGCAAUUAAACAUAUAAAUGGGCAUUUUUUUAGGGAAAUAUUAGUAUAGUACUCACUGUGUGCUCGGAGCAAGAGUACCCAGAAAGCUCAAUGAGCUGCGCACAGAGGACUGCAGUGGUGAACGACAGCGACCGCACAGAGGACUGCAGUGGUGAACGACAGUGACCAAUUCUGUAAAAUUUAGUCGAGUUUUGGGAAAUUUCUGCAGCGAUUUCGGAGGUCAAGAGGCUGAUAAGGAAAGCCGCGACCAAAGGGCACUGGUCUGGAAGAAAGGCUUUGGUCGCCGCUAUCGCAAUUCACGAAGGAAGAAGUGCCCCAAAACAAUUUCGGCCCUGGACAGGUGCACUGUUUGCACUGAGCCAGGGCCGGCCCUGAAUCGCGAUAACGUCCUUCUCCAAACAGUAUAUAUACAGAUGCUAGAAAAAUCUACCGGAACUAUUCAAUUCUAGCGUCUACAGCUUUAGCAUUAGUUGGUACAAGGGGCAUUCUUCCAAAGAGGGAGAUGAAAUCGUUGAGGCACCAAAUAGUGAGCUAUACAUUCAAAAUUUGAAAUAACCUCUUGGUAGGACCAAUAUGUUGAAAAAAUUGGAAGGAGCUAUGAAAGUAUGGCUUUUCACUAAUCAGGCGUCCACAGAAUCAAUAUUUUACUCACAGAUCAUUUACGGGGAACACUCCCCACCAUAACAAUCUUUUUAGUCCUUCACAUCUCAAACCAAGUAGAAAUUGCAGUAACAAACACGACUUCUAUUAGUCCUUCACAUCUCAAACCCAGUAAGUACCCAUCUUUCGUCUGAAUCUGGAAAACAAGCAGCAGUGGAUUCAACAAUCUGGGUAUCUCAAAGUCACUCACUUUAAUCACAAAAUUAACAAUUAAACAUAUAAAUGGGCAUUUAUUUAGUGAAAUAUUAGUAUAGUACUCACUGUGUGCUCGGAGCAAGAGUACCCAGAAAGCUCAAUGAGCUGCGCACAGAGGGACUGCAGCGGUGACGACGGCAACCGAUUCUGUAAAAUUCAGUCGAGUUUUGGGCGAUUUCUGCAGCGAUUUCGGAGGUCAAGAGGCUGAUAAGGAAAGCUGGGACGGAAGGGCACUGGUCUGGAAGAAAGGCUCAGGACACCGCUGUCCCGAUUCGUGAAGGAAGAAGUGCCCCCAAAACAAUUUCGGCUCUGGACAGGUGUACUGUUUGCACUGGACCAGGGUCGGCCCUGGCGAUAACGUCCCCCAAACAGCACAUAUACAGAUGCUAGAAAUAUAUAAAUGUAACCUGAAACUACUAGAACCAUUCAAUUCUAGCGUCUACAGCUUUAGCAUUAGUUGGUACAAGGGACAUUCUUCCAAAGAGGGAGAUGAACUCAUUGAGGCUCUUAUUUAUUCCUCCUCUUGAUGUGCCCUUUUAGGCUGCUAAUUCCACACGAUCCAAUCUCAUACAUCUUCCCUGCAAAAGCAUGUGUGCCUGACUUCAAGAUCAAAUUUUUCCAACAAAAGAAACUUAAAGAUCAAACUCGCUAGAGGAAUAAGUGGUGCACAAGGGUGUUAAAAUCUUGACAUAUGUAUAUUUUUGGCAGAUUUUAUGUGAGCAUGCAACUAAAACUGGCAUCACUAUCAAUGGUGCACAAAGAUUGGUGGAAAACUUUAACAGUUUGAGUUGUAACUUCUCCAUUGUAUUUGUUAAGGCAAGACGGAUGUCAUCUAUUCAUUUUUCUGUAAAACUUAAAAGGCUGCAUAGCAGCUCUUGUUCGUUGUAUUGAAUACCGUGGUUUUACUGAUGAAUGCAGAGUUUGCUGAUGAUUCAUACGACAAGCAAUUGAAAAUCCCAUCAUUAUGCCCCCCAUAUACCAGAAGAAAAAAAAGUCAUUUACACAAAUUCAGAGCGUUCAUCCACUGUAAUUUGCAGAUAUAGAAACGUUAAGAUAAAAGGAAAUGCAAAGUACCUUUCACCAAAUUGGAGGAGCACCGGUGGCAUUAGCAAGUUAGCAACGGGAAUUGACAUACCAAUAUCUUCACAGUUUCUGCACAAGCACAAAUCAAAAGAAUCCGGAGGUGGAGUUAUGUACCUCUCCUUGGAAAAUGCCACCUCUUGGGAUUUCAAAAUAUGCGGCCGUGGCUAGCCGUCUGACCACGCCAAUUCCACCAAAGCCGCCGCAACGCGGUGUAGUGUCCGAUUGAUUGCUUCAAAUCAGAGCUUCGUAUCCAUGUGUUUAUCAGCAGAGAGUACCCAAAACCCCUGAAAAUUAUUUCUUUAUUCAGAUAAUAAAAUAUCCCAAAUUUCGAAUUUUAAUUCCGAAUCAAAAAUAGGGUUUGAAUUUUGAUUACCUAUAAAUUGGGGGGUUGCGGUGGAAAGGGAGUCAGCCAAGACGGCGAUAUGCGUCCUCGAGAGGGCUAUGAAAAUACAAAUUACAGAGCGUGUUGGGACGAUGUACAAGGCUUUUGCAGUCUCUCAAAUAUAAAUACCGAAGCUCCGUAAGGCGUUCAAUCCAGGGGGAAAGCUCUUUAAUAGAUGUUCCAUCCAGGAAAAGACUUCUUAAUCCUUCCAUAUUUUCUUCAAUGCUUGGAAACAACUCAAAUUUUGUACAACCGGAAAGAGAGAGAGAGAAAAGGGACUUGAGCUGACAAAUGCUGCUUGGAAGACUCUUAAGUUCUUUGCAAUCUUUUAGAUUCAAAUGAUUCAAUCCCGUAAGAUUAUUAAUUGACGAGGGCAGUUCUUUAAUUUUUGACCCGGAUAAAUUAAGCUCUUCUAACUCCUCCAUACCUUCUGAAAUCUUUGGAAACAUCUCAAGACUAGAGCAGCCAGAAAGAUUAAAGGUUUUGAGAGAUUUCAUACGAAUGCUGCUUGGAAGACUCUUAAGUUCCGUGCAAUUAUGUAGAUUCAAAUGACACAACCUCGUAAGAUUAUUAAUUGACGAGGACAGUUCUUUAAUUUUUGAGCAGGGUAAAUCAAGCUUUUCUAACCCCUCAAUACCUUCUGAAAUCGAUGGAAACAUCUCAAGACUGAAGCAGCCAUAAAGAUUAAAGGUUUUCAGACAUUUCAUAUGAAUGCAGCUUGGAAGACUCUUAAGUUCCUUGCAAUCUUUUAGGUUGAAAUGACUCAACCCCGUGAGAUUAUUAAUUGACAGGGACAGUUCUUUAAUUUUUGACCCGGAUAAAUUAAGCUCUUCUAACUCCUCCAUACCUUCUGAAAUCUCUGGAAACAUCUCAAGACUGGUGCAGUCAGAAAGAUUAAAGGUUUUGAGAGAUCUCAUACGAAUUUUGCUAGGUAGAAUCUUAAGUUCCUUGCAAUCUUUUAGGUUGAAAUGACUCAACCCCGAGAGAUUAUUAAUUGACAGGGGCAGUUCUUUAAUUUUUGACCCAGAUAAAUUAAGCUCUUCUAACCCCUCCAUACCUUCUGAAAUCUCUGGAAACAUCUCAAGACUGGAGCAGUCACAAAGAUUAAAGGUUUUGAGAGAUCUCAUACAAAUUUUGCUAGGUAGAAUCUUAAGUUCCUUGCAAUCUUUUAGGUUGAAAUGACUCAACCCCGAGAGAUUAUUAAUUGACAGGGGCAAUUCUUUAAUUUUUGACCCGGAUAAAUUAAGCUCUUCUAACUCCUCCAUACCUUCUGAAAUCUCUGGAAACAUCUCAAGACUGGAGCAGUCAGAAAGAUUCAAGGUUUUGAGAGAUCUCAUACAAAUUUUGCUAG
This 120926-nucleotide long non-coding RNA is filed under the name Malus domestica (apple). RNAcentral's name for it is "long non-coding RNA (MDOM_LNC007116)". The stretch from base 56444 to 56537 matches the Rfam family "Small nucleolar RNA SNORD34". The record is from RNAcentral. Lineage: Eukaryota; Viridiplantae; Streptophyta; Magnoliopsida; Rosales; Rosaceae.